This 142131-nucleotide long non-coding RNA is filed under the name Marmota monax (woodchuck). The record is from RNAcentral. Lineage: Eukaryota; Metazoa; Chordata; Mammalia; Rodentia; Sciuridae.
GCGGAGACUGGGAGCGAAAAAUCCGGGAUCCGGCAACUUUGGGCAGCGCAUGCGCGCCCGCGGCGCUCCAUCCCAAACACACACACAUUUUUCCCCCGGACUUGGAAAGUCACCCAAAGCCGCCCCAAGUGCAGGUAAGAGACUCGGCGCUCCCUCCGCUGCGGGCUCCCCUGUUCCCCAGCUCCGCGGGCCUCUCGGGGCCCCUCUCCGCUUCGCCCCCUGCCCGGGUGCAGCCCCCCACUCCCGGGGCUGCCGCUUGCAGCCGGGAGCGGGCGAGCGAGCGAGCGAGAGAGCCAGCCAGCUUGCGAGCGGCGGCUGCCACCCAACUCCGGCCGUGCGGAGGCAGGGGGCACGGAGGGCUGGCACCCCGGCAUGGGGUGGCGCGUCGCCCGCUGUGGCCAGGGGAAUGCCCGGCGCGCGGCUCCUGGGGAGGGGAGGGCUGCUGCUCCUGAGGGUCACUUACUCCAACUGAGGGGGCGGCGGGGUAGGGGAGAAGAGGGGGAGGUGCCAGGUUCGAGUGCACGACUUUGCAAAUAUGGUGGGGGCGCCCCCCGCGCUGUGGGCUCCCGGGGGGGGGGGCAGGUGUUCGCCAAUACUGGGUGAUCAUUCCUUUCCCUACUCACCCCAACCCCCAGCGACAAGGGGGUCGUGCGCUCUCCAGGGCAGAGAAGGAGGCAGGGGUGAGGGGCGCUGGGGUGACUUUGCAAGACUUUGCCCAAGGGAAGGGGCGGGUGGGGAUCCCCUUCAGCCGGCUCUUGUACCCCGACACCGGGGUGUGUGUGCUUCCGGCAGAGGUAGGCAGUGUUCGCUUAGGCUCAGGGUGCCAAGGGGUGCCCGGGAUGAGAAAACCAAGGCAAGAGGUUUGUUGGAUGGGGGGAGCGGCGCCCCCUUUUUCAUCUUUGCCUGGAAGUUUAUCUCAAGUGCGCUGCUCCAGGCGCGGCAAGUGGCGCUUCUCGCUCUCUCCCCCACCCCCCAGCCUCCCCGGGCGCAGGCUGGCAACGCUGGGCACGGACACAGAGAGUCAAAGCACCGACUCAAAGCCGCUGGGCUGUUGGCCGAAGCCCGCCUGGGUCUGGGAAAAAGUUCCGGGGAGUUGCGGCGGCUGUUGUGUGCGCGGGGAGAGAAGUUGCGCCCGGGAACGUGGGACGCUGGCCUGGCAGGCCAGCUAGCGGGUGGAGCGAUGCGAUCCCGGGGGCUUCUGCAGCGGUGGGAGGAGGGUCUGGAAGGGUCUGUGCUCCAAGGUGGGCAGAGGGUGAUCUGGGGGCUUAGCAUUUGGGGAGGAAGAACCCUGAAUCCGAGAGCACAGGGCUGAAAUAGGCACCUGGUGGAGGACAGAGAGAAGAGUAGCUUGUUUGGGCUCAGGGGACACUAAAGGGGAAAUGGUUGGACCACCCCGUCUUUGGGGUUCUGGCUUCUUGGCAAAGGAGCGCAUGGUGGCUGGCGGAAUAGUGUUGGGGAGCGGGGCUGCAAGGGGUGCGCGGGAAUGGAAGAUUGGGUCAGACGGAUAGUCCUGUUGCUGCCGGGGCAGGGGGCCGAGUCGUGCGCUCGGGGUGAGCCGGCCGGGCGGAGCGGCGGCCGGUUUAUUUUUACUCGGUGGCAUUUGCAGAAUGUGCAGCUGAUGACCGUCGGCCGCCAGGAAGUUUUGCUUUCUGUUCUUUCUCUCUCUUUUCGAAGCCAGCGCGGCCCGGAGCUAGAGGGCCGCCGAGUCGGGCCUGGGAGGGGAGGGGGGCGGCCUCUGGGGUUGCAAGGUGCCGGCAGGGGCGCGCUGGGGCCGCGGGCGGGGGCUGCCGGCGCGGGCGGGCGGACGACGGGCGCUGGCGGCUGCGGAGCGGUUGGGCGAAUAUCUGUCCCCAGCUUUGGAAGCUCCUCGGCGAGGGGAACAGGUGUAUGCGCCGUCAAUCACAGCGGGAGGGACACUUUGGGGGCGUAGAUUAAGAUCAUAAUAAUAGAUUUUUCUCUUGGGGGGUGGGCGCAGAUUCUUCCAAGUCAUCCCAGACCCGGAUCCCGAGUUGGGGGAGGAGUGGAGUGCGGAGGGAGGCUGGGGGCCGCUUCUCCCUCCGCAUAAGUUUUUCCUGACACAGGCUCAGCUUGGGAAGCGGGCCUGGGUGCGACGUGGACCUCCUUCCCAUCAAGCUGGGAAGGUGCGGGUCCGGUACGUGUGCCUGUGCGUAAAAUUUAUCCACCAAGGAAGCAGCAGUAAUACUCCUCUUUUGGGCCGGAGCUCCCCCAAACCCCGCUGGAUCUGGGAGACUGGCGGGGGUCUGCGUCGCUGCUCCAGCGGAGUCUGGGGACACGGCCCUCAGUGUGUGUGGUUGUGCGCCCACACCCUGUACACUCGCAGACGUGGGUGCGGGUGGGGGAGAAAGAUCGGGUAGUUGUUGGCCAAAGUUGGUAAAUUUAGGACGCCUCUAAGCGAGUACAGGCGCACGGGCAGAGCGUGCGAGAGGACUGGAAAACAGACCGCUGGGUAACAUUGGUUCCCCCCCCCCCCAUGACACGCGCGCGGGUGCGCGCGCGUACACACACACACACACACACACACACACACACCGCCGUCCUAAAGAGAGCUGUCCCGGCUGAGCAGGAGCAGCUGCGCCGGGCUUGGUGGGGGGGGGGUAGUUGGUCCCCGGGGGCUGCGCCCGGGCUGCGCUCCACGUGCCCGGAGGGGGCGCUGGGCCAUUCCGCGCUUGAGCGCAAAGCGCCGGGUUUGCGCCCUGGUGGCUGAGAGGCGGUGCGUCCGGGGCGGUCGUCGCGACCUGCGCCGUCUCCCGCGACCCGCACCAACUCCCCCGGUCCCCAGCCGCUUUCCCAGUUGCCAAACUUUUGACUUUUACGGUUUGCCCCUUUUUGGAGCUCUUGAUUCUGUAGAGAACUUCUCCCUUCCCGGCCGCGGCUACCGUCUCUCUCCCAGGAACACAGAGAAUUGGAGAGAUGACCCCCCCCCCCAUCUUGUUAGCCACCUUAGAGGCGGUUAACGAGAGUUUAUGGGGAAUAUUGUUGAACUUCAGUAAUCAGGUUUCCAGCGAUCUUAUGCCUCCUGUUUAAUUUAUUAGACUAGUUAUUUAUUCUGUUGAUGAUAAUCUGUUGCUGGUUUCUAUGGAGAUGUUAAACUGAUCUCUUUCAGAAAUCAAACUCCAUAUGCACUAAAACGUUUAAAGGGGCAGUGCCUCCCUCUUUUUCCCCCUGCCUUUUUUUGUUUUGUUUUGUUUUUUAGACUUUGCACCUUGCUGAGACUUCGAGUCUUGCUUUGAGUCUCUGCGCAUUUUACUUCCUUCUGACGAAGGAGAGGAGCCCGGGAGACUCACGCUUUGUGGCAAGUACAGCUUAUUAUGGCUAGCAGAAAGAGAAGGCUUUGAUCCCUAAGUUGCAUCAUCAUUUAAAACAGAUCAUUUCACCACCACCCCUUUCCCCCCCAUCAUAGAAGAGCAAAAUUCUUUCAAGAUCAAAGAGUCCAAUCUUUAAAAAAAAAAAAACAACUAUUGUUUAAAAAAAUAGAAAAGUCAGUUAAAUAUGAACCUCCCCAUUUAUAUCUGCUCUCCUUGUGUUUAAAGGAUUUUUUGAAUAAGAAAAACAAAACUCAGUUCAUUUUUCAGACUUAUUAAUAGUUUAUCUAGCCCCCCCCCACUUUAAUUUAAAAAGAAGUUCAAAGUUAGAUUUCUCUGCCUGUGGGGGUUGAGGUAUACUUGCUUCUCUUUUAGAUCCUGACCAUCUGUUUUUGGAAAAUUAGCCUCUGGGAAGAGGGGGAAAGCAGUUUUUACUCAAAGUUAAUGGAGUGCUUUAAUUUAUUUAUUUUUUUGAAAAUAUACAAAUAUUUAAAAGUCCUAUUUUCCUUGCUUUUUAAGAGAAUACCAGUAACCUCUGUCUGGUGUGUCAGAGUGUAUCAAUUUUCCUUCUUCUGUCCUCUUCUCUGCUCAGGUAUUUUUUCUGUAGACUUGUGACUUUGGUGAAUUUUUUUUUUGGGGGGGAUACAGUGAAUGAAGAAACUAAAGCAGAAAAAAAUUAUCGUGGUUUUUGACACUGAAAAAUUGCGAACCUACUCUGGCUCAGAUAUUUAUCAUGCUGACAGAUAUGAUACAAAGCGAUUGCAUUCCUAAUGAUCCUCCGGGACUAAGUUGUAGGUAAAACCAUUUAAUGCAUUUUUAAUAUUAAAGUAAGGCCCAGGUUCCAUUUUCUUGGAGGUAGGGGGAGUGGCUGUCCCUGUACAGAGCUGGUGUUCUCUGAAUAGACAGCUUUGCUUCUUCAACUAGACCCACCCCCCCAUUUCACAUUUCCAUUACGUUGGGGAGGGGUGAGCCAUACAGGGCAUUUGGCUUUCACAAAUAAAUUUAUAUCCUACCAGAAGGUCCAAUACUAAAUAAGAGUACACUUAAAAUAAAACCACACACACACACACACAACCCAAGACUCCACCCCUGUUAUAGGAAAGAAAACAUAGGCAAUACUUGACCCCCCCACACCCUUCAGCCCUCCUGCUUCUCUUUUAUAUUAUCUUAUUUUGGAGGGGGCGGGUGGAAUGGUGGUUGCCUUUCAGCUCAGAAGAGGAGAGAGGAGUCAUUCCUAUUAUUUCCCUCUUUGCUAUAUUUUAAAUUUUUGUUUGAUUUGGAUUGCAAACAGAGCAGGGGCUUAGGAGUAAAAAGAGCACUGUGGCUUUAAACUCAGGAGUUUGCAUAUUCUCCUUGUAUCUUUCCCCUUUGCUAAUUAUUGUGUUGUUUUCAGAGCAAAUAUGUCAUAUCCAUGGCGACCGGGCAGGUUUAUUGUCUUUCUGAAGCAAUAGCUCACAUAAGUAAUUAAUGACUUUCUUUUUUUUCCUCUGGCUUAGGUUAAACAGAUCAUUCAAGGAAAGUCAUAUCUCUUCUCUUCUCUCCCUCUCUCUCCCUUUUCCUCUCUUUCUCUCUCUCUGUCUCUCUCACCUUCUCUCUCUCUCUCUCUCUCUCUCUCUCCUUUUUAGCCCAGUGACAUAAGAACAUGAGUUAAGAACAAGAAAAUACUUUAAGCAAGAAGUCAACAAGCUUAUUUCCCCCCCAUUUCUUCUGAGAGCUGAGUGUCAGCUUUCAGACCUCAGAGUUGUCAUCUGGCAGCCCUGAGCAGUGUGGUCCCGCCCGGGCUGGCUGUCCACUGCGGGUCUGCAGCAGCGAGUCUCACCUCCGUCCCUCCACCACCGUACCGGCCCUCCUUGGACGUCCUUAAACGAAAACUCAAACCCCCUUCGUGAGGUUUUUGAUUAUUUCUCCUGUAUUUGGCAGAAUUUAAUUAAAUUGUUUACUGGACAGAAUGAACGAGUUGGUAGUCUGUGUCGCCCGGAGCCCUUCUUUUUUCCCAGUCUAGUUCAUUGGAAAGACAAAGUUUUCCUUUUCAACUCACCUUCUUCAGCUUUCUGUGGCCUUUGUCUUAAGUGCUUUUUCCUGGAGGCGUAGCUUUUGGGAUUCCCUCUGGUUAAUAUUUCCAGAAUCCUGGUGGGGUUUUUAUUUUUUUAUUUUUUCCCUUUCAAACCUCCAACUUGAAGUGUUUUCUCCUUCUUAAGAAUCAACAGCUAUGGGAUGAUCAACUCUGCUUGGAUUUUUUUUUUUUUUUUUACUUUUUCCUUUUUCUGGUGGGAGACCUUUUGGGGAUGUCAGAUUAGAUAGGCAGCCUAUUGGUCUUCUGUACCUACAUAGUGACAGUGCCAGGGAAAGUAGAGGCUGUGUGUUUUUUUUUUUUUAAGAAACCACUUUUUAUGUCCUGUGCUUUUCAGAUGGACCUUUGCUACCAGAAGCCUUAUGAUGUCACCCUUUAACUUUAGGAAUUUGCUAGAUGUUUCUGCUAGCAUGCUCAGCCGCCUUCUGCCCUCCCCCCUGGACACACAUCAAGCACACUCCUGCGAUCCUCCCCCCACUUUUAAGUGUUUCACAUAUGACCAAGGUUUUGUGUGUGUCCUUCGAAAAGGGGAGAGCCAGAUAGCAAAGCAUCACGUUGUCCUCAGACACGAUUCAAAAGAAUAUUUUCCUCCCAUCUGAACUAAGUGCAAAAAAGACUGCGAGUUGACAGAAUGAAUCUUUAGGCUUUUGCCAUCAACAGUCAAAAUAUAAAGAAGAGAGAUUUAUUUGGUAUCUGGUUUCUGAAGAGGAGCAGAGGAGGCCAGGCAAGUCUGAUGCUGAGACUCCAGCAGGGCUGUAAUUGAGCCCGUAACCUCUUGAUGUCUAUAUCAGAAAAACAGACACGAGCAGGGAGAAUGGAGGAGAGGAGAACCAGCAAGCCGGGCAGAGGAGGGAGCUGGGGGGAGAGUCACAGAGAGAGGGAGAUAGAUUUAAUUUAUAGACAUUUUAAAAACCGUAAUUUCAUUAGGAUCUGUUCUUCCCUUUCUCUGAAGGGCAGCCCGGCAGACCGAUAAGGCCAGUCCCUCUGCCCGGGAUGCGUGGUGCGGUUUGUUGGGCGCAAAGCCUCGGCGUCCUUGCCAGGGCGGUUGCCUCUCUGUUCGCUCCUUAUUUUCAAAUUUAAAAGCCCCGAACAGUCAGAAGGGCUGUGUGGCUCAGGCUGCCCCGCGAUCUCCCCUCUGGUGCCACGCUCUUCUGGGAGCGGGUCUGUCUCCUGUCUGGGCGGUGGCAUCUGCAUGUCUUCCAUCUGUCACCCGGCUGCUGUGGUUCCAGCGGCAACGGGCUGCCAGGGAGGGGGAGGCCCCCAACUCGUCCCCCAUCAAGUUCACCAACUGAAGUUGCUGUGGUCCUGUGGCCGCAGCUUUAGGGGGGGAAGAUGAAGCUUGUCAUAAAUUCUGCAAAAAUUAAUCAGCCGUUGAAGAGCUGCUCAUGGACGGGGUUUGGCAGGCAAGCCGGCGCCUACUGCUGCUCCCUGUCCCGAGUCCCAUAGAGUGAGGGGUGUCCUGCACUGUGAGGAGGGAAGGGGGAGCUGAUGGCUUUUUUGGUUUGUUUGUUUAAUCACAAAAACUGAGGACAAGUAGGAAGAGGGCAGAAGACAGAUGGAUUUACCGAAUAUAAAUCCUCAAGUGCCCUUGUUCCAUGUUGUUGGAAAUUUUCUCUCCCUUUCGGUCUGGAUUUGUCCUGUGUGUCUUUGGUGGAACAGACACGUAGAGAAAGAGAGCGGGGUGGGGGGCGGUAAGGAGAGAGAGAGAGAAGGAUAGAGAAGAGAGAGAGAGGAGAGAGAGAGAGAGAGGCAGGGACAGCAGAGCUCCUUCGGAACUCAUUAUCAUUCGUAAUAAGUCUUAAGGAAUAAAGAAGAGCAUUGAGUGUAAAUGCUGGGUAAUCCUAACACUUCUCAAGGUGAGAGGAGUGUUGAGGACACAGAGAAAAGAGAGAGCAGAGGAGGGGUGGGAGGUGGGGCUCACAGGGCCUGGGGUGUGGAGGCCCUGCAGGAGGCCUAGAGGCUGGGGUGGGGGGACCCCCGAGAUGCCUCAGGUGGGAUAGGUUGUCUGAGCUGACACACACGGGGAUCUCCAGGAUAGGGUGAUUUGCUGAGGGUCAGGAGGAGGGGUGCAGGGACCAGUCCUACCUGUGUGUGGGGUAUGGACUGGUGUUUUGGGGCCUUUCAUUCCUCCUGGGCAUCAUGUCCCCAACCUCCAGGCCUCAGACUUUUGAAGAAGGCCCAGAACGGGAUGGAGGAGCCUUGUCCUGCUCUAGGCCCCCACCUUACUGUCCCCUAGGGAUCCCGCCCCCACCCCCGCAGUGGCCGCACUGGAAAGCCAGAGGGCCAGAGCAGCAGCUAGAGCUCAGCUCUGGACACUAGGUGGCUUAGAGGAUCUGCUCCGUUCUCCGCUUGGCCGCUGGCUUCCCUCCCCUCCCCGCGGGUGGGCUCCGCUGUGCAUUUGCUCUGCUCGCUGGGCUGGCAGCCCUGCCCAGGCGCAUGGCCCAGAUCCCAGGCUGGCCCUCCCGCAACCAGCUCUCAGGCAAAGUGAGGGUGAGGCCGGGGGGCAGCUCCCGAGGGGCAAGACAGCUGUCCAGGGACACUUGCAGGCAAGAGGAAGCGAGUCCAGCCGGGUCUCUGCCCGCUCCAUCCUUGGCCACCUGGGCAUGAGGCACUGCUGAGUGCUUGAGGGGGUCUCUGAGCUGUGCACUUCCCCUUCUUAGUUUAUGUGCCCCCUUUGAGAAUCUUCUUAAUAAAAAAAAUCUCAUAAGCAUAAAUACUGCUUAUACUUUGAGGGGUUUCACAGAUCUUAUAAGCCCGGCCUAAGGACCCUCCAGGGUCCCUUGCCCUGGUGGGCUUCCUUCCAGUUCUGUGGGAUGGGGCAGCAGGAAAGAGGAGGCAAAACCUGUCCACACCACCACUUCCACUGGCCUGCCUCAGUCCUGGGAGAGGAGAGUGCCAUCAGGUGUCACCUAGGGGCCCAUAGAUGAGGCAGGAGCCAGCCUGCAGGUCACCCUCUGUAGAACCACACCUGCUCGGGCAGAUGCCCCAGGCCAGGUCCAAGGCAGCGGUCCCCUCCUCUGGCUUACCUCCGCUAGGAUUCCUCGGAUGUUCGAGGAAGGGUGUUAGCCAAGGUCAUGUUCCAACCAUCAGGAGAGAGGUGGGCAUGAAGGACAGCACAAUUCAGAUUUGACUUACCAGAGUUGAAACAAAAAAAAUUUUUUCAACUCUGUAUUUCUUUUGGAAAGCAACUUCUGGGGAGCUUGCAGAGGGUGUGUGGGAGUUGGAGGUGAAGGCUGGUGACUGAGCUGGUGUGGAGCCCAGAGGGAGCGGGACGGGUUAAUGGCGGGUGGAUUCUGCUUUGCUCUUGUAUAAGAGCAGUAAUGGCCAAAUUGCAUGCCCUGCGUGCGCCUUGCUGACGAGAUUUACCGAAAGGAAGCUGAACUGCCUCCGCUGCUGGGCUCUGGGUGGGUGAGCUUCUGUGUGUGUGUGUGUGUGUGUGUGAUCGUGCGCGUGUGUAAAUGAGAAGAAGGGGUGGGGGAAUGCGCUCUGCCGGGCUGGCACCCUUGGGGUCGUGAUUAACGACCGUCUCAUGGGUGCCCCCGACACGGUCGCAGAGGUCGAGGCGGACGGGGGGAGCGGGGUCCCUCGAGUCGACACGUCGAGUGAUAGGCUCCCGGUAAAGGCCCGGGUGAUCAGGACCCGGAGGAAACCCUUAAAGUCCCUUUAGACUAGGAACCCCUCUGACACCCAGUUCACGGACGUAGAGACCGUCCCUGACCCCACCUACCCCGUUCCGUCCCCACCAGGUCCCGAGACGAUUCCAAGCCGACGGGUGAGGGGACGGUCCGAGGUGCACGGACACGGGUGAGUCCCAGAGCACUUGGCACCGCCCGAUCCGCUCCGUAGCCCCGUGGGACAAGACCAAGAUCGAGACCAUUUAGUGACACACUGGGACCCGUUCAGUGAACUAGAGAGACCCAGAAUCAAACAAGAGAACAGUUUGCCGGACACUGGGAUGACGGGAGUAUCCCGACAGGUCCGACGGCCGACCCGAGUAUCGGCACUUUCAGGAAACUUUCAUUAAUUUGCAUUACUUCUUAAAUAGUACCAGUACAACAGUUCACGUGCCACAGGGCUACAGUCUGCUCGACCAAAAUACAUUAUACCAUGGUCAGAGUUUCCCCUGGGGACACUUAAGGUAAGGUCUUUCGGAGCCGGACCUGUGCCGCGGACCCCGACGGUAAUGUAAAAGUAUAGUCCAAUACCCAACCGAGAGAACAGUAGCCCUCACACCCCGACCCAACCCCCAACGGAAAAUCUGUCUAACCUCCUAGGGUAGGUCCUAUACCCCCUGUGAAUCGACAAAAUCGGAUACCCCGCGUAAACCGACAAAACCUUUUGUCCCCAAGUAACUUAACGACGUACGUGUAAUAUGUAAGAUCUCGGUGACUCGACCCCUAGUUUCAGAAUACAAGAUCGUAACCAAAGAAUUGAUCGGGCACGGAGUCAAAGAGAGUAGACAUUUCACCCUUCUCGAACGACAGAUAUAUAGACCCCUGGUCCUGAGAUAAUCCACACCCCGUCACAGUAUAACCAACUUUUAAGAUUUAAAACACGAAAUGAAGAGACCGACGGAACCCCCGGAGGACCUUAAACUCCACUACUCAGUCCUCCCUUACUCUUCCAUUUGACAUAGCCAGGGUUUGACCCCGACACCGGUAAACGAAGAGAAAGAGUAACACCGGACUCACCUGCAAGGACCUCGAGACAUCCACUCGCCUAGGCAGUACCCUCCACAAACCUUGUCCUCCGAACACUACCCUUCUCCACCCCCUGUCUGGGACCCUUAACCGAGUCCCACGGACACCAGAGACGGACACACGUGGAUUGAGACCCAGUCCACUAGGGUCCCAGGGCCUACACUCCCAAGAAACACCACCUCUGACACGGACCGUCUCCCGACUCUCGUACCCUAAACCUCGGUCCGACUCGACUUCCCUCACAAAGAGGGUGAACCCGUCUAAUUAGGAGAUUAGGAAACAAAGGGACAGACAUUUUACCUUAAACAUGGGACACCUCACCGACACUCCUAAGUUACUCUCUUGUCAUAGACAGCGAUUGCAGCCCAGACGACCCAAAGUUGGAACUCGUAGUAAAGUGUCAGACGUGAGACGGGUCACUCGACGUGUGUCAUCCUGGUGUCCCUCCGAUACUGUUAAUGGACCGGUAGAAUCCGAGUCGGAGUCCACCCAGGUGCCCACCAAACCCACUGGAAACUCCGAGUCACGAGUCGGUCUCCCACCCCGGUCCGACUCGUACUGGUCACAGGGGAAUCAGGGAUGACACCAACCUAGGUUCCAAAGGGUGGAUGUGUUGAGUGAGCCUGUCCUGGAGGCCCCUGGGCCUGGGUGCAGCGGGCAGGGAAAGCUGGGGGAAGAGGCAGUGACCUAAGGAGGCAAGGGCAGGGUGCUGUGGGGCGGGGGGCACCGGAGGGGCGAGGGGCACUUAUGGAAGAUGAGGUGUAUGAAACUCCAUCGGCCUCUCCCAUUUCACUGCGCUGUGCCAAAACAUCCCGGUUCUUGUUUCACUAUCUGAGAUCUGGGGGCAGGUUAAUUUCCAUGACGAACUCCCGGCCACGUGCUUGGAGGAUUUAUCUAAUUAAAUUGAUGCUUUUUGCUAAGAAAGAAAAGAGAGAGGGAAGGAAGGAGGAAAAGAAGGAAGGAAGGCGGGAAGGAAGGGAGGGGAGGGAGGCAGGCCAGCGUGCUGGGGACGGGCGGGGCCUUGCUGGUGGGCCGAGCCUUGGCUUCCAACUCUCACUGUAUUUUCAAAAUUUCUCUUGGGCCAGGAGGGACGAACUGGUGGGUUUGGGGUCUGUAGCGGCCCAUCCAGUAGCCACUAAUCCACCUGGCAAUUUAACUUGAAUUAAAAAAUAGGUUCGGCUGUUCCCCGGCCGUGUGUGGCUCCUGGUGCCACUGUAUUGGGCACACGGGGACAGAACAUUGCCAGCACUGCAGCCAGUUCUCUUGGUGGGUGAGCCAGGUGGGUGAGCCCCCAGGGACCAUGAUGGACAUGGAGUGAGGGGCUGGGCUACAGGGACAUCCACAGAUGUCCCUGGGGGCACCAUACCUGGAGCCAAGGCCUCUGUGGGGUGGGACCACCUUGUCUUUCAGUCCCUACUCAGGUUUCCUCUCUUGGGACAGGGCCACACGACAUGGCCAGUCUGGAGUUAGAUGGGGCUUUAGACAUUUCUCCCACUUAGGGCCUUGGUGACCUUGGGCAAGGGUCUUAUCUCUCUGAGCCUGUGGAUUGGGCUGAUAGGAGGCAGAGCCUGCCCCCUGGGGUUCCUGGGGUCACUAACUGAGCUCACAUAGUAAGCGCUUAGUAGACUUGGACCACCAUCCCGCCAUCAGGACCACAGUCGUCACAAUUGUUGAUAUUAUUUUCAUAAAGAUUAUGGAAGAGCUUCUGUGACUGCCCAGGUGUGAGGGAUACUCCCCUCCCCCUGGCCACCACCAAAUGUUGAUUUUCUUCAUUAUCAACGGUUUCCAGGAUGAGUUUAAAUGAACCCCCCACACCCCUCCUUCCUGGGAACCUAUUUUGGAUUUCUUCUCCCCAUCCCUCCUUUUCGGGGCAGGAGGAGGACUUGGAGCUGCCGGAAAAUUAAAAAGUGCUGCUUCUGGAGAGUUAGAUCCCCUGUCACUCCCAAAACACACACACACACACACACACACACACACACACGCUGCCUCGCGCGUGCACACACACCCGGCUCCACUGGCCAAGCCACGUUAAAAAAAAAAAUCCAAAGUAUUAACAUAGGGGAGUACAGAUGUGGCCCUGGCAGGCUGGCCAGGGCGCUUUGAGUGGGGGUGGGGGUCACUGGCCCCAGAGGGACGUGUGUGUUGUUCCCGGACAUUGCCCAGUGCCCUGUGUGCUAAUGCGGAGCUCCCCUGCAUUGUGCAGACGCCUUCCCCCGUGAAAAGGUAAUGGAGUCAGUGAGUUCCGAAUGGAUUGAAGCUGACAGUAAAUGAGAAUUUGGCAGUGGGUAGAAAACACGCUCCCCCAGCUCCACUCCCCACCAGAGCCAGGCUCGCCCGGCCCUCCCCGGACUCCCAGCGCCCGUUUUGGUUUUUAGAAAAGAAUUACGGUUUCUUUUUUGUAUGCAUCAACAUUAGCAGCUGGGGUGAUGUCCCGACCUGUCCCCCUCCCCUGGAUGGCCGAGCCCCCUCCCCCAGGUUGCCACCUCCCAGCCCCUUGCCGCCUCGGUGGCUCCGCCAGCGAUCCCGAACGAGUUAAGGGCUGAAUCAACUCCAGACCCAGCUGCACAUUUCACUCUGGGCUCCUGAAUGGAGCGAUGUGCUGUGCUCAGCAGGAUUGGAGACGGUCUGCCCCGGUGACCCAGGGCCCCCACCCUCCUGGGCUCCACGGGCUUUCAGGGGACCUGCUGCCCGAUCCAGGACCUCCUGCCUGGCUAAUUGGGGAGCUGGUAGCCCAUGUUGUGGGGUCCUUGUCUAGUGCCCUCCCUGUGUCCAGCCUCCAUUAGAGACUUUUUUUUUUGUACUGGGGAAUGGACACAGGGUGCUCUACCACUGAGCUACACCCCAGCCUUUUUUUCUUUUUUCCCUCCCUCCCUCCCUUCCUCUCUUCCUUCCUUCCUUUCUUCCUUCCUUCCUUAUAGACAAGGUCUCACUAAGUUGCUGAGGCUGAUCUCAAACUUGCAAUCCUCCUGCCUCAGCCUCCUGAGUCACAGGGAUCACAGGUGGGUGCCACCAUGUCCAGUUCCUUGGAGACCUAUUUUGAUUUUGAAAGAAAAGGUGCACCAUUCUGAGCUGGCAUCGUCCCUGGCUUGCAAAGAAGGCUGGCAAUUUUGAGGGCUUGAAGAUGCCAGGGGCCCUGCCCCUCCCCCCACAGUUCUUCUUUCGCCACGUCCACACCCAUGGAUAACUCCUGUCACGCACUUGCCAAGACCCCCGCAUAUGUAGGCCUCCCCAUUUAAACACUCCCAAGAACCCCCCGGAGGGAGACACUGUCACCCUUGUCCUUCAGUGUCCCCAGCCAUACCCCGUAUUUAUACAGUGGCAUCUCUGCAGCUUGACCAUCGUGUCCUGGUGGGGCAGGGGUGGGCUCUUUCCUAUUCUUGGGGGCCAAGAGGCAAGAAGCUCUCAUUUCGGCAGAAUCAUAUAGCCUGCUCCUUGGGGGUGCAUGUGUCUGUCGUGGCUGGCAAUGCCGCCUUAGGGGCCCCUUUCUGUAAAGGCCUAGUGGUGUCUGCUUGUGUAGGAGCCUGGCCGGGAGAACAGUGGUUAAGUCCAUAGUUUCAAAUCCCCAGCCCUUCAGUUCUUAGGAGUAUGACUUUGGAUAUAGCACGGACUUUUGUGAGCCUCAGUUUCCUUGUUUGUCAAAGAGGACGGAUAAUAGUGCCUGUCGUGUGGGGUGGUUGUGAGGAUUCAGUGAGGUAAAGCUGGCAGGGGCCUUGGCACGGGCCUGGCAUGUGGUAACAAGGGGUGACUCUCGUUGUUGCUAUCACUGCCCGGAUUCCAUCCUCCCCAUCUGUUACCAGGGAAGUGGCAAGGUGGAAGGCUCAGGCCUAUCCCUGUGCUUGGGCUCCAGGACCCCCAAAGCCAAGCUAGAGUCCCAGUCCAUCGCUGUGGCCACCAACUGUCUGCCAAAGCACACUUGCCAAUCCAGCAAGGCACUGCCCCUCCAGGCCAGAUCUCUGCAGGAAGCAGGGGAAGGGCUUGUGAUACCCAGGCCUGGGUGGGCACCUUGGACACUCAGUGGCAGCCCCUGGACUGGCUCUGACUGCCUGGCCCAGGGCGAGAGCCACUCCUGGACAGUGCCGCCAUCUUGGUUCUCCUUGGCCUCUCCUCUGAGGACGGGAGCACGGCCCUUGCCCUCCCCCAUCAGCAGGUGGCCUUUGCAGCCCGGCACCUGUUCCUGGAGGGCGGCUGCCAGGAAGGCGCAAACCCAGGAAUCACCCGCCUGGCGUGGCCUCCGAGUGUUUGCACGAGGUUCGAGUGCCGCCCGGGGGGCUGGCCUGGGCCUGGCCUGGCAGAGGAGGGGCUUGUUCUCUUGCCCCUGAGCCCCCUCCUCGCCUUCCAGGUGCGUCACAGGGUCUGUGCUCUGGGCUUGGCUGGGGGGAGGAGAGGCAAAGGUGAGUCGAGGGUGCGGGUGAAGGGUCUUGCUUUUGUCCCCAAGGGGCAGCAAGCAAGCUGAGGCCCUUGUACAUAGUCAUUUUAUUAAAAGAAGGAAACAGACAGGUCCCAAGUGCUGACUGGGAGUGUGUCGAGUCCUGUGUUGUGACCGGAGGGCAGAACACAGGCAGGAAGUGCUUCUGCCGCCUGGGACCUGGCAGGAAUAAGCCCCGAGAGGGGCAGUCGCUGGCCUGCUCAUCCAGGCUCAGGGCACGAGGGCCAGGUUUGAAUGGUUGAUCUGACUCGAGCCCGAGACGCGUGCUUUCCUCAUGCCCUCGGAAUCGUGGGAUCAUAUUUUCAGCAUUUUUUUGAAAACUGAUAAAGGGAAAAAUAUUCACCUGUAACGUCACUCUCGAGAUACAACCUUGUUUAGUAUUUAAUGUAUUUCCUUCUAGUCCCCCCGCCCCCCCGCCUGGGGACUGGGUAUAUUUAUAUAACAUGUAUUUUACAUAAAUUAUGAUCGCAGGAGAGUGCAGUUGGGUUGAGACCCUGGAUGAGGUGGGAGGGUCUCUGAGCCGAGGCCGCCCGGCAGUGAUGGAUUCUCAGCGCAGUGGAAACCUGGGCUUGGCCCUGAGCCAUCCCGUGGGUCACCGGCGCCUGAGGUGUGUUGGAGAAGCCCUGGGUGAACGGACAGGCAGGCAAGACCCCCCGUGCGCUCUGUGGGGCUGGCCCGGCUCAGUUCAGUGGUAGAGUUUUCCUUCUAACUUGCUUCCUUCUUGCUUUUGACAAAUGGGAAUAUUUGUACCAUUUCCCCGAAUGACCUCCUCUCCUUGGGGUAAUGAGAAAAUGAAAGUCUUCGCUAAGUGCUUUGAGAUAUUCAGAUAUAAAAAUGGAGAGAGCGGGCGAUGUCAGGGGCCUUUGGCUGCCAGGGUGCUUUACAGAGAGGAAGCGCAGUUGUUGGGAGUGAAGGUCACCAGGAGGCUGAGGGCCUUGCUGGAACCUCGUCCCUCUGGGCUGGAGGGCAGCCGAGUUCGGGCCGGCUGGGCAUGGGCGAGGUUGGGGUGGAGCCCCUGCCCUCCUCCAGGCCCAUGCACCCAGGCGAGGCCCCUUUGGCCAAGGUGAUCUCGAUGCCCGGGCAGAGCCCGCCCUGGGCCUGGGUCUUGUGGCUAAAUGAUCCCAUUCAAGGACAGACUCCUCCUCUCUCUCCCUAGUGUCAGCCCAGGAGUAGCACAGUGGAAUAAAUACUGUCACCUAUACAAAUAGUCAUCCCGAAGAUGAUUUCGAAACAUGGAAAAAUGUUUAUCAUACGGAUGAAAAUGCUCCCCGAGUGCGGAGCGGGGCGAAGGCGCCUUUAGGAGCUGGAUCUAAGCACCAGUGCUCCUUCCCGGGCAGAGCCCAGAGGUGCUCCUCCAAAAUGGAAAUUACAGCGUGAGGGCGCCGGGACCAGGGCGAUUUGUUUUUUUAUUUCACAACAUUUUAUUUAAAUUCCCACAAAGCCAACGAGGCGGCCCAGCGGGAGGCUGGCAGGGUGGGGGCGGGGCACGGGAGAGGGCGCUGCACCCACGGCCCCCGCAGGGCGCUGAGCUCACCGGCUCUGCCAGCCGCAGAGACCUAUGAGAUCCCGAGAAGCCGAGGCGUAUCGGUGACUCAGAACUCGGUGUUGUGCUGUUCAACAAUAGCUUUUGUCCUUUGCCCAAAACCCUAGGCCAGUGUGUGAAAAAAAAAAUUAUAAAAUUAUGAGAUAGUUUGUACUUUCCUUACCAGCCGGUGCCAGCUUUGGGCGCUUUAUUUAUUCAAGGUGGGGAGGCAGGGAAGGCGGGGUGGGGGGGAGAUAGAAAGGAAAAGAAAAACAAGGGAGAACUCGGACAAGGCCCAAGAGAGGUUUGAGCCUCAACAACAAACUUUCUUUUGUUUGAUGGGUGGGGAGGGAAAAAAUAAGGAGAAAACAUGCAGAAGGCCGGUUCGAACCAAGCGCAGCUCUGUGUGGGGUUGCCCCAGCCUCCUCCCCCAGGGCUUUGCUUUUAUUGGUGCAACUGGAAAGCUGUUUUGGAGGGGCUCAUCUAGUGAAGGGGGCGAUGAGGAGGGACGUAGGCAGAAAGGGCUGGAGCCAGUGGCCACGAUGGGAGCCAGGAGGCAGGGUUGGUGUCUCUGUUCAGACCGAUAAUGCCCAACUGCCAACAGCCUUUGCCCUUACUUCCGGUGGGGUUUAAAGAGGAUCCAUACCUCCUGGAGUCCCAGAUGCCACGCUCUGCCAGUGGGACUCAGAAUUCCCAGGGGCUCAGGGUGAGGAGGGGUUUGCAUCUGACCGGACUAGUGUUUCCCUCUGGUGUCCACUGGAACACGUUUCGGGACUGAGAUUCAGGAAGGCCUUGGUGGGGCUGGGAGUGGGUGUGUGUGACAAAGUGUGUGUAAAUGAGUGUGUGGGUGGUCGUACCUGAGCUCGUGUGAGGGAUUGUGUGCCCCUUGAGACUGGCUUUUCUCCCUGGUUAUGACAGCCAGAUGGGUACAAUUUGGGAGGAGCCUCAAAUCUAAUUAUUUCACGUGUCACCCUGUCCCCUGCCCCAAACUGAGUGUUCCUAUGAGGUGGCCUGGGCCUGAGCCGAUGGGCCAUGCUUCCUACCACAUUGGCUCAGAUGAUUCUGUGGGUCUUCCAUAGUGGUUGGACCAGGAAGAGAAAGGUUUGUGGGUUCAAGGACAAGCCCCUGGGGCUGGGGUGUGCUCCCCUGGACUCAGAUGCUCACACUGUGGCCCCGAUAAGGAUCCCAACCCCCUGGCUCAGGAAUGGUUCCCUCAUGAUCUUUUAGUCACUGUGACCUUCCCUCAAAGAGGACAGCUACAGAUUACAGACCUUGGUGUACAGACAAACUGAGGCCAGGAGAGGGGAGGCUACCGAGCCAACGUCCCCCAGCUAGUCUGUGACACAUUUGGAAGCAGGACCAAGCCUGUGGGCUCCUUGGAAACAUGCUCCUCUCCCCCAUGGCUCUAGUGAGGCCAGCCGGGUCCCAGCGCAGAGCUGUGCUUCCUCUACUUUCUCUUUUUGCUACUGAGGUUGAACCCAGGGGUGCUCAAACACUGACCCACAUCCCCAGCUCUUUUUAUUUUAUUUUGAGAUAGGGUCUCACUAAGUUGCUGAGACUGGCCUCCAACUUGUGAUCCUCCUGCCUCAGCCUCCCAGGUCACCGAUUACAGGUGUGCCACGGUGCCAGGCUUUUCCACUCUUAGGGUAGGCAAACAAACCCUCUUGGGGGAUCAGAUUUUGUGACUAUGGCUCAGGGUGACUGAUCCUCUGCUUUCUAUUGAGGAAAGAGCCCUGAACAGAGAGAUAGACAAGAGGUUUCCAGCCCCACCUCUGCCACUGACAAGCAGCCAUGUCCCAAGACCUGGGCUUUGUCUACUUGGAGCUGGAGGGCUGGACCCGGAGGUUCCUCAUCUCUUCCCACUUCAGGACGCCUGGAGCUUUCUGCCACCAUCCAGAGUCCCCAGCUGUGCCAUGCAGCAAACCCUCUCCCACAACCUGUCAAACCAGAGAUGCCAGUUCCCCAGGGCUCCCAGGAGCUCCCGCCCCUCUCUAGUACCAGGCAGAACCUCUGCAGGAAGGUCCCGGCCUGUGCCCUGUGCACCUGCUUAUUGAUAACUGUGUGUCUGAAUGUGCCUCGGGUCAGAGCCCUUUGGUUUGAACUUGCCUUGUACCGAGAGGCCGGGACGUGAGAAAAUUACGAGCAGGGGAGAGGAGUGGUACCCUAUGACAGGAGGCAGCUGUGGAGAAGGAGCAGGCUCCAUGCCCAGGGUGAGCGCCAUCUGGGUGGGAGGCCUGGCUUCCAGCUGUGGGGGCUCCGGAAGGGCAGAGGCUGGGAGGAAUGAUUUUGAAGCCACUACUAUGGAGAUUAAGGGGAUGAGAAUGUAAAUCUCAAGUAAAAAGGUAAUUGAAUGUAAUAGCAAACACUGCUCGCUCUAUGUUAAUUUUAGCUCUUCCCCUGGAUACAAGACGCUGUAUUAGUGUUUUAUUACCAUUUUGUUUGCACUAAUAAAAUAGUAAAAUUUAUUUCAAGGAAGUUGAAGGAUGGUUUUACAAUGCAAAUUUGAAGAAAUUGGACUUUUCAUUUAUGCCUCUGCUAUUUUAAACCCUGACGGGUGUAAAUUAGCUACAGGGACUGAGGAGACCCCACUGAUGGGGACUUGGGAGGCGGGAACCCUGGCAGGGGUUGCAGACUGGCUCAGGGCAAAAUGUAGAGAGGGCUCCACAGAGAGGCUGAGGCCACUCAGGGGCCUGGCUGGGUGGGACUGUGCAGUGGGUGAGGGUGUCAGGCGUGAGUGACUGGCCGUGGGUGGGAACGUCACACAUGGAGCCACUGGGGAGACACUCAGGCCUCGGGGUUUCAUCUUUCUCCUCGGCCCUUUGGUCUCCUUCUUGUCCUGACAUUGGGCCUUGAUUAACCUGGUGAACCCCCAAGGGAAAUGAGCAACCUCUCUCCUUUGUGUCCACCAGGGGCAAGUGGGCCACUUGUCCAGGACACACCCAUCUGUCAAAAGGGGCUGCAGAUUGAGGAGAAGCCAUCAGAGUCUGGAGGAAGGACCCUGAGCCUAAAAGGAACCAGGGGAAAGACCCAGGCUAGGGCUCUUUCUGAGGAAGCCAGCAUCCCUUCAAAAAUGGAGCCGAAAGAAUGGCCGGUCCCCAGCCCAAUGGUGUCCAUGAACCGAAAGGCCAGAUGACAGAAUUAAAAAAGAAAAACCAAGUGGUCUGAAUCAGGGAAGCAGACAGCGAAGGAUGUGGGUGGAGAAGGAAGGAAAGGGGUGAUGGCAGAGGUUCCUUUUGAGUUUGGGGUAAAGAAUUCAGGUUGGAUCUUGUUUUAUCCAAACCGGUUUGUUUAUCUCUAAAAAAUUAUCGGCAGCAAUGGCCCAAAGGGAUGCAUUGAGGGGACCCGCUUCCAAAGAGUAGGGAGCCCAACAAGUGUUCUAAUGUCUGGCGGAGUCGGCAGCUUGUAUCGCCCAGGGUUUGCUGGCUGCCUGCCCGGGUUGGGGGGAACAGUGAGCCCGGGGUGCUGGUUCCUAGCUCCAACCCCAGGUCUUGUGGGGCUUCUGUAGUGUGUUCUGUCUCCCUUGGUAGGGUGUGUUUUGUGUGUGUUUAAGGAGACGAUUCAGACUGUCCAUACUGGCCAGGCUGCACAAACCCUGUGGAUGCCCUUGGUGGCAGAGUGAGAGCUUGGGUGUUAGGACUUGGCUGGUGGCUUGCAGGGAACUUGGUCCUGGGGCAGAGGAGGUGGGCACAGACUCCCAGCCUCUUUCCGUGGCUCCUCUAGGCCUAGGGAGCCACAUCUGGAGCAGUGGGGGCCUGCGUUGACUCGGGUCAGAGGUCACCCCUGAGGGUCAGGCCUGUCUGUGGCAGCAGGCCCAGCACUCCAUGUGGUUCGUGGAAGAGAGAGGAAAAUUCUCCAGCCAGGCUUCUUUGGGGUCCUUUUGGAACAAGGGGCUGGGGAUGGGAUUCCUUGGGGUCAUGAGGUUAGGUGUGCAGGAGUCAAGGUCAGGAAACAGGCCUUGAACCUCCUCUCUUCCACUUCUGAGCACCCAGGAGGCCCUCGUGGCUCUGGGCUGGUAGCUGAGGGGCAGAGAGGGAGGCGGCCAAGGCGAGGGCAGGCUCCAGAGUGUUGCUGAAAGGAGGGAGAGAGGAGGACAUUUAAAUGAGGAAGGCCCGUCAUUUAGCACUGGGCAUGCUUUCCAGUUCUCCAAGAGGGGGAGAUGCACUGCUGUGUGCCCAGGGAUUUAGAGAGGCAUCGGGCAGGGGGUUCCACUCCAAGUGCCUUUCAGCCCACAACUGUAAUUACCCAAGGAGCAGACGGAAAUGGGAAAAGAGGAUUAGCGGGCGCCCUGCUGGGCCUGGUGGUGCAGGUGGCACCCGGAGUGCCCAGCCUGGCACAGCACCUGCCAGCUUUUAGCUCAACUUUGAGGCUGGGGUCAGAGCCACGGUGGUCUACCAUGGGCAGUGGACCCCUGGGCACCUCUUUCCUUGGCUGUCCUGCCUGGCCACAGCACACCCUGGAAGCAGGACCCGUCUCUGCUGCCUUGUCCUGGGUGGUCUGGGGGGGGCCUGUCAUCUGGUGCCCAGCACUUCCCCAGUGGCCCCUUCAGUUGGAAGAAAGUGAGGCCAGAACCCUGUGGUCUUUUGCGCUCCGUUUCGCUCAGCCCCCCGGGGGGUGCCGGCAUCCCUGGGUGCUCUGAACCCCCAGCUCACCUUCCGUCUCCUGCCUGGCUUCCCUGCACCUGUCAGCUGUCUCACUGACUGUCUGGCUUGGCUGCCACCCAUCCUCUCCUCCCAGGCCAGCCCCGCCCCCACCCCUCCCCCAGCCCCAUUCCCUCCCUUCCUGUCUCUGCCCACGGCUGUCUCUACCUGCCCGGUCGCCGGCACACCUGAGGAUCCGAAGCUGCCUAUCGGAGUGCGGGCACGGUUCAGGGUGUUUACCAGACAGCCAGGAUAAGGUAUUAAAUCCUGUUGCUGUCUUCCCAGGGCCGGGUUCCUCAGAUGGUUUUCCAAAUUCCUAAUCUCAGUGCCCGCAUCCCUGUGUUUGAUGGGAGCGUUCCCUUCCCAUUGAAGCUGAACCCGGCAGGAACUGUCAUGGGGCUGGGGCUGGGUUCCCACCGGGGCACGAUGACAUGGGUGUCCAGCCCCUUCCUCUCUUUGGUUCUUCCUUCCUUCCUUUCUUUGGGAAUCUUAGCAAGACAGGGCCAGGAUUCUGCCAUCCAGUAUUCUAGAGCCUCCUUGAGCCCCCCAUGCCCUCACCAGUAUGGGUCUGAGGCCACCUUCUAAAAUUGGGGGUGCAUGUUGAAGAUUGGGCUUACUAUCAGAGGCCAGGGGAAUCCAGUUUGAGGAGGGUCUGGAAGGGAGUAUGCAGGCCGACAGCCCUGCCUGGGUUCUAGAAUCGUCCUUUGCAUUCUUCAUACCCAAAGAUCCAGAGGGAGCCUCUGGGGUGACGGGAGGGCUCAGGUGAGCCCUGUGCAGGGGAGCCUCCUCCACUCUUUUUCUUUUCUUAUUUUGCCUUGCUAAGGUUGAAACCCGGGCCUCACACAUGCUCAACAAGUGCUCUACUAACAGCCACGUCCCCAACCCCUUUUAUAUUUUAUUUUGAAACCAGGUCUUGCUAAAUGGCCCUGGCUGUCCUUGAAUGUGCGAUCCUCCUGCCUCAGCCUCCCAAGCUGCUGGGACUAUAGGAGUGUGCCAGGCCCCUGGGCCCAGUGAUCGCCAUUCUUGAUGUGGAGCAGAGGUAGCUCCCACGAUCUUCCUUUCUGUAGGACACCCCGGGACUUGUCUGCCCACCUAGGAUGGCAGGACUGUCCAGAGGGCAGGGAGGCUCUGCCAUAUCCUUAAUCCCCUCUCCUAGGAACCAGGCUGUGAGAGGCCCGUAAGCUCAUUCCCCCGUGCUGGGGAGUUUCUGGGAGGGAAGGAGCAGGACUUUGCAAGGCAGGGACCUGACCAAUGGUGGGGGGGCUGCCUGGUUCCAGUAGGUUUGUCCCUUCUCCCAGCUACCACGUGACCUGGACUUCUAGUCCCCUUGUCUCUCUCCCUGGCGGUAGACCGCCUCUUCUUUCUCUGCCCACUGCUCCCUUCUCCCUCCAGGCAACCAGAGGGCUCUUGGCUUCACAGCAGAGCCUCCCUCUUUCCAGGUCUCCUCACCUGUUCUUGCUGGGUUCCAGGUGGCACAUGGCCCCACCCUCCCAGGUGGCCUCUGCAGCCAACACUGUUCUGGGCCUUUCCGUCCCUUUCUGAGACUGCACUACAGGCGCUCUGGAGGGCUCGGCCGUGGGGAAGGGGUGCAGGGUGCUGUGGCAUCACCCUCUCCAUCGAGGCUGCGGGCUGGGGCUCCCGUGGGCGUUUUGGGCACUGUGGUUUCUAAUUUUAUUUGGGGUCUGGCUCUUCUUUUUCUAAUAUGUGCUGAUCAAAAAAAUGAUCAAAAAGUAGGAUAAAAAGGGGCUAGGAAAAAAUCUUGAGAGUGAUAGUUGGGCUGGUGAGGACGGGGAGGAGGGGGACGAAGACAGGGAGGAGGAGGAGGAGGAAGGAGGUGAAAUGAAUUCAUUAGAAAAACUUGUUUACUGGCUUUGCUUAGGCGCCUCCAUUUUAAAAGUCUACGUUUACAAUAAGUCGCUAAUUAAAAUACGAAAUUAAGCAACAGCUAUGUUUUUUUUUCCCUUACACUUUAAUUGCAUGAUUUUUUGUGAUGUAAUUUCUGGAAACACCCAGUGUACCUCACAGGGCUGAUUGUUUGAUAAACUAGAAGCACCUGAAACCAACCCAAAAAAUAAAUAUAUAAAUAUCCAAGGGGAACUUAAGGUAGAUUGGAAGUGACAGAGAACUGCAGACAGCAGGGAACCAACAAUCCAGGAUGAUGAUAACCAAAAAACUUCCAAGUAAGGACAUUAUCCUCCUGCCCGCACCCCCCACGGCACCACCGAAGCCAGAACACUCUGCGUGUCUCGGGGAGGGGAAGCUGAAACAAGCCAGAUCAGGGGGCAGUCGCGCCCUGGCCCCUGCCCCAAAUUGGUGCUAUGGAAAACACCAAGACAGAGUUGUAUGUCUUUCUGACUUCAUUUCUAGCUGGGCUCAGAACUGGGACCUUUGAAGGGGAACUUCUUUGUCCCUGUUGCUCUCGGCCCAGGGGCCAGUCCCAGAGGGGAAGGAUUGGGGGACCAUGACUGUCCCUCCUGGACACAACAAGAGCCCCCAUGCUCAUGCCACAGCUGGGAGGUGGCCCAGGCCUGGUGGCUGCUGGCCCUGUGUUCCUGACGGCCGUGGAAGCACAGGCUCUUCCAGAAGGUGGUGGAGAGGGUGGUCCAGGGCAGGGGAGAUGUGUGCUGACGCUGGCAGACAAACCGUGGCCUGCUACCUUUAAGAUGUAGACCCAGGCGAGAUUGCAAAACUGCCGAGAAACCUGUCAGGAACUGACUCAGGGUGGGGCGGGGAGGAAGCUGGAUCCCGUGGCAGCCUGGCUGCUGGGGACACUUCGGCCCGGCAUCGGUGGGGACUCUAGGCCUCCUGGGCAUGGGGCACAGGGCAGCAGGAGCUUGUGGGACAGAGGGGACCGCAAUGCUGGCUCCUUCUUCCAUGUACCAGCCAGGGUCCCAGUUGGCCAGGGCCCCAGGAACCUCCUGACGUGCUCUGCUCUUGGGGAAAAAGGAAAGGCCCCCUUUCAGAGUCUCUAAAAAUUACAUUUUCUCCUUAAUUGUAAUUUAUGCUUGUGGCUAAUUGGAAAAUACAAAAAAAAAAGUAUAAAAAAUAAUUAAAAAGUGGGUAAUGUAGUGAUUGAAAGUAUGAGUCAGGGAGAUGGAAAGAUUUGGUUGUAAGCCCCAGAUCUGCCACCCAGCAGUGUGACUCUCGGCAAAUUACUUAGCAAUUCUGAGCCUCAGUCUCCUCAUCUAUAAGUUGGGAGUGAUGAUAAUACACACCUCGUCAGCUGCUGAGGAUUGUGGGAUCACCCACAUAAAAUAUUUAACACGGGCACACGGCACACUUAAAUAUCAGCUAUUUCUGUUACAAUAGUUAAUAAUGGUUAUCCCCACUGCCUUGGGAUAAGAGGCUUUUUAAUUUUUCAUUAAGAAAAAAAUUUUUACAUGGAUGAGAUUAUUUAUCUCAACCUGUGAUGUCCAGUACAGUUAGCCUCUGGCCACAUGUGGCUAUUUAAACUUAAAUUAAUUAAAAUUAAAUAAAAUUAAAAAUUCUGUGCCUGUCACAUUCACCACAUUCCAAGCGCUCAGUAGCCACAUGUGGCCAGUGGCUGCUGAUCUCAACAGCACCAGAAAUUCUACUGGGCAGCUCUCUGAACGACAUAACCAUCUGAGGUUUUCCACUGGACCAUUUCCUCCUUUUUAAAAAAUGCCUCUUUUUAAAAAUUUGUUGUUAUUAUUUUUUGCGGAGCUGGGGAUCAGGGCAAGGGCUCUACUGCUGAGCUUCUUCCCCUUCUUUUAAAGCAUCUCUUAAUAGCUGUGUCGUGGUCCACGAUGUGGCCCCAUCCACUCUUCCUGGUCUGGUCUUUGAACAUCCUCUGGGCUCUGAUUGGCUGUGCUGGGUCCUCCCUUCCUCACUUUAUUGUGCUGCUCUCUGAUUGGUGCUAGGCACUGAGGGAUUCUGGGAAAAGCAGACCUCUCCUGCUGAUUGGCUCCCAGCAGAGAUGCCAGGGCAAGGGUGGGGCACUCUUCUCCCCUGCCUGGGAGGGCUGGAGGGGCUGCUCCCCUUGGCACCCCAUGCCUCCCCUAGACCUUGUCACCUCACAGGGCCGGAGACCAGGGAGAGGAGGGACUUGCUUGAGGUAGUAAAAAUGAGCCAUAAUUACCCACCGUCUACUUUCCAGAGGGUCCAAGCCAUACCCAGAGCCCCCAGAGUACCCCCAGGAGAAAGGCAGCCUUUCUUGAUGGGGGAUGCCACCAUGGGGGGCUGCUGGCCUGGUUCCCCAAGGCCUGUGCAGUCCUCCCGAACCUAGAAGGAUCUUCAGCCUUCCAGAAGCACCUUGACUGAAGAUGGUUGUGAAUUCCAGGGUGGGAGUGUCGGGAGAUCCCAGGUUGGAGAGCCACCCUAGGAAGAUCGUGCAGUGGCUGCGACCAUCCUGUAGCUGGGUUGGCCGAAUGAGCAUUGGGGUGAUGCUGGGGUCAUGGUCCUCCCAGUGUGGCCAAGGGCAGAGCACUGGGUGGAGGGCUUUGGGCAGGGUCGGCAGGGGAAGUAAUCCCCGGGGCAGUGGGCAAGACAGAUAGGGAGAGCCGAAACCGGACCUGCUGAUGUGGCCCUUUCUGCUCGCAGCGGAUCAUAAAAUAUGGCUCAGAUUUUCAUUACGGGCUCUAUCGAUUAUCUUCUGGGACGGAUGAAUUAUAGAGAACAUUAAAUUUUUUUUAAAAAGCAAGUGAGAGAGGAAAUAUCUGAAUGAGUUUGGGUGGUCGAUGGCAGAAAGGGCUGAGCCACCAAACCUGGUCUUGGAACAGUGAGGACAGAACCUCCCAGGGCCAGCAGCCUCUGGCUGUGGCUCUGGGCCUCCAGGCCUCCCUGUCUGGCUCUGCAAUUGGGGAGGCCUGUGCUCCCCUAUACUCUCCUUACUGUGCUCUGGCCCCUCCAGGGACCUGCCUGGCUCUGGGAAGGUGGAAAAUCGGGCUGUUUACAAGGUUCUGACCUAAACCUUUCCCAGGCUUUGAGGCUCCAUUUCUGGGAGCUGGGCCCCCAAAUCCUACUGUUUUCCCUCCAAGGACAACCUAAUCUGGAGGUGCUGCCUGGGCGGAGGGAAGGUUCGGAAGGCAGCAUUGGUCUCCAAGGGUCAGGACCUGGGUAGGAACGCCUGAGCCCCUUAGCCACCUCAUCCUUUCCCAGCUCCUUGUUUCUCCCAUCUGCAGUCACGUCACGGAGGAUUUCUAGUUUCCUUCGUCACCUUGGGAAGAGCAAGUUGGGGUUCACCGCUGUGCACCCAGUUGGAAAGAGCCCCCCAAAAGCCCACCCUCCUGCCUCGCUCUAUACCCCUCUUACUUCUCCUCCCCUUGCCAGGCAGUGUGGCAAUUAGGUGUCAGAAGGUUCUGAGUUCAAAUCACUUCCCAGCGUGUGACCUUGGGUGGGACGUGUCCCUCUCUGAGUCUUUGUUUCUCAACUCUCCAGUUGAGAUAAUCAUCUACCUCAUUGAGUUCUUGUGAUGAUUAUAGGUACUGAUGUAUUAAAAUCCUGAGUACACAGUGCUUAAUAAACAUGAAUGGUUAUUAUUUUCCUCCUCUCUUAUGGCAGAAUCUAGAAACCUCCCCCUACUUCAUUUAGGCUUUUUGAUUUAUUGGGUUUAUCAAAUGCUUUAUGGCACGUACGAUGUGCUAGGUACUUUUCUCAGCAUGUUACACGUAAUAAAUCAUUUAAUCCUCACGACUGUACUCAGGAGGAGCGAUCACGUCUCCAUUUUGCUGAUGGGGAAACUGAGGUGCAGACAGGCUACAGGAACUCACCCAGGGUCACCCAGCUGAGGAGUGGCGGAACCCGGGUUCCUACCUGGAGCUUGUACCCUUCAUGCCCUGGGCGUGCCGAUCAGGGAUCUGGAGGGUGGCAGAUGUGCAUACAUGUGUGAGUGUGUGAGUGUGUGUGUUCCUGUGUGUUUGUGGGUGUGUAGGCGCAGGGGGGCACAUUCAGGCAGCGCCACCCUCCAGGUGGUCAGCUGCUCAGCAGUCCCAGCCUUUUCCAGGGCCCUGUUCUGGGUGGAGUGUGGCCCCCACCCUGCACCGUCCACCUCACCCGGGCUUCACCUAGGCUCUGUGAAGGUGGUGGUUUCCAUGGAUACCCGUGUCCCUCUGGCGACACGCCCUUUUUUGUCUAACUCUGCUCCCUGGAGUUGAUUGUUUUUGGCACCUGGCUCUGUAAACUCAUCCAACAAUUAAAAGUCGGGUGGGGGUGGAACAAAAUGGAGACAGAUAGUUACUGUGGGGCCAGUGACACUUAGGAAGGGCCCCUGGGCUGCGGGUCCCCUCCCUGUCCCCCGUGGGCAGCAUGACAGCACCCAGGGUGCGGAAAGGCCACGGCACCAGCUGGCUGGGAGUCACUCCUGCAGGGUUCUGGUGCCUUCCCUCGGCACCGUCUAUCUCCCCUUCUAAGGGGGCCCUUCCUGGAGUCAUGCAGCCAUCUCCAGAGGCCGCCGGAAGCCGUGAGGUGCCGGCCUGGGCCGAUGGGAACGCGGCCUGCCCUUGUUUUGGUGGAGCGUGUGUUUGCCGUGUGUAUCAUCGGGUGCCUCCUGCGCUGGGCGUACCCGUCGUAGGCUGUGUGAGAUCACAGUUGAAAAAUGCGGUGAAAAACAUUUUCAUGCCGCAACACAUCGUGUAGGAUUUUUGUAUUAAGAUGUGGAUUUUUUUAUUGUUUUUUUUUCCCUCCUUUUCCAUACGGCCCCGAAGUUGGGCAACGCACACGUCUGUGUUUUUGUUUUCACUCUGGGUGGUUUGUGAAAUCUGCUCAUUAGCGCCGUCCCUUCCCCACCCCAGCUGAUCUUCUGCUGUCUGUCCUCACGAAUGUAGAUCUUUCCCCGCCAUCUCCUGGUGUCUCCUCUCCUUUGAAGAGGUGGCGGGGGGGUGGGGUGGGGGGGGCUCCCUACCUGUGCACAUUCGCCAAGUGAAAGUCAAGGGCUCCUGUGGCCCUGCUCCUCAACCCAGGGUCUCUUAAGCAGGUGUUGGUGGUGGGAGGUCCCGAUGUGGGCAGGCAGCAGAGACUUCUGCCUCCCUCCGCCAAAACACCCUUCCACCUGCCCCCUUGUCUGUAGAGAUGAAAUGAAAGUUGUCCUACCCGAUAGAGCCUCCUUGGAGUGGCCCUCUCCUGAGUGGCUUCCUCGUCCCCAUCCCAUCAGAUGACAGGCAGCAAUGAGUAUGCCCACAGCUGAGACCCCAUUUCCCAGGCAGGCCCAGGGUUUGGCCUGCACACCAGGUGUGCGGCCCUGGGCCUGUCCGUCCCCAUGUUCAGCCCAGCCAGAGCGGCUGAGCACGGCCCUUGUCUUUGGCUGUGGUGUCCAACUGAGUGCAUUCUGGAGGCCCUGGGGGACUUGCUGGAAAGCUGUUCAAGGCUGUGGGAACUGAGAUUCAGGAAGGGAAGUGGCAUCAGGUGGAGUGGGUGCUAAGAUCAUGGGGAGAGGAGGAGGAGGAGCAGGUGAGUUUGGCCCGCAUUCUCCAAGCCCAGGCCUGGCUUCAGCUCCUGUGAGUGGUGUGACCUUUGCCCAGUUGCUCCGUAUCUCUGUACCUGCUAUCCCUGAUCUCUCCCUGGGGACCGUAAUUGCUCCUGCCUUCGUGUUGUAAAGACUGGGCAGGAUCAUGCGUGUAGAGCACUUGGCAUGGGGCUUGGCAUCUGGUUAGUUUAUAUUAGUUCUCACGCAGGCCAAUUGGCAGAGGGGAGAGCCACUCAUCCAGUGCUCUCUAUUCCCAGCAUGCUCCCGGGCACAUAGUAGGUGCUCAGUCAGUUCUUCUUGGAAUUGAUUGGAGGAGAAUCAAGUAGCCAAGUGGUCCCCUCAGACCUGAAAGUCAUGAAUUCACAGGGAUCAUGAGGGAGGCAGAGAAGUCAAAUCGCAGGUUGGGCCUAGGGAGCUCAACAGAAGGGAGAGUGGAAACUGCCCAUGAAACUUUCUGUUGGGAAGAGGGAGAAGCCACACUAGGCCCGUCUGAUUCCGACUUGAGAUCAGGGACUCGUUCAGUUCCACCAGCACUUAGGCCACCCACUGUGGGCCAGCUGUUCUGCUAAGUGCCGACACAAAGAUAAUUAAGACCUGGUCUCUGCCCUCGAGGAGUUAGGAACCCAAGGCGAGACAGACCCAUGAACAAAUUACUUCAGUCCAGCGUGGAUUCAAACGCAGGGACUACGGAUGUGCCAGGAGCAGAGUCGAGGGGCACGUGACCUCUCGAGCGCUAGAUUCCCUGAAGCGUGGAAGGAGAAGGUGGUGGCAGCGCCCCUCUCAGCCUUUGCCAGGUCUCCCCACAGCCUGGGGGACCUCCUCUCCUUCCUUCCUUCCUUCCUUCUCCUUCCAGGUGACUGGUGAGGAAACGGAGCCCUGGGAGAUUAGCCGGCUCGGCGAAAGGCCCACACUGGGUUAAGUGGCAGAACUGGGCCUCAGACCCACAUCUCUGAUCCUUGGCCCAGGGUUAUUUCUGUAACUGCAUCUGGCUUCUCGCCCCUUCCCCCCCCCCGGGGCUGCUGGUCGGAGAUCCGCACUCUGGGCUCUGCACCUACUGACCGGGAUUUGUGCUGCUGCCAUGGCCCCUGGGGCCUGUGUCGUGGGAGAACCCCGGUGCAUGAAAGGCCCCAAGGCCUGUGCCCUGGUUUGGUAAAUGGGUCAGGCCACUUGGUUUGGGGACAGUCCCAGAGUAAGGCCACACCCUGGCUGGGCUGGGGGAUGGCAGGAAUGGGGAAGACUGAGGAGGAGCAGGAAGAGGCCUGGCCACACCCUUUAUUUGAUUGAAGCUCCCUCUGCCCCUCAGGUUCCUCUGUUGGCAGGAAGAGGUCAGACUAGGCUCCCUAGGGUCUGGAGACCCCUCUUACCCUGUCACUAGACCCCCUUCAGAACCAGGCGUGAGACACUGGGAGUGCAGCUUGGGUGUGGGGUCAGACUCUGGUCCACCAGCUCCUUCCAGAAGUUGGGAGGUAGCGUGUUUCUCUUGACCUUUUCUCUAGGGAAAUACCGUGUCCCUUCUGCAAAGCUGGGAGCUGGGAGUGUCACCCCCCCAUGUCAGAAGCUGGCUUUGGGUGGAGUCUGAGGACCCUGAGGUGGAACCCCUGCAGGCAGGCAUUCUGGGGGCAGCAGCCGUCGGUGGUCCAAGGCACCCCCCACACCCAGAGCCGUGAAUCCGUGGGUGUGCUUCGGGGGCUUCCAGGGAUUCUGGACUAACUGGAGGAGGAGUGUCAGAGCCCAGAGGACUGAGUCUCCCAGUGGCCCUGAAGUUCCCAUUAAAGUGUUUUUUCCUCUUUUUUAAAGAAAAAAAAUAUUCCCAAACUGGAAAACAAAGGAAAUCCACUUCCCCCAAAUCACACGAAACUCACAUUAGGGGCCUGGCAGGACUCCAUGGAAACCAGGAAACCCGCCGUUAACCCUGUGUGGUGCUGAGGGUGGGGUGGGAGCCAGGCCAGUCCACCCUGGACUGCUGUCACCUUCCAUCUCUACACUGGCCCAGGGAGCUGGCCUGGGUGGCAUCGCCCCACCAGAGGGGAGGAGCUUGUGCCGAAGCCUGCAGAGCCCACUCCCUUCCACUCAGGCCCAGCCUUGGGUGGCAGGAGAGGAGCACUUAGCUCUCCAGGGAGGCCCCCUGGGGCCUCCGAGGCCCCGGGCCAAGUUGGAGAACCUGCCAGGCAACUGCCCACUCCAUGCCACUCACUGCAAACAGGGCCAGGCCCGCUCACACACUUGGGGAGCACACUGCCGUUGACCGUCAUAGAUGUCACAGUCCCCCAGGAGAGGAGGAAGAGAAGGACCNGGGCAGGAUCAUGCGUGUAGAGCACUUGGCAUGGGGCUUGGCAUCUGGUUAGUUUAUAUUAGUUCUCACGCAGGCCAAUUGGCAGAGGGGAGAGCCACUCAUCCAGUGCUCUCUAUUCCCAGCAUGCUCCCGGGCACAUAGUAGGUGCUCAGUCAGUUCUUCUUGGAAUUGAUUGGAGGAGAAUCAAGUAGCCAAGUGGUCCCCUCAGACCUGAAAGUCAUGAAUUCACAGGGAUCAUGAGGGAGGCAGAGAAGUCAAAUCGCAGGUUGGGCCUAGGGAGCUCAACAGAAGGGAGAGUGGAAACUGCCCAUGAAACUUUCUGUUGGGAAGAGGGAGAAGCCACACUAGGCCCGUCUGAUUCCGACUUGAGAUCAGGGACUCGUUCAGUUCCACCAGCACUUAGGCCACCCACUGUGGGCCAGCUGUUCUGCUAAGUGCCGACACAAAGAUAAUUAAGACCUGGUCUCUGCCCUCGAGGAGUUAGGAACCCAAGGCGAGACAGACCCAUGAACAAAUUACUUCAGUCCAGCGUGGAUUCAAACGCAGGGACUACGGAUGUGCCAGGAGCAGAGUCGAGGGGCACGUGACCUCUCGAGCGCUAGAUUCCCUGAAGCGUGGAAGGAGAAGGUGGUGGCAGCGCCCCUCUCAGCCUUUGCCAGGUCUCCCCACAGCCUGGGGGACCUCCUCUCCUUCCUUCCUUCCUUCCUUCUCCUUCCAGGUGACUGGUGAGGAAACGGAGCCCUGGGAGAUUAGCCGGCUCGGCGAAAGGCCCACACUGGGUUAAGUGGCAGAACUGGGCCUCAGACCCACAUCUCUGAUCCUUGGCCCAGGGUUAUUUCUGUAACUGCAUCUGGCUUCUCGCCCCUUCCCCCCCCCCCGGGGCUGCUGGUCGGAGAUCCGCACUCUGGGCUCUGCACCUACUGACCGGGAUUUGUGCUGCUGCCAUGGCCCCUGGGGCCUGUGUCGUGGGAGAACCCCGGUGCAUGAAAGGCCCCAAGGCCUGUGCCCUGGUUUGGUAAAUGGGUCAGGCCACUUGGUUUGGGGACAGUCCCAGAGUAAGGCCACACCCUGGCUGGGCUGGGGGAUGGCAGGAAUGGGGAAGACUGAGGAGGAGCAGGAAGAGGCCUGGCCACACCCUUUAUUUGAUUGAAGCUCCCUCUGCCCCUCAGGUUCCUCUGUUGGCAGGAAGAGGUCAGACUAGGCUCCCUAGGGUCUGGAGACCCCUCUUACCCUGUCACUAGACCCCCUUCAGAACCAGGCGUGAGACACUGGGAGUGCAGCUUGGGUGUGGGGUCAGACUCUGGUCCACCAGCUCCUUCCAGAAGUUGGGAGGUAGCGUGUUUCUCUUGACCUUUUCUCUAGGGAAAUACCGUGUCCCUUCUGCAAAGCACGGAGCUGGGAGUGUCACCCCCCCAUGUCAGAAGCUGGCUUUGGGUGGAGUCUGAGGACCCUGAGGUGGAACCCCUGCAGGCAGGCAUUCUGGGGGCAGCAGCCGUCGGUGGUCCAAGGCACCCCCCACACCCAGAGCCGUGAAUCCGUGGGUGUGCUUCGGGGGCUUCCAGGGAUUCUGGACUAACUGGAGGAGGAGUGUCAGAGCCCAGAGGACUGAGUCUCCCAGUGGCCCUGAAGUUCCCAUUAAAGUGUUUUUUCCUCUUUUUUAAAGAAAAAAAAUAUUCCCAAACUGGAAAACAAAGGAAAUCCACUUCCCCCAAAUCACACGAAACUCACAUUAGGGGCCUGGCAGGACUCCAUGGAAACCAGGAAACCCGCCGUUAACCCUGUGUGGUGCUGAGGGUGGGGUGGGAGCCAGGCCAGUCCACCCUGGACUGCUGUCACCUUCCAUCUCUACACUGGCCCAGGGAGCUGGCCUGGGUGGCAUCGCCCCACCAGAGGGGAGGAGCUUGUGCCGAAGCCUGCAGAGCCCACUCCCUUCCACUCAGGCCCAGCCUUGGGUGGCAGGAGAGGAGCACUUAGCUCUCCAGGGAGGCCCCCUGGGGCCUCCGAGGCCCCGGGCCAAGUUGGAGAACCUGCCAGGCAACUGCCCACUCCAUGCCACUCACUGCAAACAGGGCCAGGCCCGCUCACACACUUGGGGAGCACACUGCCGUUGACCGUCAUAGAUGUCACAGUCCCCCAGGAGAGGAGGAAGAGAAGGACCCGGAUUUCAGUGCCAGCUUCAUACGCAGGGUGGGGGUGAGAGUGGGCAGAGUUGCCCCGGGAUUCCCUGCACCCUGCUCUUACAUCAUGAGGCUGGGCCGCCACUUUGGGAAGUUGUGCGCCAGGUUCGGGCGUGUGUUUGUGUUUGCACGCACACGGGCUCGUUUUUUCUCAAAAGGCUGAAAAUAUUUACAGGUUUGAAGUUGAAACGCAAACAGGAAAAGCCCUUUAAAAAGUGAGUGUAGUGGAUAUUCAAAACAGGGAUCACCAUGGAAACACCACAAUAUUUGCUUAAAUUGACACAAAGGUUGCCGGUAGCAGGGCACCAACUUUCUUUGGCCACUUUUUUUUUGUUUUUUUGGCCCAGCACCUAUCACAGAUGAAUCUCAGCCGCCUCCUUCCAGGGCGUUUGCCCACGCCCUCUUUUCUUUUUUAUGAGAUGACCCAGCUCCACAGCAGAGGGGAGCGGGGAAAAGGAGAGAAGAAACCGAGUUGACCAUCCCGCGCAGCUGCCCAGGCCCUGCUUAAUGCUGGGUUUGCAGACUCCAUAACCCCUGGGGGUCUGGGGCAGCCGGGAGCUGGCCCAGGGCAAUCUGGAGGGCAGCAGGGUUAGGGAGCUCAGGGGCCCAUUCUGUCGCAUGGGUCUCAUCUGUUUCCAGUGUUGGCUUGGUUCAUUCUCAGGCUGACCUUUCACCCCAGGUACCAAGCCUUGGGUGUGACCCCUCUGUUGUUCCCAGAGUGGCACCUGAUUGGCCUAGUAUUGUCUCUCCCUGUUUGAUUCUUAGCAUAGCAAUUGGCUAAUAAUUGUGCAAAGGGCACACUGGUCACCGGGUCAAGUGUGGCAUGCACGGUGGCAGUGCCACCUGCUGAUUGACAGGCAGGGUCCAGGAGUCACAUGUUGUUGGCUUGUUACCACCCGAGGUGUCGGAACCUUGCCUCCUUUGUUCGCCUAUGGGCAGCAGGUUUGUGGGCACCAACUGUAGCCUAAUCUGUUUUCCUUUCUCUUUUUGGUAGGCACAUAGACCUUGGUGACAGAAGACAAAGAUCCCAUUGGCCCUUCCAGCUGCCCUGGCCACCAACCCCUCCUUCACAGGGGGUCCUGCAACUCCCAGGUGGUGCGUGUUGGAAUGGACUUCAGACCCCAGCCUCUUGGGAUGCAAAGGUAGCUGCUCUUGGUUCCCAAGGUGCCCCUGGGAAGAGUGGGCCUGCCAGUUUGGGGGUUGCGCCUUAGGAUGGGAAAUGCGUAGGCCCUAGGCCACCCUUUCUCAGUGGGUUCCAGCCUGGGUGGUGGUGGCUUAUGCAGCACAGGUGAAAGUGGAAAGAACAUGAGGGUGAGGAGAGGGCCCUGGUCUAGGAGCCGGGCACCUGCAACUUAGUCUGGGCUUUGCCAGCAGCUCACUGCCAGCUCCCCCUGAAUCUCCAUUUUCUUACCUGGAACAUAGCAAGUUGGAGUAACUGACCCUAAAGAGUCCUCCCAGUGGUCCUGUGGGUGACACUGGAUGGUAUGGCGUGGGCGGGCCAGGGUGUCAGGUGAGGCCUCCGCCUGUCAGAUAGCCAUCCUGGAUCUAGGCAUCGGGUCAUCUCUGAACUUCAUCUCAGGGACCUUUCUGUAUGGGCAGAGGCUUCUCUGAGCUCUGGGCUCAGCCUGGGGAGACCCACUGGGGCUCUCUUGGGUGGCUCCAGCCAGGCCUCCUUGGGGACUAGUAGGAGCCCUGAAUACAACCCAGGGAUUGCAAAUCAGAUGCAAACGUGGGCUUUGGUUGCUGGGGUGGAGCGACAUGUGGCUGAGACUCUUCUUCCUGGCAUCCAGGAUGUGAUCGGGCUCCAGGAAUCGGUCCAUCUGUACCUAAGGUGUGCUGCUGUUGUCCUGUUGUCACCUGAAAAAGGCCACGUGGGGGGAUUGGUGGCUGCGAGGUCUUGCUUGCAUUCGGUGCCAGCAUCUGUACCUCUGCCUCUCCCGGAGCUCUUCCUGCCAUCUCUGCCCUCUCUGAUGAUGAGUGUUGGGAAGGCGGGAGCCUCAGGUUGGCUCCCAGCCCGCCCUGCGCCCUGCUCCAGAGGCUGCCCGAGUGCCCCUCUGAGGGGACAGGUUCGCCUCUUCUCUUCUUGGUGGCAGGCUUUUUGUUUUCUUCUUUCUCUGGGCAAAACAUGCCCAUUAGUUUUUCCCUUUCUGAAGUUUCCACUCACUGUUGGCUCCCAGGGGCCGUGCCAGCUGGGAUUUGCACCCGGCACAGGGUAGGGGCCCAGCAGGUCCGGUGGGACUCCCACAUCCUGGCAUUGGCUGUCUUGGGCUUGAUAAUGAAGCUUGGGAACCCUGCGGGCUCCGAGAGGGAAUGUGGUCACCGAGUCCCGCCUCACUUACCCGUCCGUUUCCAGUGACGGGCUUGGCCACAGCCUGGGGUUCUCAUGGCAGGGUGACCCCUGGUCUCAGAGGCAUCCAGCCUGACCACAGCAUGGGCGAGGGAGCCAAGACUGGGCUCAGUCUGGUCCACAGGCCUGGCUUAGCGUCUCCCAAUUUCUGGCUAUUCUCUGCGAGAUCUGGUCACAUUUAUCCUACAGUCACAGAGGGUCUGGUGUCUGCCACUCUCUCCCCCAUAGACAAAGUGGACAAGAAACCCCUGCUCUCACCAAGUUCCUGUAGCAGAGGUGACAACCAGCACACCCACAAAACUGAACAAAGACUUGGUGCUGAAUGGAAUGUGCCCGGGGCACUUAAGGCAGGAUGCACAGAGGAGGCCUCUGAGGGGACAGCUGAGAUGAAGGACAGGAAGUGGACAGCCAUCUGAAGAGCAGGCAGGAGAAUAUUCCAGAAAGGGAGAACAGGUAGUUUAAAAGUCCUAAGGAGGGGCUGGGGAUGUGGCUCAAGCAGUAGCGCGCUCGCCUGGCAUGCGUGCGGCCCGGGUUCGAUCCUCAGCACCACAUACAAACAAAGAUGUUGUGUCCGCCGAAAACUAAAAAAUAAGUAUUAAAAAAAAAAUUCUCUCUCUCUCUCUCUCUCAAAAAAAAAAAAAGUCCUAAGGAGGGAGGAACUCACUACGUUCAGUGUCCAGGAGGAAAGGCCAAGUGGCCGGGAGGUAGAUAGGGCAGGGGCCUGGAUGUGUAGGGCGUAAAGUGUCAGGGGAGAAGGUGGGAUUUUAUUCUUGGGUGACAGGAUGUCCCCUAGAGGCACCUUAAGGAAGGAGGUAGUGAGAUGCUUUUUGUUUUUUAAAGACAGCCGGAAACCAGAUGCCCUGGCGCAUUCCUGUAAUCCCAGCCACUCAGGAGGCUGAGGCAGGAGGAUCUCAGGUUUGAGGCCAGCCUGGGCAACUUAUCAAGAAUAAAAUAAAAAGGGCUGUGGGUGUGGCUGGGUGGUAAAGGGCCUCUGGGUUCAGUCCCCAGUCCCCAGAAAAAAAGUGUGAGGGUGUCCUGGGAAGCAUGCAUCAGAAUGGCGGCAAGGGAAGAAACCAGGAGGCCAGGGGACGGGAGGAGUGAGGGGCCUGGAUGGAAGCUGUGUGCCCAGAGGCAGAGUUAGUGGAACUUACCAGUGGAUUGAAUGGGGUGAGGGAAGGAGGGGUCAGCACGCCUCCAGGGUUCUGAGCCCCUGGGGUGUGGCCUGCGUCUUCUUUCUGACAGUGCCAAGAGACCCAUGGCUCUUAGACAGUUAACACCUUGUGGGUUGGAGGAGGGGCGCCAUCUUGGAACCAAGCCGGUGGCCAAGCAAGUCCUGAAGGGCUUGGGUGCCCCUUGGUCCGCCUCCAGCAGCCAGCCUUGGAGCAGGCUGUGACUUCCAUGCUGGCGAUGCUUUCAGCCCUACGACUCUGCACGACACCAGCUUUGGGCUUUUGCUCCAGGGGUCCUGUGCUGGGUCUGAGGUUGGGCACAGACGUCCGUAGAGUUUCUCUCAGUGGGGCUUUACAUGUGGUCUGUCUUCUGAGCUCCUGAACCUUUUCCUUCGUGCUUGGUCAUAUAGACCCUCAGUUGAUCAGCUCUGAGGCUGAGAAAUGGGACUGUCUAAGACCUGGUCAUGUCCAUGGGACCCAUUUCAACUGCCUGCUCUUGCACAUCUGCAGAGAUCUUGGGGGUCUUUUAUUUAUUUAUUUUAGUUGUCGAUGGACACAAUAUUUUUCUUUCUUUAUUUUAUGUGGUGCUGAGACUUGAACCCAGUGCCUCACACAUGUUAGGUAAGCACCCUGCCACUGAGCUACAGCCCCGGCCCUCUUGGGGGGGUCUUUCCUCGUGGAAAGCUGUGCAUUUCCCUAGGUGGCCCAUCAGACUUGAACUCAGGCCCUGUGACUUUUUCUGGGGCCUCUGUCGUGGACUCCACUACCCCAGGUCCUGACAUCAUCUGCAAGGACCAGGCAGGAGGAGGCAAGCCCAGCCUGGUGCUGUGACAGUGAGGCAAUCCCCGACUCCCCCCACCCCCACAGGCUUUGUGCAGCCCUGGGCACUGCCAUGUAAUUCGGUAGCAAGCCAAAGGCCUGGCUGGCACAAGCGUGAAGCUGUCACCACCGGCUGCUGGGCCCCAUGUGCACUUGCCCGUGCUGGCAACACACCCCCAGCCAUAUGGGCCAGCUCGGCCCUCCAGGAAGCUCUGGAGGCCUGACCUCCAGGGGGCGUGACAGGAAGGGCAGGCCAGCUACGUUUCGCAGGGGGCAUCAGGGGUGUCCCGAGUGGGAAGCAAUAUGUGACACAGCAGCUCAGCCCUCCAGGAAGCUCUGGAGACCUGACCUCCAGGGAAGUAAUGGGAGGGAGCAGAAGGGCAAGCUGGUGGCGGCUGGCAGGGGGUGACAGGGAUGUCCCAGGCCCACAGCUGGUGCCUCAGCCUGGCUCGGAGGGGGCCGCCAGCCAGUCCUCCUGGGCGUGCCUGCUGGCCCUGGGGGAGGGUGCGUCUGUGCACACGUGGGAGGCUUUUCUGCUUUCUGCCUCCAUGGUCUGCACUAGAUCCAUGACCUUCACUCCUAACUGGACUGGACAGUUCUAAUGCCAUCCUCCGGGGCUUUGAUCUGAUGUGAGGCUGGCAGCUCCAGAGCACGCAGCUGCGGUGGGGGAAGCAGAGAGGUGGGUUCCGGAGAGGGAUGUGGGGCCAUGUUCUCCACCACCCUGGGUGACGCAGAGCUCAGGAGGAUGAGUGGGUUCCAGUGGUGCAGCCCCGUGAGGGGUUGUGACUGGGAGAAGGUUUGGAAAGAGCCACUGAUGGUUCUGGUUCUAAUCUGGGUAGGAAUUCUGUCUGAUGGCACAGGCGCCCCGCCCUUGGCCCUUCAGUUUUUCCUUAUAGAAUUGGAAGCCCCCGCUACCCCAGGCACUGACUCAGGGACGCGGGCUGGCAGGUCUGGCAGCACCUGCCCUGUGUAGAGCUCCUGGGGGUCUCAUCUGGUGCCAGGGUUGCUCGAGCAGAACAACGAUGGCUUUAGGAGCGCUGACACCUUAAGGACCAAGGGAGAUGCUCGGCCUCAGUCCCUGUGGCCUCUGGGUGCCUGCAGCAAAAAAAUACCAGUAACAGAGGAGCCCCGGAGGCUGGGCACGCGUCCCCUUCCCGUGUAGACCUGUGGGCUCCUGCUGUCCCACCAGCGUCCCCUUGGCCUCUUUCAUUCCAGAAUCUACAGAGAUACAGACCUGAUCCAGGUGAGAGUCCUUAAGUCAGAGGUCGCUGGACCAAGGCAUGAGCCACCAGUGGGACCCUUGAAGUCCAUCUCCCAGGUCCUUGAUGGUGACACACACUCACCCCCCACGCCAUUUGCUGCUUGUUCUCUGUCACAUGGGGCCUUGGAGUGAUCCUCACCUUCUGCUCCCCACCCAUGUUUUCUCUUGGGUUUGGUUGACUUCCCUCGGGAGCAGGAGGCUUGUCCGACCCUGAGCCUUGCUCUGCUAGUCUGGGGUUGAGACCGCUGUGGCCGGGGUGGGAGAGGAGAGGAGGUGUAAUUAAACACUAGUUCCUUUUCCAGAAAUGCUAAUCGAGAAAAGCAAUUAAAAGCAACUUUUUUUUUUUUCCCUUAGUAAUCUGGGUUAAGAGCUGGUAAUGAAGUUUAGGGCCAUUGUGACUCAGUAUUUCAGCUUCACCGACUCAAGUCAAAACAAUCCAAGCCCAGGAGCUCACCAGCCGCUGAGUUGGGCCCGGGAAGCAGCUGUGCGUCCUGAUGUUCCCGCUUGUCACCACCCUUUGCCGUUCCCCGGGGCAGAGAGGAGCAGUUGCAGCUGGGAAAGGGGAUCUGAAUGGCAUGUAGGUGGGUCCCCGAGGUGACCCCUCAGAAGACCAGAAUCUGGAAAUGCAGCUGAGCGGAAAUGCUUAGGAGCAGGGCACGUGUGGCACCUAGUGUAAGGGCCAGAACCAGAAAGGGUGGGUCAGAUAGGGUCAGGGGAGAGGAAGUGGUCCUGGGGUGGACAGGGCUCAGCCACAUGGGCUCAGAACCAGAGGAGCUGGUGGUCCAGUCCUGACCUCCAACCUCUGCUCGUUCACCUCUGGUUUCAUUCAUUAAUCAGUUGCCAUUGAGCACCACUGCAUACCCAUGUUUUAGACACUGAAAGUGCAACAGUACAUAGAGAGGUGAGGAUUCCCACCCUCGUGGAAUUUACAUGCUGGUGGGAGGCUUUGUCUGGCAGGUCCCGUAGUCCUUCCUUUCCUCUACAAGUAACCACUGCACAAUUUCUCUUUUAAUUUCGUCGAGGGCCCUUACCUUGCCCAUCCCACCCGUUCACCUACAACCACUAAAAUCUACACCGAAGACCCCCUUUCCCAGUGACUCCACCAUUGUAAUCCCGCCUCUGUUUUGUCUUCCCUCCGGCACCAGUGGGACCAACAAUAGACCUCCUUCUCACAAGAACAGGUCCCCUUGUCGUCGACGCUCCGGGGUCUCCGUCCUCCUGUCGUCCCUCCGGUCCCACCGACCCUUCCUCACUGGACCUCUAGUUCCGACCCCGUCCCCCCACGCCAGGUGUCUAGGAUGUUCGGACCGUCCGGUUCGUGAGAACUCUAGCUGUUACCCCGAGUAAAACGAGAUGCUUUUUGAAGAGCUCUGACUGACAUGAUCUGAUUAGGCACAAGCUCUUUAUUAAAAAACAAGACCCUAUUGUCACUGUCCCCUCCUCUCAUGGUCCCCUAUGUGCAGAGUCCGCCUCCCCCCCCCCACACACACCCCUUGGAGGCACUCUAGCAACAUUUCAAUCUGGGAUGGGCCAGAGGGUGCUGGGGGGUGUAUCUGGAACUCACUCAGCCCCAGCCUCAGCCUCUUCCCUGGGAGCAGUUCACCAUCAGGGUCUUGUCACUUUAAGCAGCCCCCCGCCUGGCUUCCCUGGCCUGCUUUAUCUGAAGUCCAAGCGCAUGUUGUUUCAGGACCGAUCCGCUUUAGCUAAUUAAUAAUCUGACAGGAGCCACCCAGGGGAUUAGCCUCGGAGCUGAGCUCCACCAAGCCCCAGCAAAUGAGCCCCAUGCUCCUCAGGGACCUGGAGGUGACUUUGGGGGGGGGGUUCAGGGAGGGGGGACCCCCACAGGUGAGCCAUGGCAUGGGGCAGUAUAGGAGUGGCCAGUGAGGGAAGAGGAAGGGGAGAGAUGGGAAAGGAGCCUCCUAGAGGACUCCACUGUCCCCAGACAGGCAAGGACUCUGCUCUCCUCUGCUGCCUCUUAUGGUCUUGUCACCUGCCAGAAACUGUCCCCACCUGAGGAGCUGGGAUACCAUGGCCAGCAUUAGCAAGUAUAAUGCAGGACACGGGUGUGGCCGAGCCUCAGGUGACCUGCACCCCAUCUUCAGCACGAGUACGUUCCGUGGGCUGUUGGCGAUCGGCUCCCACUAAAGGUGUCUUCGUUGUGUAUGAGACACUCUGCUUCCACGUUUCCUCUAGCAAACCUGAGAGGAGGGCCAGAGGCUUUGGGGCUCCCUUUAGAAGAGGUGGCACUUCCUGGGGAGCCACCUGGGGCUUUUUCAAGCAGGGUGAGGCUGGGGUCCUGGUGACCUCAUUGUCACAGUACAGGGAGAGGAGGACGAGGAGGACAGAUGUCGGCCACUUGCCUGUCUUCCAACCUGUUGGGCCCAGGUGGUCCUUGGAUGCUUAGAGGCUAAGUCCCCUCUGGAACAUCUGUGGCCCCAAGCGAGGGAGCAGUGCCCCCUGGCCACCUGUCCCAGGGGAGGCUGGCAUCUAGGAAAUCCAGCCUGCGCCUAAGGGGAAGGCUUGAAGUUUCCGGGUAAUCUGGGUUGGGUGGUUGUCCACUGAGGGCAUUUGUUCUGAGCAGGGGUGGCCUCCUGUGUGGGAGGGGCCAGGCCAGGUCACAUACAAGGUCAGGGACAACAGCCUGCUAUGCAGGGCCCCUCCUUGUUCCAGGUUUCUGGGCACUGAACAGAGAUACCCGUUGCUGACCUCCCCGUGCCCACCGGCACGGCCACAGAGCAGAGUGCUGGCUUCUCAGGAAGGACACACCGUUCAGCCGGGCUGGCUGCCCAGGAUGUCACUCUAAGGGCAGGAGGGGCGGGUCUUUAUUGGAAAGCUUGAUGGGGUCCAGCCUGCUGGCUCUCGUGACCCCUGUCACCCUGGCUGUGUUCCUCGUGGUCAGGGAGCUCAGGGCAGCGAGAGAGGCCAGCUGCCAGCUGGUGGAAGUCCAGCCUCCUGCAGCCAAGGGGCCUGAUGCCAGGCGGGCACUGCCCUGAGGUGGGAGCGCGCGGGCCCCGGCUCUGUGCUCUAGGAGUUAACAGCAUCUGCGCCCGGGGAGGCCCCCUCUCCCCGCUGGGCCGCCUCCUCCAGCCUUUCCCGGCACAGCCAGCCAGGGAGUCUGUGGUGCGAGCAGUCGGGGCCGGGGGUGCCGAGCUGGUGGGAACCUCUUCCGCUUCCUGAGCUCUCAGCCUCUUCCCCAGCGUGCCCGGUGGUUUGGCCCUGGUUCUCGAGCCGUCUGCUGCCCGUGCUGCCUCUGACCGACAUCGUUAGCGUGGGUAUUUAUAUUUCAUUAACGACAUUAAGCCCAAAUGGCAUUAAAAGCAAAGCUGGUGAUAAAUAGCUUAUUAAUAAACAGGGAGUGCUCCGUGCUGCCUGGCCUAUCCCAGCCCCAGCGUUAACCCUUGCUGCCCUAGAUAAAUAUGCUUCACCCCAAAGACCAGCCCCCAAAAGAUGGGGCCGGAAGGGCCUGUCACCUGCCCGUCCUCUACCGGAUACUCUCAGGUCCACGCACAUUGGAUCCCGAGUGGGCUAGUUCUGGGUCACUGCAGCUCAUGCGACCUGGCCAGAUCCCUCACGGCCUCUAAUCAAAUCCCCCUCACCCCAUCCUCACUAAUUUUGAUUCUGGGGAUGAAGAAUUUAGGAAAUCUGGCUUUUGUAGGCUGCAAGCUCAGGUCUUCUCCAUUUCCUUGAAGUUCUGUCUACAAGGACUUUGGAAUCAAAGACAGUGAUGCUGCCGGGUGCGGUGGCGGGCACCUGCAGUCCCAGCAGCUCCAGAGGCUGAGGCAGGAGGAUGGAGAGUUCAAAGCCAGCCUCAGCAACUCACGAAGACCUAAGGAACUCAGUGCGAUUCUGUCUCUAAUAAAAUACAAAAAAGGGCUGGGGAUGUGGCUCAGUGGUUAAACGCCCCUGGGUUCAAUCCCUGGUACCAGAAAAAAAAAAAAAAAGAGUGAUGCAUAUGAAAAUAAUAGCAGUGACACAGUGACAAGCACAGCUAACAUUUUCGGGGUGCUAACUGUGAGCAGGCCUUUCACUGAGCACAGGCCCCCAUCCUCACAGCCACCCCAGGGAGUCCCACUGAGCCUCACUGUAUAAGUGGCAAGGCACUUCCUGGAAGAGCGAAGCAGUUCUACCUACUGAAGCCCAGGUCACACAGAGGCUAGGCCCUGGUCAUGGUGCAGGACUUGGUACGGGGGGCCGUCCCUGGCUCCUGGGCCUCGGACCUGCCGAGGCUAUCCAGGGCUGUGGCUCCAGGCCUUGACUCUGCCUCUGUUGAGCCCCCUGCCCACCAGGACUCAGGUGUUCUGUUAGGCGAUGUCACUGGCCAGGUGAGCCCGCCUGCAUGCAGGCUGUCUGUCUGGAGGCCACAGACAUGCAUCACAGAGUCCAUCACCUCCUCUAGAACUCAGAAGUGCCAACAGGGAUGUCCGCGGUGACCCCAGUGAACAGAGUCCCGCAGGCCUGGGUUGUUUGGGGUUUCGGUCAGUGUUUUGUGGCUGUCAUCUCUUGAUGCUUGGAAGAAUUAGGGGCAGACUCGGUCCUCCCUUGCCCCGUCUCCCUGGCUGAAUCACUGAAGGUAAGAGGAGAAACCGGAGCCUCACUUAGAACAUCUCACCUUGACCAACCUGAGCAAGAAUUCUUGUCCCAUGCCCUGUCUCUUUGGAACUGUCUGGGCCACACCGGGUUGAAGGGGGCCAGGGACUCCCCGGGAGUUUUGCGGUGUAGAAAGGAAAGAGGAGGGAGAGUCGAAAGUGACGCUGCCGUGGGGUCCCAAGCAAGAGGGUGGGGCAGAGGGCUCAUCGCCGCGGCCUCUGCUUCUGCCCAGUGACGCAAACUUCCCACUCGCAGGAGAGUGCCGGGACUCCUGCUGCCUCAGCCGGGGGCCAGGCCUCUUCUCCCAGCCCAUCCCAAAGCUGGGAAGGAAGUAGGAAAGCAGCCACCAUCAGGAUCCUGGUCAGAAAGUUCCCUUCUCACCUGGGUGGCUGGACCUGACCCUCACACCCCACCCCCGCCGAGGAGAAUGACGCAGGAACCAGCAAGGCCCCGGCUGACCGCUAGGUGCUGUCAGGGCUGCCCCUAAGGCCAAAAGACCCGGCCACUUGCUCUGGCCAUGCAGGCCUUUAUGGUAACGGCAGGGCACAGUGUAUGGCAGAAUCACAGUUGUCACCGACAUUGUACUUAAAGUGCACUAGGUCUCUAGGCCUGUCCCUCCCGUAGCUAGCUGGUGGUCAGGAGGGAGAACCAACUGGGAGGAAGAUGGGAGAGAUGGGCUUUGAGACAGGCCACCCGAGUCGCUGUUUUGUAGAACUGUGGCCGUCCCUUCGCCAUGCUCGGCUCCACUGUCCUCUGUGACAUGAUUGUGCCUUCUCUGCAGGGAUGCAGUCUCUAAAAUGCCUGUGAUGGCCUUGGACCUGCGAGGCGCUGGGCGAGGGCUGGUGCCCGUAUUCCUGCUCUUACCUUGUUGUCGCUGAUAUUCUGUCUGAGAAACAGGGGAGGAAGUGGGUGAAGACUCACAUACACAGCAGGGCGUGGCCUGCCGCUCCCUCUGGGGACUGACGGCAGCACUGGUAGGGAUAAGUCCAUCCAUCCAGUCGUCCACUCAUCGUUUCUAGGACAUCUCCUCUGCUAGGCUCAGGAGGAGUGAGGACAGGGUGAGUCUAAGGGGAACGCAGCGGGGCUCCCAGCCAGGGCUCCUGGGGAAGGGCAGCCAGCUGUGGGUGUGGCCACUCUGGUUUCAGGCAGCUGCAGGGACCAAGGGAGAAGAGCUGGCAUCUCAGCAUGUGGCCCUGCUGCAUGGUGGGGCAGGUCCUUCCCCUCCCGUGCCGUGCCCACUGAUAGUGGGCUGGCUGUUGGCAGGCAUAAGCCACCUUGUUGUCCCUCUGCUAUGCGAAGCCCAGAACCUGGGCAGGGCUUCUGCUUGUCUGCCUGCCAGGUGUUGGAGUGCUGUGCUCCAGGCCCUUCCCUGGCCACCCGGCUGACAUGCCGUUCCUCUGGCCUUGGUGGAACAUGAGUGGCACGGUUUGGCCCAGGCUCGAGGGGGCACUUAGCAAGAGCCUCCGCCUGAGGAAUGAGGUUGGUCCCCUAGGUUGCAUCAAUUUCUGAGGGAUGGGGAUGUGCAGACCCCUCCCCUCUGCAGACCCCUCUUUCCCAAGGCAGCUUCCCUUCUUCUUCCCCUCCACCCUCUAAGGUGUCCUGUGUUCUCCAAGGGCCAAGGCUCAACAGGGGCCGGGGUGGGACGGCCAGUGGCUCCUGUGCAGAAGGUCUGUGUGGGCUUACCUUGCUUUAGUGGAACGUCACAGCAGACUGGGUGGCCUCCCUUAUGUGCCACUUGUCACUCUAAGGAUUCUGAGUGUCCACUCCUGCUUGAAAGGGACCACACGGGAAGAAGCUAUGAAGUCAUCUGUUUUGCCUCACGUGACCUAAGGAAAGGGGCUGGGGGUACAAUGGGUGACAGCUCCGGGGACUGGGAGAUGGUGGGUAUGGGCAGAUGGCUCAGUGUGCCCAGGAGCGGGGCCUGUGACCUCCUGGGCAAACCUUCAAGGGGGUCAAAGGCCGCUCCAUAUCCAGAGCGCUUUCUCUGCCUCGUUCCUGGGCCCAGUGGUGCCCUGACAGGAGGCCAGCCUCCCUGGGCUGGGCCGUGGGCAGGGAGGCCCUAGGAGAGGCCUGGGCCCAGAGCUGGCCCUCAGUCGGGCUUAGGGUGCCCUCUUGGCUCUGGGCAGUGCGGGCCUGUGGAGUGCCAGGCAGGGUGGCCACCACAAGGAGCCAGGAGGGGGAUGGCAGAAGGGGUCAUGCGUGUUCUGUCCUCUGGGAGCUUCUCCUACUUUCAUUUUCUUUUUGCCACUGUUUUUUUUUUUUUUUCCUUGGGGUCUAAUUAAAGACUUGGAGCCGUUUACAGCCUGUGGUUGGCUUUUUAUUUGGAGCCUUGGCAAUUACCUCCUGCCCUAAAAUAAGUUUCGAUGGAGCAGGGGUAGGCUUUUUCUUUCGGCCAAGUUCUCAGCUUUAAUUUUGCCGUGUGUGCGUGUGCGUGUGCGUGUGCACGUGUGUUCCUUCAUGCUCGAGUGUGUGAUGGGGUAACAUGACGCCUGCCCCUCCUCCCCUUUCCAAAUCCUUGUCACUUGCCCCAUCUCAAGUGUCCCUUGGCCAAGGCAGAGACCUGGACAGUGGGAACAGUAUGUCCUCAGCCUCACCCUGCCUGGAGGCACCUCGGUGACAACAGGCAGGUCAUCUGUUGACUCUGUCCCAGUUUCUUCACCUGCAAAUGGGGCCAGCGGGCUGGGCAUGACAGAGGCUUUGGUCCACACCACUUUGGAAACAGACCUCUUGAGUGGGGGAAGCCACUGCCGGCAGCACCAGCACCCCGGGCCUCGUUUGCCUCUUAAUCAACACCCUUUGAGUUUGAUAGGAACCUGUUGUCGUGUCCCCAUUUUAUCCCUCUCUGUUCCCCUGGCCACUGUGUGAGCAGAUGUGAUCACCCCAAGUUUAUUGCUGAGCCCUAAGGCCAGGGAUAAUUAGUGGCUUUUCUGAAAUCACUUUGCUUAAAAGAGACAGAGUCUUGAGAUUCAAACUCAGGUCCUAUGAUCUUCCAAAACCCAAACCCAAGACUUUGUGGGGCUCAGUGUAAAAUGAAAACGUGGAGCCCCUUGUCCUGAAAUAAGAAUUCUAGGACCCCAAGAACAGGACAUUAGACUGAGUGGGUGCCCUUCUGAGCACCUGUGUGGCUGCAGGGGUUGCAUGCCCAAGAAGCUAGCCCUGCCUGACGCCCUCUUGAGUCUCCUCCUAUCUGCUCUGUCGUACCCAUGAGGUGAUGGCAGGGAAGUCACAUAGGCCAGUGGUGCCCCCCUGGCUGCUGUGACCACCCCUUCAGGGGGGCUGGAAUCUGGGUUCUCCCAGCUCCUGAACUUUUCCAUGAGCCCUGUACAGGAUCUCUGGGUUCCCUGAGUCUCCUGGGGUCCUUCUCAGUUAGAGGUGAGGAACUGAAAAGUGGGUUCAAUAAGAACUCUUUUUCCUUGGGGUAGAGGUUGAAGUUUUGAGGACUUGGUCCUCCGAGUCCCAUUGAGGAGCUCAAUGAGAUUCUUUCUGUCAACCCAAAGCAAGUGGUGACCUGCCAAAAAUGUACAGGUCAACCUAGGCUCCAGUUGUUCCGCUUUGGGUAGAAGGUUAGCCAGCCCAUUCCUUGGGCAGAUCUGGAAACUUCCUAGCUGGUUGCUGGGGACUGGGAUUGCCAUGGAAACUUAUGGGUGGAUGGAUGGAUGGAUGGAUGGAUGGAUGGAGCACAUAGCUGGGUGUGAGCCCAUGCGAGUGCCCAUGUGCAUGCACACGCGUGCCACAGAGGACAGCUGUCAGGAUGAUUGGCUUUUACUGAAUUUCCCAGAUGGAGCGGCCUUUGCCUACCCGUCCAGUGUGCUCCUGCCCGUGGCCCCCUUUCUGUCUUCUGCUAAUGCCCCCUCAAAGAUGUCUGAGUGCCAAAGUCCUCGCUGCAAGAGCCCAUCUGGACUCUCUCCCAGGUGCCCCUGCUUCCCAGAAGCCUUCUAAAUUCUGGACCUUGGGUGUACUUAGGGUGAACCGUGUCCUGAAAACCAUGGUAGCCAUUUUUAUGGUGGGGGGACAACUUUGUGUAAAAUGGGGGCCAGGUGGGGGUGGGAGUCCCCCAGGCGCGAGGCCUGAGGCAGUUGGAGUAUAGGAGGGCGAGGUGCCCGAGUUUCCAAGGACUGAUUAGAUGGUAUGCCAAGUGUAUUAAAUUUUGCAGACAUUUUAACAGCAAUAUGCUAGAUAGUUGGGUGUCCCCUGAGGCGGCUGGAUUUUUUAUAUCCUUCACAGAAGGUCAGAACCCUCUUCUGCCUGCCUCCCCCUCCAUCCCAUGCUCUCUGCUCCACGGCUCACCCUCCCCUUUCUCAACAAUUUCCCUGGCUUCUCACUCUCUGCUCAUCAGGAACCUAAAAGACAUCUCUGGUCCCUGCCAGAAAGAGGGAGCACCGGUCCCUCCCGCCUCGCCAUUGGGCUGGUGUCAGGGGUCUCCAAGGCUGGGGAGGGCUCACGCUGGAAGCUUGAUUUCUGUUCUCUCUGCCCUGCACCCCUCCCCCCACUUUGGAGACUGUUCCUCCUUAUUUUUAUAGAAAAAAGGCAGGAAAAGCAUCCAUCUGGCAUAUGAAUAAUUGAAAUGGCUCAACCCUGUUCCUGUGGCUGCUGUUUGUUCUCAGCCCCCCCCCCCCCCCCCCCGGCCCGGCCCAUCCCCGUGAGCAUGGGUCUCUGAGCGGAGGCUGCGUGCGUGGGCAUUCUUCGAAGGGUCUCCGGUGAGGCCCAAGGCUCUCCUUAACCUUGAGUCCUUUCUCCCUGGGAACCAACAGGGCUGAGUGGGGGACAUUUGGAGAUGUGGUUUCCUUUUCACUGUCCAUGGGGAUAGCCAGCCCCUGGCUAGAGUCUCCCAAAUAUCACUGCAACUCAACCGGUUCCCUUGGCUCCCCGGUCUCAAGGGCCAGCUUCCGUCACCCUGGGCUCUCCCAGAGCCUCCCGGGAACCUCUGAUGUAUUAAAUUUUGCAGACAUUUUAACAGCAAUAUGCUAGAUAGCAAUAUGCCCAGCCUCCUCUUAUCCCCCAGCCUCUGCGCCCCGUCCUGAGGGCUCUGGUGACCUCCCAAAGCUUCAGGGGCUCUGGGGACUCCUCUUUGGGGAAACUGGCUCUGGCAGUGCUGUCCCAGACUUCUGAUCAGGCCUCUUGCCCAGAGGCCUCUGAGACACCCCGUCCCGUCCUCUGCCACCCCUAGUGUGCCCAGCUGAGGCUGCCCUGGCUGGAGGUGUGCCCUUCUCUGCGUCUUCAUUUAGCCUUUGGGUUGGGAGCCGUGAGAGAGGAGAUCCGCAACUUUGCUUUCUGGGAGGCAGCACGCGGCGGUGGGAGGGCGGGGCAGAGGCAGGCUGGCCGAGCUCAGGGCCUGGCCCGUCACUCCACCGGGCUGGGCCCAGCUGCACACCAGGCCCCGUGUCCCGGCCCAGAAUUCACUGUCUCUUUAAAACCCUUUAGAGGAAAACCAAAAGAAGUUUAGUGCAUUGAUUCUAGAUGAAGAUGGGCCUCCAGAUGAUAGCCUGACCCUCCUGGCUCCCUGCGAGAGCCCACUUCCCUCUCCUCCUCCCCCUCCCACCCUCCUGCCCCUCUGCCCGCCCUGCCUCUCCAUUCCCAUCCCUUGUUCUUGCUCUGUGAGAGGCUGACGUCAGGGUUGCAUGGAGUGUGGGCUUUCUGUUUGAAAAGUCAAUACUUCUGUUUGUCUGUUUGGGACAUCAUGUUUGUGUCAUGUGUGAAUAUUGACUUGCAGCCGUGGGCCCUGUGGUUAUUAAGUGCUGGGAGCCAGUGUGCAUUUCGGGACCACCGAGCGGCUGUGGUGGGGUGGGGCUGGCACGGGCAUCACCACAAAGUGGUGAGAGGCCUCAGAAGACGCCCCCAUAGGAAGAGGGUGCGAGCAACACCAGAACAUUCUAGAUCUUUUCUGGGUUCAUUUACAAAACUGCCCAGUCAGCAAAAAAUAAUUCGGAUGAAAUUCAAAUCAGGUUUGUUAAUAUAUAACCAUAAAUAUAUAAAUAUAUAAUAAAUAUAAAAGUCGUUUGUAAAGACUCCUACACAUGUUAUAAAAGCUGCAAAAUGUCUGACAUUCCAGGGCCUGGUACGAAUAAUUAGAUAUUUAUGUCCAAUAAAACUGGUUUGAUGGGGAAAUCGUUUCCCUGUGUGGAUUCUCAGUUGAGGACGAGUUUCGGUGGUUGGGUUUGUUUUUUUCCUGACAAUAAAACCAGGGGUUUGGCACCAACAAAUGUAUUUCCCGUAAAUAUCUAAAUCUCCGUUUUCCAGCGUGAGCUCUGCUGGACGGGCCCCGUCACGCCCGCCACUCUCCUCGCUGGCCUUUUCAUUGUCCCUGGAGAACAGUGUGCACGGCCCCUCCUCCCUGCACCCCGGGCCUGAGCUGUAGCCAGGACCACUCUGCCCCCCGCGCCCCUCCGCACCUAGACUGCUGCUGUGGGCUCUUCACUCUGCUCUUUUGGGGGAUCAGUUUUUUAGCCUGGGGCUUCUGCUCUCCUGCGCCCUGGAAGCCCAAUCUAAGCCCCUCCUACCCCCCCACUACCAUUUUUAAUUCCCGUCUUCACCUCCUGCUUUAGACCCUGCUCUCCCUUCUCUCGGGAGCUCUGUUUGACCCCCUGGCCCAUAGCCUUCAGGGCCUCUACCACGUGCCUGGAGGCCCUGGGGAGGCAGUUUGCCUUACUGCCCUGGCUUGGGGAGAUCGCCCAGCCCCACCCUUGUUUUUCUUCCAUCUGUUCCACAGCCGUGAACAGAUGGAGCCAGGAGCCAGAAGGUGCUGUCGAUGACUGUGACCUCUCUCUCCCAUUAUACGGAUGUGGAGCUGAGGCCCCAAGUCGGGCAGAUGGCUUGGGGUGAGGGGCUGGCUUAAGAGUCCUAAGUGGGACAGACAGAGCUGGGCCAGAAGUACAGCCCCUGGCUUGACCUCCCUCUGGUUCUGGGCGUGCGGAAGGGGAGCACACCUACUCCACAGGGACCCCUGGGGCAAGUGGCCUCCCUCUCUGAGCCUUGCAUUUCGGACCAGUGACGAGGAAUCAGUGCUCACUCCGCUGUAAGGCCACCCAGAGGAGCGACUCAAUGAAGUGUCUACGAGUCGCACCUUGGGUUCUGGGCCGACGGGUCCGUUCCCCAGGAAGAAGGGAGUCAGGUUCACCCAAUGGCCCAAGCCCGGACCUGCAUGUCACCGGGUUGCUUGACACUGGGGUGAGGGCCUGUCUACGGGGCUCCCCCUGGGUGGUGGGAUUGCUUUUGCCUGUCUCCCAGCAUGGCUGGGACGUUCUGGCUGGGUUCAGGGUGCCUUAGAGCUUCCCAGGGGUCUGCUGUGACUUAACUUCAGCCAGGAAGGAAAAGCCACUGGUGGAGGAGCAGCACCCGGGUGCUGGGGUCUUCAGGGUUCCUCAGGAACGCACCCCAGAGGCAGGGCCAGAGAAGCCGCAAGGGUGCACUGCAGCGCCUUCGCCAAGACCCAGCCCAGCUCUGUCUGGGACAUUUGGCCCAAACUGUAACCUGGGCCCUACGGAGGCUGGUGGCCCCGAUGUUCUGACAGACAUCUUUCAGAUCAAAGAAAAGGAGUCUCCUGGCAGCCAGCACGCCCAGGAGGAGGGGAGAGGGCUGGCAUCCUCCCGAGCCCCCUUCCAGACGUCCGGGAUGGCCCUCGGAGCCGCGAAUUAAUAUCUCGACACUCAUCACUGUCAUCUGUCGGGACCCAUGGCGACCCCGACGACUCGCCACCGUGACGGUGUACGGUGCUCGGGUGUGAGAAGGAGGCGAGAUUAGCUCCUGCUCCUUGCUGAGGACCCUGCGUGUUCGUGCUGGGCGUGGCCAGCAGCCCAGGCCCCCACCCCCCCAGGAUAACCCUUAAGUGACACACAGUGGCAUGCCAGCUUCACCUGUACCCGUCCCCGGAGCGGAGAGGCCCAGAGCACACGGGACCACCCUCCAGGGGUGGCUCUCUUAGGCCAGUAAGUUUCAAGACACACUAUUGCCCAGGGGACGGGACCCUGGCCUGGAAUUCAAAGCCGCCCUCCAAAAGACACCUGGGUGGCUUGUUUUUCAAUGUUGUCUUUUUUCUUCCUCCUUUUCCCCAACCCUCGCAAAACUAAAAAAAAAAAACUUGGAGAAGCAGAGCCCAAGCUGCCUGUGACUGGCUCACAGAGAAGCCAGUCAAACCUCCCCUUGUUGAGAACAUUUUGACAGCAUAAAAUUGUUGCCGGAAUGUGACUUUAACGAAAAGUAAAAAAAAAAAAAAAAGAAAAAAAGAAAAAAAAAUCCUUCCUUCAUGCAUAUGGAGUUUUUUGGAAAAAAAAAUGGUAUUUUAAUGCUUUCUAUUAAAUUGGGACUAAAAGUGGUGUCUUAAUUUGCAUGCAUUAGCAUAUUUGCAUAUAGAUCACUGAAAUGGUGGAAGAGAGAAGAGCCUUUAAAUGAAAAUUCUUUUAAAGGCACAGGCCCGCUUCCCUCCCCACCUCCCUCUGGGAUUUAUGCUUGAUCUUUUCCUCUCACCUCCAACCCCACCUUUAUGUCUUGAUUAAGCUGUGAAUGGACAGGAGAGUCAAGGCUCUACUUCUUAGGAGCCAAUUCGGGGUGGAGUCAAGGGGCCAGAAAGUCCUGGCCCUUGAUCACCCCCUGGCAGAGCUCUGAGCUGGCCUGUCCUGGCAGUGAGUGGCUCUGGAGGACGGGCCUAUGUCCACGCCGACAGGCAGGUGGCCUGGACCCCCGGGCCUCUUCCAGCCAUUAUCCUGCCCUCUUUCUGGCUCUUCCCCUCCCACCCCCGCCCCCCGGGCCAGGUUGGUUCUAUAGAAGCCCACUGUGGGCACCUGUCCUGCCAGCCCCUGGCCCCAGAGGAGGGGAUGCUCUUCUUCCUCUGGUGUAACCCAUCUCCAUCCUCCGUUACUCUCUGCCACUGUCCUUGUUUCACUGUCUGCAGAGAACUCACUAGUUGUUUGUUUACUUGAUGAUUUGUCUCUUCCCGCCAACACCACCCUUGCCAAGGACAAACUCCACAGAAGCACAGCCCGGUGGCCGACUCAUUCAUAGCUAGACCCAUGGUGCUACUGACAACGCCCAGCGCAUUAUGGGUAUUCAGUAACUGUUCAUUGAAUGAGUGAAAGGGGGCUGGGACUCCUGCCAGGCUGAGCCUUUCCCAGUGCCAUGGUCUCAUGGUACACAGUGCCACACCCCAGCCCCCUUUAGAUGUCUUCAGCCUUGCUGGAGGAGCAGGAUUUGGGAAUUGUCCAGGGCCUUCCAGUCUGAUCCCAGGCCCUCAAAGAAUGCUUUAGCCCACCCUUGUUCCUUUGGAUGGCAGGCUGGAUGGAGUGGGGACCUGGCCUUAGGGAGCAAUCGGGCAGGGUGGCCUAUAGGAAAUGUUCAGCAUGGGGGAAAGAGCUGGGGCUGAUGAAGCUAGGGUCACCUUAUGCCAACACAAGGGCCUCCAACCCUGUAGCCAUAUAGAUCUUUAUUUGGCACCCUUCCUCCCAGAAACUUCAGGGUGCACCAUCAAUGCCCUGGUUUCUGUACCCCAGUUGUGCUGCUGGCUGUCCCUAGUCUAGGUGAAAGAGUCCUGGGAAACCCCACCAUGCUCUCUGCAUUCCAGAGGGACAGCCCGGGAAGUGAGGUCUAGCCACUGAGCCCUGAGCCAUCCCUCCCUUCCCUACUCGGGUGGGCUGGGCUUUCCAAAAGGCCCCUCCAGGCUGACAGCAGCCUCGGGCUCCAUGCCCAGCCUGAAGGGGGAGGGCCGAGAAGGGUGAGGGGGACGCCCAGGGUUGGAGCGGGACUGUGCCUCCACCGCUAAUGAAAAUCGGAAACCAAUUGAGCAGGACAAGGUGCCCCGCCAGCAGGUUGUGGGAACAAGGGUCCUAAUGGAUGUGGCUGGUGGGGGGAGCGGAUGCCUCAUUGAUCGCCCAGUGGCUAUAUUUAUCCACCUUGGGUCUGUGGCCCUAGCAGCUGGAUGGUACAGGGAUAAAUAAAUGGCCACUGAAAUAUUCAUGAGCUGCACAUGCACAUCCGUGGUCAGGGGUGCCGCCAGGGCCUGCUCUUCCUUCCUUCGCCCAUCUCUCUGCAGAAGCCUUUCAGGAAAUUCCUCCCACCUGGGCCAGGUGACGCGUGGCCCAGCCCCACUGGGCACCCAGCCCAGCCACAGCCCUGGGAGCACCUGCAGGCCUGGGCACCUUCUAUCCUGGGCCAGCUGACUGUUUUCAGACUGGUCCCUGCCUUGCCUUUGUCCCCUCCAUUGCCCCUGUGUCCCUGUCCCUUAAUGAUGGAUUAGACACGUGGGGCCGUGGCUAUUUGCUUGACCCUGUAUGCCCUGCUAGACCAUGUCCUACUCCUGAAGGACAAGCUUGUGGCUCAUUUGUCCCUGGAUUUCCCCCGUGGCCUGGCACGGUGCCUGAUGUGUCCUUGAGAGGAGCAUCAUCUGAGUGAGGCUCAGAGGUGGGCUUGCGUCUCAGGUCUGUCCUCUCAGGUCUUCUCCUUGCUGAACUCACUGUCCUCAUCGGCAAAAUGGGUUUAGGAACAGUGCUGGGGUGUCAUUGAGUGUGGGCUUGGGGCUCCCCAAAUCAGAAGCCCUAGCAGGUUAAGGACACCGUUCUGGGGCCAUCCAUACUGCUGAAUGAGACUCUCCAAAGGAGGGACUGAAGGCUUAGUGAGCUUGUUGGUUUGCUGCUCACUGAGAUGUAGAAGUCCUGGCUUUGACCUUCCAAUGUCUUAGUCCAGGUAGCAUAUGGCUACCAGGUCUGCUCUGAGUUGUUCAGCCCCUGGGAAACAGGGCCAGGAGGUCAAGGGAGAGAGGAUGAUUCUAGAGGGUCUGGAAGCCAGGCUUCUGGUAAAGCUGCCUGGUGUGGAGUAGAGCUGCCAGAGACUGAGCAGAUGGGCCAGUAGUGCUCUGUGGUAGGGUCUAGAAAUGCGGCCGGGGCUGCCCAUGGGCAACAGGUGGGUGGGGCCAGGGCAGGGACCUGUGGGCAUCCUCCAUGAUCUGGAGGUCUGUUGUGGGCAGUGCCCAAGAGGGUGCAGAUGUGGUGCUCUCUGGGGUUUCAUCUGCCUUUAACCUCGCAGCUCCUCCCCGGUGGAAGGAAGGGAAGAGCUCGGCCCCUGGGCAGGAGUGAGCAGUGUCAAGAGCUAUGGGUGCUUGCUCAGGGCUGGCUGGACAGCACACUCUCCAACCAGAUUGCCUGUGGCACCACAACCACAAGCUGCUGCCUCUGGGUACCCUGGGUACCGCAGCUCACGCUGCCCCUUUGGUGUACUGCUGACCUGUUGGUGGCAUGGGCCCGUCCCCUGGUAGGCAGAUGCCCAUGACUGGAAACCAUUUGACCCUGUUUAACCGAGGGGACUGAGGGUUCAGCUGACCAUCUGUGGUGGGUCUCUGAGGGCUCCGGGCACAGAGACCAGGAGAGUCGCAGGGGAUGGGUGAGGGCAGAGCUCGCAUCGGCAGCUCAGCCAGGAGGAGCCAGCCGUCCCUCCUCCCUGCCAGCCCACCUCCUCCCCCAGCCAAAGUUUGAUCCAAACAGAAGCAAACUUUGGGGACAGCCCUGGCUCUGCGUGGAGCCUGCGGAGCCUGCGAGUGGCAGCGAGAGCAGAGGGAGGCAGCCCCGGCAGCCUUGGCGCCUGACUCCACGGUCCUCUGUCCCCUCCCAGAGCUCCCGGUCCGCGCCCGCGUUUGCAGGCGCCUCUCUCGUCAGCUCAGAAUGCAGCUUGGGGCCCGUGGCGGCUCAACCUUUCCCUCUCCCAGAGCCCCGGUCUAAUCAACCCCUAUAAUUUAUGCAGAAAAUAUGAUUUAUAUUUAAUUUCACCACACUUGCAUUGUUAAUUUGAGAUGUAAUUAACCCGUCGCCAUGACAACUAAUUUUGUGAUGCCGUAAAUUACCGCCGUCUUUUCAUCAAAAUUCAGUUACUUUGGCUCCUGUGUGCAAUGUACUGAUGCAAUUAGGUUGCUAAGGGCAACUCAAAAGUGUUCAAUUUCUUUUGUGCAACUGCAAUGGGGUAGAAGCUCCCUUGCGUCCUCCCAGGGUCCCCCUGGCCAUGGGGCGGGGAGCCCAGGGUCCGAGGCUGCCCUAGAGGAAUGCUGCUGGAGAGCCGGGCUGGGUGGGCGCCCGUGGCCUCUGCUUCUCUGCCUCCCACCCUCUUUUCUCCAGUAAUUGUUUUUAAGCAGUGGCCCCUGGACGCAUGCUCCCUGUGCCCCCCACAGGACCUCAGGGCAGCCAAGGGGCUCUCCCCUCGCCGGCUUAGGCGCUGCCUUGCCUGGUCCUGUCCCACGUUUUGGUGCUGCGCUUAGCAAGAAGAGCACCUUGCUUUCUUCCUGUUGGUGUCUAACUUGUUUAUAUAGAUCUUCCUUCUCCCUCUCUCUGUUUCUCUCUCUCUCUCUCUUUUUUUUCUUUAUUUAAAACAAAAACCCUCUGUGUUGCUUUUGUCACGUUAAUUCCCAUUUUGCCAACACCAGGGGCCCAGGCAGACGAGUUACCAAGGAACACAAAAUUUUAAUUAGUGUAUUUUAAUCAUUCAGGCUUUCCCAGCUAAUCCACAUGCCCUAGAGAAUUCCCGAGAUGCAGCUCUGCUCUGCUUUACCAUUUAUUGUUGAGUCUAUUAUAAUUACUGUUAGCAGGUGGGGACUGGGAGAUGUUUAUUAUGAGUUUUUCAUCUUUAGUAUAAUUACCGAAAAAAACAAAAUAAAAAGAUGUCGUUGUAUUUUGUUUCCUAGAAUUUUUUUUUUUUCCAGUGGAGGGCAUGGCCGUGGGAUAUUUUUUCCCUGCCUCUUCCCAGGCAGGUGACUUGGAAUUUCAGCGCAGGAAGAAACACUCCUCAGGAUCAGGGCUGAGUGCUGCCCAGCACUCCACAGGCCCAGGAAGGUGGGCGGCUGCCACCUCUGCUUGUCAUCUGCUCAGACAGGCCCUGGGGCUGCCCCCUCCCACCGGUGUGGGGUGGCUGUGCAUCGAUGGGGGCUGAGGCGGAUAGGCCAGCUCCCAGUGUUCCUGCCUCAGCCUGGUGGCUUUGCCUGGUACGGGUCAGUCUGGGGGUCAGCCAGCGUGGACCUGUUGGAGAUCAGAACAGCACCUGUGUGACUUUAAAUGUAACUGUCGGCGUUUAUUCAGUGCUUAGUAUGUGCCAAGACCCGUGUCACGGUCUUUAGCUGCAUAAUUUCACUUAAUCCCUCAGCAGCCCUCUGAGGCAGAUACCAAUAUCAACUCUGAUUUAUAGAGCAGGAGCCAGGCUCGGGAUCACAGAGCUGAGAAGUAGCAGCAAAGGAUUCAAACCCAAGUCUGUCCCCAGAGCCCAGGUUCACGCCAACUAUACCACAUUGGCUCUUCUGAGUAGGUCUUCCAGGUCACACCAGAGAUGCGGCCUUCUCCGAAAAGCCUUCCAGGAUUGCCUGAGACUGAGUUAGGGCUCUUUAUGUCACUACAGCCUCACAGUCUCAGUGCCUGUCCCUCUGAGUUGUAGUUGCCCGGUGACUUCUUUACUGGCCUCUGAUAAUAGGGAGCAUUGAGGGUAGAGGGCUUUCUGCCAUUGUCCCUGAUGUAGCAUAUAAUGUCCCUGGCACAAAGGCAGCUCAGGAAGUUUGUGGGGCAGGUGGGCACGCUGGUUCCUGAUGGUACUGCACUAUAACCUCUGCUCGGCAGGUCACGUGUCAGGAUGCAGACAUCCCUCAAAGACACUUCUCUCGGCAGAAGCCACAGGUCUGUGGUCCUGGGUUUCCAAUUCCUGCAGGAAGGGGUACCCCGGGGUUCUAGGCCAAGUUUGGAUCCUGUCCUGGGAACUCUGGGUGUGAAAUGGGAACUCAGCUUUGGCUUCCGUUUGGCCCCCCAUGUUGGUGGUGUCCCUGGGCUUACUUUUCUUUCUCCUCUCUAAGAUUGGUUUACAGAUGUUUUCCCCAAGCCGUGAUGCUUUUGAAGUUUUCCUGGAAAAUUCCACAUCUCUGCCCUAGAGCUCGGCUAGGGGGCCGAGGGCCGUUGGUUUCCCCAGGCAGCGUGGAGCGGAAUGCUGGAGCUGCAGCCUGCCGGUGCUCCUCUCCAGCCUGGUUUCCCCCAGGGACAGUGGGAGAAGAUAAUUAGCACGUCCCUGGGAAGGGGCCCAGGGCAGGCUGCGAACUGCACACUGAUGGCAGGACUCCCUGUUCAGUGCCACAUUCUUGGGCACCCCCUUUGCCAGCUCCUCUUUAUAUUCUGAUGGAGCAGUGUGACUCACCUGCACCCCAAGCAGCUGCCCUCCCAUGGGGGUCCAGACCCUGCUCAAGUCCAAGGGCGGAGAUGGCCACUUCCCCCAGUGGUUGUUCUAAUACUUGCUGGGAGCAUCUGGCAUCGGGCCCUGCCCAAGCCUCUGCACUCCCCAGGCACAUGAUCCUACUGAGGCUGAACAUGUCUAAUGUGAAAAUACAAAAUUCCAAAUGCUCCAAAAUUUGAAACUUUUUGAGCACCAACAAAACACCACAACUGGAAUUCCACAUCUGGCCUUAUGUGACUGGUCACAGUGCAAAUGAAGAUGCACUAAAAUUAUAUAAAAUUACUUUCUGGCUGUGUGUAGGAGGUACCCAUGAAACAUGAAUGAAUUUGGUGUUCGGAUUUGGGUCGCAUCCUGAGAUACCUCAUAUGUCUGUGCAAAUAUUCCCAAAUCCCCAAAAAUUGGAAAUCAGAAAUGCUUCGGAUCCCAAGCAUUUUUUUAAAAAAAUUUUUUAGUUGUUGAUAGACCUUUAUUUUAUUUAUUUAUACAUGGUGCUGAGAAUCGAACCCAGUGCCUCACAUGUGCCAUGCUAAUGUCCUACGGCUGAGCCCCAGCCCCAGCCCCAGCCCCAGCUCUGGAUCCCAGGCAUUUUGGAUAAGGAAUACUAACCCUGCAUCAGUCACGUAGGAUAUGAAGUGGGGCCAGCGAUUUGUCCCUGAGGCGCCUCAUCCCACAUCCCCUACAUAGAUUUUCUGCUCCUACUGCUCUAAGAGAGUAGUUCUUGAAUUUGUUGGUCUUAGGACCCUGUUAUAUUCCUAAAAUAUAUUGAGGACCCCAUUUUGGUUCAUGGGAAUUUUAUUUUCCAAUAUUUAUCAGGUUAGAAAUUAAAACCAAGACAUUGUUAAAAAAACAUUUAUUAAUUCAUUUUUAAUAAUAUUAUUAAACUAUAACAAAUCCAUUACUAUGCGGAAUAUAUUUUUGUAACUGUCUUCCAGAAUAAGUGUUAGCAAGAUGAUUGGUGUUGCAUUACACUUGUGCAAGUUUCUUGGAUGUUUGACUCAAGAGAGGGUGGCUGGAUGUUCUCUUGGGUCUCUGCUUCCAGGCUCAAUCCUUUCCUUUGGGUUGUUUAGAUCAAAGGCAGUGAAGAAAACCCAGCUUCAUGUGGGCCUUGCUGGACAAGGGAGGAGGCUUUGCAUGGCUGUUGCAGACGGUUGAGCACGUUCUUCUUUGAUAUUACACCAAAACUCAACAAGUGGUUUCUCAAAGAUUUGUUGUAUCUGGUCGGUGAACCCACCCCAUCACAGUAAAACCCAGUGGGCUCAUUGGCUCUGGGAAUGACUCAUUCCCUGAUCUGAGAUUUUGUAACCUUGUAUGGGUCACUUGGAAAACACGAGUUCCCUGGGGAAUGCAGAUCUUUGGAAUGUUGAGCAUUUCAUUACAUGGCAUUUAGUGAAUCGGAGUCAUUAGUGUCACCACUGAUCUCAUCAGAAAAGCUGUUACGUGCAAGGACACUGUCUAAGUCAGAGUGACAGAUGUAAGUUCUCCAAAAGUCUUAAUUCUCCCUUGAAAUCUCAGGUUUGAUCAUUGGCCGCAGAUACUGUCCACCUUUUUCUCUUGAGGUACAGGCUUACUUUGGUCCCUUUUGAGAAAGUAGCUGCCAAAUACUCAGAUCUAAAGUAUCGCAAUGUGUCUGUCAGUGGCUCUUUCCUGGUGUUCCCUGAUGCGCCACCGUGUAAGACGAAAGACAAAGAGUCCGUUCAAGUGAAGGGGGUAGUUAAGAACCUGAACCCAAACGAUGUCGUCUUACGGUUCACACCGAGCUAAAGUAGGGAAUCUGAGAGAGAAAAAAAAAAAAAAUUAUAAAUAAAUCAACGUCCACCUGUGUUAUAGAAAUAAAGUAAAAGUGCACCAUGACUCCAAACUUGGGUCACGGAGUGUACACGAUCCGCUCGUGGGAUGGUGACUCGGUGUUGGGGUCGGGGGGAAUCUGAGAAUUUGUCUGUGUAUGAGCUCCCAGGUCUAAGGUAGUUUCAGUGGUCAAAAAAAACCGAAGUAGGCCCUGUAAAAAUUCACUUGCACCACCCCACAAAAAAACCAAAAGCUCGGUCUUCAUGCACCCCGGCCCCUACCGUCGCCGACGAGGACGUCGUCGACGUCGAGGACCAGCCCUCGACCGCGAAGGGGGGGCAGUCACGUCGCAGUGGUGCACCUCCUUCCGCGCACCGUUACACCCUACUAGUGUCUUCCGCAGGACGGAACUACCUCGACGACUUUCCCAGGACUCUCGUGUGUCUCUGGACGUCCCCUGAGAAACUCUUGGUAGUGGGAGUCGGAGACCAGACAGAGAGGGACACCCCGAGGUCGGGGCAGAAGGGGGUAGUCUUUCGGGUGUAGGAACCGGACUAGUAACCGAGUCGGGCGGAGGACCCGUAACGGGUAGACUGCGACGUCACCCCUCUCUGUCGUCCCCCUGUGUCCCAGGAAUCCCCCGUCAGACCCUCUCCCUCCCUUCGGGGACCGGACCGGUGACGUCACCUGUCUACGAGUUCAGGGCCGUGCGUUAUCUUUCUCGAACCUCCGGUAGAACGGGGGACACUCCCGACUCCGGGCAGAACGUAACCCCUGGAGUCACGGAGGUGGGACGCCACCGGGUCAAAGGGUAGUCGGUGGACGGAGGUACGACCCCCGGUACCUCGGUUCCCGUCCGGACUGGGGGAGGAGGGGCACCGGAGGGAAAGGAAGGGUGAGGGGAAGGGGGUCGACGGAGGGUCGGUGGAGGGGGUCGUACCGUCGGACAGGUUCUGUGACCCAAAACAGGGGAGCUAGGCCCGUGGGACUCUCACUCUCUUUUAUCGACAGGUCACUCACACCCCCCUCCGGAGAACAAAAGGGGAGAGUCGGCGACCAAAAGGGUUGAAAGGGUAGGGUAGAGGAUACCUUGUUUCCCGGAGACCGGGGCACACGACCCGACCCGGGUCGCUCCCCUGAGUGGUCGUUGAGAAAUAACUCAGAAGUUCGCGGCCGGUCCGUGAGGUAAUUUUUCGGUAAGGGGAAACACGACGGGCCGGGGGUCGACAGGGGGGAGAGUACACUACCAGCCAGUGUCAACAUUUUGUUGUUGUGUGUCUCAACCGUUGAUUGCUCCGAAAAAAAGUUCGGUCCCAGAGGUACCGUUGGGGGCAGUUAGUGGGGAGUCCUCGCGAAAUUGGACUGGUUCUCCCCCUUUAUUUUUUAUUUUAUUAUUAUUAUUAUUAUUAUUAUUUCUUUCUUUCUCAACCUUUCGCUCGCUCUCCGGUCAUCUGUUGACCCCUCCCUUCACUAAGUCUUUCAAAGACCCCAACCCUUGUGUCCUUUUAACUUAGUCGACCUGUCCUAACGGAGUCACUGGUCUCCCCUUCCUUCAAGUAAAAUUUAUACAAGUGUAUAUCAAACAUGUAACUUUGACUAAAAUACUUCAGAGGACUGCAGAGCAAGACACCGGGUAUUUUACUACCUUGUACAAACAGUCGUCAGCCUCGACCUCCCUCCCACCGAGGGUACCCGUGUAUUAUCACUUAUCUACCAUGGUCCCCGGGUUUGGUUCUCCACGGGUCAACUACCGGAGUUCGGUCACCCCUCUCGGUAAGUCUCGAACCGAACUCAGGUCGUCCCACAGACUCAGGAAGGUACACGCCGGGUCACGGUUACCCCUAUCGGGUGCCAUACACUACCCGUACCUCGGUUCCCCUGUGAACCCCCGGGGGUAGGAACCACGGUACAUCCCUUCCUCGUCUGGAUGGUAGUACUACACAACUUCCCCUAGUACCCCACCACCCUGGGGAGCAAGAAGUGCACGACAGUACGGUCGUCUACGGGCCAAAGACCCGUGCACCGUAACGCGGGUCCCACUCAAGUUGGAAGGAACACAACCGUACCACGGCCCCGUACCGUUCGAACUCAAGAGGGGGGUCGAGCGGGGGACUGUGAGUAUGUACGACGGACCGUCGAUCGGUCCCCGAGGUGUCCAAGGGUCCAAACACGUCGGACCCGUGCCCGACACCCGUCGGGACCGUCGACGGCGGACCGGGAAGACUGUUGAGACUAGUCCCUCCUCCUCUUCCGGUCGAAGAGUCGGUCGGAAGGGGCGAGUCGUGGGUGUUUAGAUGACACGUCUGCGAGUAAGAGGGACCCUCGCCGUUCUCCUGCCCCAAGUCAGUACCGAGGACCGUGGAACCCCUCCCAAAAGAGUAAGAACCUCAAACCCUUGGACCGAUCUCCGGGCUCACGUAGUUCCUUCCCCUAGGUUCCUUGUCUUGGAAUUCAAAGGUCUUAUAAAGUUUCUCACCCGUAGUCCAGUCACAGCCAACCCAGUGACAACCCACCACGACCUGGAGAGUCCCGGACCCCUGUUUUCCUGACCUCCUUGGAUUCAGACACUCAAACCCCACUUAACCCCCCUCCAACCUGAAAAAGAACCUGAAGUUUCGGGACGUGUCUCGACCAUGGACCUCCUCGUCUCUCGUAACACUUGCGUACCCACUAUUUCCCCUACACCGGCCUCGUGCUCCAGGGUGCCCGACGAAGGAUAUUAUACUCCCGACACCCGGCCCGAGAGUACUGUCCACCGAGUACCGAGACGUCGGGGACAAGAGGCACCGUACGACAGUGGGUCCUAGAGGGUCCCGACUGGACCUUGGUGGCGCCCGGUGAGGGAGGCAGACGGGUCGAGAGGGAGAGGAGGCGACGAGAAAGACGCCACAGGGAGAGGCGGAAGAGAACCAGGAGUCAGGAAAGGUGAGGGUACGAGACUAGUGAAGGUCUCCGUUGGAGAGUCCAGUGGACAGGGGUUGAAGAGGGAACGGGGUUGAGAUCGUCACCCUUCGGCCCACCCUCGGGGUACGGCACGGUCCAUACACUGUAGAGUCACCCAAAUGUCUUCGACUGAGUGAGAGUAAAGGAGGUUCCUUUCUCGGUCCUGUUCCCUCUGGGACCGAAGGACUCCUCGGGGACACGUCGGAGAGGACCGAGGGAAACCUCGGGACACGGUGACGACGCCCACACCAUCCCUGGGAGGUCCCUGGUCUCGUCGAAACCGUCCCGGGGCAGAAACGUAGAGGUAAGGACCCACGGGACCCUUCGAGGACGUCCUCUUCUUACGAUCGUUAGACGACCACAUCAUUCGACCGUGGCGUGGGUCCGUCCCGGUGUACCACGGUCCCGGAUCAUUUCUGCAACCGCUCCCGACGGAAGGGGCACGGACCUCAAAGGAGGUCGGCCCAACCGUACACCGGAAGUCGAGUCGGACUCCGUCGAGUUCCCGCUCCACCGGAGGAGUCGUCCGGUGUCGGGACGUGGGGACGGACGGACCCCCUGGUGUGUAGGUCAGGAGGAGGAGGACGGGGUCGCUCUCCCUGGUGUCACCACUCCUCAGACAUCGCAGAACGCCUUCCUCCUCGACUCACCCCGAUCUUCCUGUCACAGGACGCAGGACCGACACCCAGUCGUCGGGGCCUCGGUCCUCCGGACCGGAAGGUCAAGGGUCGGAGAAGAGGAGUCAUUUGCUCCUACACCCGGUUCGUAGAGAGAACAUCCCAAAGACACCGGAAGAUUAGUCCCUCGUAGGUUCUUCCUGAAGCGAGACGGACCCUGUGAUUUGUAAUCACUAACGACGACGACCACCACCACCCCCAUUCUGUCGCGGGUGGGGAUCUACCGAACUCAGGACUCGACUGAAUGGAGAACACUCAGUAUGGGGCCCAGCCUGAGUGAGUGCCCGGUGUCAGCCGACAUCCUGAUUAUCACGCCAUUAUCAUUUCCCCAUGCACCGAGGUGGAACCUCACCUUGCUCUUGCUAUUAAAGGACCUUGAGGAUGCUGCCCCCACAGAGCCCAGCCCAUCCUUCUAGAACAUUCAGCAGGUCCCUUGCUCUGGCAUCCACAGCCCUCCCCUCCCACCGCCUCUUCACUCACCUGUCCAGGAUUCCCCCCCUCCACCAGCCUCUCUGGGGUUUCCUAGCAAAAAAGGGCUUCCCAGAUCCAGCCUCUCCUCCUCCCUGCAAGCUCUCCCCCAGGCCUGACUGUGUAUUGUAACAUAGUAGCUGAAUGAACUCCGGUUUCAAAGGUUAAUAUCAAAAUCUGGAGUGGAUUACCUAAAACUUACUUACAACACCAUUAAAAUUCUGAACUCUUUUUGUUGUGGCUGUAAAUUAAUUUAAAAUGUCAGGUUUUUUGAGAAAUCCAAUAAGAAAUUGAGCCAACAGAGCAAUCUGCAAACUGUCUGGCAAAGAGGAAAGUGUGUCUCUUCAAUCGACAGGGAAAAAUAUGGAGCUUAACUGGAACCAUAUGGCUCAGUACUUGAGAGAAGUCUGCGGAAGAGGGAGGGCGGGAGGGGAGGGGGGCGCUCAGCUGACAGCCUCACGCAGGCAGCAGGCUGGCCGCGGCGUUGGCAUCAACGCUGCAGAGGGGCCUGGCAGACGCCUGGCACACGGCCUACUUGGCUGCCCAGCGUCCACGGUCACCAGGCGGCCCUGGACUGCAACUGGUCAGGGCAUGGUCUUAACACUUUCUCUCGUGUCUCUCCAGGACUCCCCGCCAACUCGGGAGUCCCACCCCCGCCCCUAGGGGACCCCAAGCCCUGUCCCUGGUGGGGAGGAGUCUGGGCAUCUAGCUUGUGCCUGCAACAGCCACCUGCGUCUGUAAGGCUGCCUCCCCCAGUCCUCUGUGGGCUCCCUCCCAGCCAACAUGUGGUCCCCAUUACUCCUGAAUUCCCCCAGAUUUACAACACAUUAAGUAAUUUGUAGGUUAUUUCAACUUCAAUCUGCUAAAGUUGAGAAAAUCAAAACUAAAUUCAAACCACAAGGAAACUUCAAAGAAAGAGGAGGAAGAGAAAACCCCCAGAGCUCCUCUCCUCCAGGUCCCGUAUGUCCCCCUUCUGUCCUGAUCUGAGGAUCCCGGCCAGCCCCCCACUGCCUGCCUUCCUCUGGGCCUCCCCUUUCCUGGCCUGCACCUCACCCAGGGCCCUCCCCUCUGUCUCUGGAUAGGCUAUGCCUCGGUUGCCCUCUGCGUGAGCAUGCGGGCGCAGGGGCUGCUGUGGGGCUCACGCUGGGAUGGGUGGGUUUGGUGUGGGGAGGGGGACAUGCCUCUCCAGCUUUCCGUAUUCUCUGCUCCCGUUCCCUGGGCCCUCACCGUUUCCGGGCUCCAGAGCCUCUCUGUUCGCUUUCCUGGCCCAUUUUGGGGGAGUCUCCACGGCUCUGUUCCGGCUCCUUCCAUGCCUGGGACAGCUGGCAGCUAGUAGGUACCACCUGGCCCCUCGGUGUACUAGCUCAGUUUACCUUAUUUUGCUUGCUACCCUUUAAAACAGCCUUGUAAAUAAGCAAACACUCGGUGCCAAGCACCUUCGGCACUUCGCCAGGCUGGUAAAUAUUUUAGUAGUGACUUGGUAACAGUUGUGUUCACUUUGAUUUCCUCGGAAAGGUUCUUGGUGCUGGGGAGGGGCCGUGGCUUGGGGAAACCAUUUGCUGGUUAUUUAUAGUCCAGCUCUGACCACGUGCCCUUUGCUCUGACCCCGUGGACUGUAUGCUGGGGUAUUUUUGAAGUUGGAGUGACAUUGGCCUCACACCCCUGCUGGCCAAGAUGUGGAGGCCUCCCCCACCUUCUCCAGGAGUGUCCGUGCAGACAGAGUUGUGGGGUCUGGGAUUUGGGAAACUAGACUUGUUCCCACCAGGAACCUGAAGAGAUCUGGGAGACUUGGGCAGCUGGGUGUGAGUUUGAGGCCAGCUCCCAGUGACAUGGUUCGGACUUGGGAAGAACCCUGAGCAGCAGGCUAAGGAGGGCUCUGGGGUUGGGGUGCUUGAUGCUUAGGUCAGAGUUGCAAUGGCCACCUAAGAUGGCCAGAGAAAAGCUGACUGUGACUGUCGCUGACUGCAGAGGCGAGUCUGGGGAGCAUGCCACAAGUGGAUGAGUUUUCUAGAGAACCCUUACUGUGGGGAAGAGGAAUGCAGGUGACAAGCCACAGAAGAUUGACAGGGGGAGCAAGCUACCAGCCAGGGCUGCUAAUAGAUGCCCUGGGGUCUGGGCCUUUCCUCCAGGCCAUGACAGGGACACCUGUAAAGUGCAAGGCCGCCCUGCCCAGUGUCAGGAAGCUGGUCUAGCCAGACCCAACUUUGCCAUGUCCAGCAAGGCACAUGCUGCCCCAGGCUGGGUACCAGGGGAAGGAAGGGCGAGGCGGAGGGGUGGCGCAGGCGUCUGGCUUUAAUAGACUGCUCUGCGCAAAGCCACUUACUCCUUUGUUUUACGGGCAGUUUUAAUGUACAGAUGGGUUAGUUUUAAAGGGAUUCGAAAUCAUGGUACAGGGAGAGCGUGGCACUGUGCCCAGCUUGCAGUGCCCCCAACCUGGGUGGUGAGUGACCACAGCUGGCCAAGAGCAAAGUCGGAGUGAUGCCCGUCUUCUCUCACUUAGCUCAGGGUGGCGGGCAGGCCAGGGGAAAGUGGGUGCCUCUGCGUUGGGUAGGAUGGGCUCGGUGUUAGGAUGAGGACCCUUGCUCUGCCCACCCACCAUCCACACAGGUGGGCGGAGCCUUCCCACGACAGCUUACAGCCAGGGCACUGUUCAGCUGACCAGCCAACCUGCUGCCACUCCCAGCCGCCUGCCCUUCCUCCCUUGGCUCCUGGCGCCAUGAUGCGCGCCUCCCGUCUGCACCCACGCACACCCUAUUGGUGCUCGGCCGCCGUGGGCGCAAGUCAGGUGAGCGGCAGACAGAGUGGCAGACCCAGCUCACCUCCUUCCCGGCGGGACUGGUGCCAGGGCUGUGCUCUUCCCGGAAGGCUUCCAAGCUCCCCCGCACGGCAUCCUGUUGAGCCUGUUUUUGGGGUGCGGGGGCAGGCCUUUUUGGGGGGAGAGUGUCUGCCCCAUGCUGCCCUGGCGCCAGCUCUUCUUGGAGGCCCAUGGUGGUGCCUGAGGGCGGCUCUGGGCUGGGGCAGGAGAUGGGGGUGUCUGAGCCGGGAGUCAAGGGAGAUGCGGCCAUCUUCUGCCAUGCUGGGGCCCCACUGUGGACAGCUGCAGAGCCCUGGGCGGGUCUGCUUUGGUGCAUGUUGCCUAGUGGCCCCUCUGUCCAGGGUUCUCCAUGAUGACCGGCAAGACCCAGAGCCUCUCUCUGUGCCCUCAGCUGGGCCCAGCACCCAGGUCAAGGCUCAGGGAACCUCAUGACUUUUUGGCCUUGCCCGCUCUGGCUCUCCAGUUUUCAGUGUUCUUAGAAUCUUGAGGACUUCUAGGGAGGUGAGAGGAAGGUAGAAGAGGCCUUUUUCUGAGCAUCCGGGACUUUCGAGAAAGAGAUCUGCCUCCCAAGGUUGAGGACCCCAGGGUCCCGAGGUCUCCCCUCCUGCUGGCCCCUGUGUGGAAAGGAGGGCUGCCUUGGAGAACUUUUGACUGCCCUUGGCCUUGGGUUUCCAGGAUGCUCUUGUACUGGUAUGAGUAUCUGGAAAUGACUUUUCUUUUCCAGUGUCCCCCCAGCCUUUGGGAAUGGGGUGCCCAUCAACACCACUCCCCUCCCCACUGUUGCUCAGGCACAGGUGAGAAAGGAAGACCCUGCAGAGCCACUCAGGGAACUAGUGGCUGUGACCUGCGCACUUCAGUGGCAGGCACUUGGGGCAGGACGAGGCACCGGUGUCUGCCCAGCCUCAGCAGUGCCUGGAAGUCUCCAGGAAUUUAGAGAUUCCCUGUGUCUUCUGAAGGAGACGAUGCUGUGCUGUGCUGUGCUGUGCCUCAGUUUCCCUAGGUGGCCUCUCAACAGCCACGAUGAUGACCUUUAGGAAAGAGAGGCAAAGGGUAGUGACUGAGAUGACCCAAAGAGGCCACCUGGGCCUGCUCCUCUUCCCUGUCAUGGGCCUGCCUCUGCUUUCGAGCUGGUGAGAUCAGGGGCAAAGAGCGAUUGGCCUCCACCAAGGCCUGAAGGUUUGCUGGGCUGAGGCCACUACAUGAGGCCCCCUCCAGCCUGCUAGGUCCCAUACAGACCAGAGCCUGCCAGGUCUCAGUUGGUGGGCCAGCGCCUAAGCAGUAAAAUACGGACUAGGAAGGAAAAGAAGGUCAGAGGCAGACGCCGUGGGCCCGGAGCCAGGCAGACCCUCCACUUCACCAAGCCCAACGCUGGGUCUGGUCGCAAGGGGGACGAGCUGGCAGGUGGCCAGUUGCCCUGUUUCUCCUUGAUGCCUGCGUGGAGGGAGUCCUGGUUUCGAGCUCCCUUCGAGCCGGGAAUGGAGGAGAGCCUAUGAAAAUGAUGAUAUGUGACAAUCAGUCACAGCAAUUAGUGUUUUGGUUAACAGGCCUUUUUUGUUUUCUCUCACCCAGACAGAAUGUCACAAAUAAAUCCUCUCCUGCAUUUGCAUAUUAAUUGGAUCGGAGACGUCAAGCAUCUUUCAUUAAAGAAAAUGAUCUGCAUAUUUGGAGACAUAAAAUAGUUAUUUUGAUGGGUUUUUUUCCCUAAGAUCAGGGGGUGGGGGAGGUAGGUGAUGGGAGCGGCAGGAUGGAGGUAGAGUGAAGGCAGAGCCAGCCCUCUGUCUGGAGUUAACCCUCUGCAGACUGGGACCGAGGGGUGAGGCUGGGCAGAAGGAUAAUUAGUCCAUAAAUAAACCAAAGAGCCAAGGGUCCCAGGCCCAGCUUGACGGCUAUGCAGAAGGGACCCUCAGCAGAGUUUGAUGCAAGGAGGUGGGUGGGCUGUGGGCCCUCAACCUUGCCCUUGAACUCCUCCUCUGAGCGCCGUCCUGCCCUGGAGUACUUCCCUGGAGCAGUGGACAGGAGGCAGAGGGCGUGGCCAGGUGCCCACCUUGUACCUUGGAGUCCCCGGCUUGUCCUGUCCAGCUCCAUGUCCCCUUCACCUUGGCCCCUGAGUCAGCUCGUUCCCCCAGCCCCUGCUCUUCCUUUCUGGUAGUGCACGCAGCUGUGCCCACUUUCUCCCCACUCUCUGACCUUGGGCUUCCUGUGCCCUUCUCGUUCUCUGCCAAUCAUCCUCCCUCUCCUCUCCCCAGAUGGAAAGUUUUCUGGGGGCAGCAGAAGUGAAGCCUGGAGUCAUUAUCACAUGUACUCGAAAUAACCCAGAAAGCUGCAGGGCCCAUAUUAGGGCAUGAGUCCCCGUGGAAAGCUGAGCGAAUGUACAGUUUUUGAUAGGCAAAUGGGACUGCCCAAGUCAUCCCUGUUCACCCUCCUGCCUACACUCUAGGCCCUUGUCAGCUGUGUUAGCCAGUGUUCUGGGUGGGCGGCAGGGAUGGCUGAUGGCUGAUCUUGGAGACAUUUCUGAGCCCUCCCAGACAACAUCUAACUCGCUUUCCAGUCUGCCAUCCCCAGCCCCAAAGCCAUGCUCUCUGGCACCUUCUCCUGGUUAGGAAGUGUUUAGGUGACGAUGAUGAUGACAAUGAUGACUGCCACUACUUUUUGCACAUGGAAAAUGUGUAGACACUUUGCUAAGUGCUUUGCACUUGUCUCCCGGCAUCCUCGCUACAGCCCUCUGAGAUGGCCAUGGUCAUUGUGCACACCUCAGAGAUAAGGAAACUCAACCUCAGAGAGGUCAGGUAGCAUGCUCAUCCGUGCCCUUCAGAGUUCAGAACUUGCAGCCAGAACUGAGCUCCACAGGGCUCAGCUGGGGGGCCUCUGAUGGAGCAACGGAGAUCUGCAGUGGUCUGGCUCCUUGUUUGAUCCCAGUCCGGUGCAAAGACACUCUGACUGUGGUGCAGAGUGUAAGGCCUGUCUGCACUGCGGCCUCUUCACCCCACUGAGAAGACAAGAACUGCUUUCCCUUGGGGACUGCGAGUGACCUUGGAUGACUUCUGUGGAGCCUUUAACCCCAGAGGUGCCUGUUCCACACUUGGUCCUUGCAUGCAGCUUUGCUUAGAAUUAAGUGCCCGGAUCUUCUAUUCUCCUCUGAUCCUUCUCACUGUGCCGGGCUCCGGGGCUCAGGCCUGGGAUUCAGCAGUACCUGAAGGCGUGGCCAGCUCUCUGGUGGAGCUAUAUACCAGCUCACCUCUGUCCCAUGGCCUGGGUGGGCCUGGGUUUCCCUUGGUAGCCUGGGGUUGAUGCUGCCUCCCCAACACCCAGAUUCUAAAUGUGUGGUGUGUGCAGCCUUAGGUCAAAACCUUGAACUUCAGGAUCCUUUCCUUUGGCUCCCUUCUUCCUCUAGCCAGGGUUCAUGAGCAGGGCGUGGCUCCCAGGUCUAAAGGGAAGGUGUGAAGUGUGGCCAGAAGGUUUUGGAUGCAAACUGAGUCAGUGUGGGUCCUGCCUUGCUGUUUUUAUGACCCGUGUGCCUCGAGCAAGUCAUCUCCCUUCUCUGAGCCUCAGUUUCCUCCUGGCUCCGACGGCUUUGCCCCAGCUCGUUCCUGGACCACCCUCUGACCCUCAGUGACUUUAGCUACAUGUGCUUUUGGCAGGGCAGGAACAGUAGCAGGGAUCUGGUGGCCCUCAAGUUUUGGGUUCUUGGAGAAGGGGCUUGAGGUGGGGUGUUUUAUGGAGUCUGGGGAGUCCUGCGGCAGCUGUAUCUGUUAAAUGCCAAGAAGCCAAGUUGGUUUAAUAUGAUUGUAGCUGCUGCUUUGAUAAAUCAAAAUAAUUAAAAAUAAUAAAUUUGAUUCCUCAACCAACAGGCUGUGUGUGGGCGCAGGGCCUGGGUUGCGGAGCUAGGGAACUGGGAGGGGACACUGGAACACAGGAAGGCCUGCCUUUGUGGGAUCAUAAAUGGGGAGGUGGACAUGAGACUGGCCUAGAGGUCAGCUCUGCAGAUCGAUAGGCGGGGAGCGUCUUUCAUGAGAAGAGUGUUGUCCAGGUUGGGCCAGAACCCUCGUGGGACCUGCCCCUGCCAGUCUCAGUGUCCUCAUCUGUCAAGUGGGGCAGUAGUCCCACCUGCCUCACAGGGCUUUGCUGAGCACGUGGAGGGUGGGUCAGACCCUUGUGAGCCUGUGUCAGGCCUUGUGGCCCCCUCAGCUCAUCUUUGCACUGCUGGGUACUGUCACCGCCUGGGGCUCACUGCAUUGCUACCCACAGCUGCCCGGGACUCUUCCUCAGCUGCCGGCUGUUGUCCCAACACAGGAUUGUUCUGUUUAUGAGGACAUCCCCUGGUGCAGGACAUUUCUAUUGAUAGCUCCCUUCUGGUUCCAGAGUUGGGUCAGGAAGCAGCAUGCCACACCCUGGGACAGUCUCUGGUUCAGGGUGCCGGCAGCUCAGACCACGGUGGGUGGGAGCUGGAAGGGUCAGCCCCCUUCUCCCCUCCCUCCCACCCCAUCCACAUCCUCAGGAGCCCUGUUUGGUGUCUGAGCUGCUGGAAAUCUGAACUGAGUGGAGGGGGAGGGCCUGGGGGGAGGGAGGGACAGGGUGUCUGUCUCUUUAAAUGCACUUUGUGUCAGUGCGAUAAGGAAUUUGAUGGCUUUAUCAGAAAUACCAAAGCUUUAUUUAGCAGGGUGAGGCUCACACCACUCGGCUCCACGCAAUCUGCAGAUAAAUAGCAAAAAAGAAAAGGAGAACGGGCCCAGCGGCUCCCCCAGCUCCCCAACACCCCACCUCGGCAGAGAAGCAAGGACAGGCCAGGGGAAAGGCGGAGGCGCCAAGUUGGGAGUUUGGAGGAUCCCCGAGUCGCUGGCAGGGUGGGGUGCGCGCAGUGGGACCCACAGGGCUUUCUGAAAGUGCUGACAGGCCGGCUUCUGCCCCUGCUCCACUGGAGGCCUUCCUAGAUUUUUCUGUUAUCAGGCACAAACUCUAGGACAGUCCUAAUUCUUCCAGAGAGAGGGCUCGCGGGAGACACGCCUCUGGCCCGUCCCUCUACCUCCAGCCCAGCCAGGUCUCUCCAGGGCAGUCCUCAGGCCCAGCCGUGGGCGAGGAGGAAAGGCUGGAUGACCGGUCAAGGAACCGCCAGGGGGCUGCCCCUCUCUGCAGCUCUGAGAAGGGGGCCCUGGCUCCACACGAUGUGGCGGAGGAAGCUGGAGAGGGCAGGGCUAGGGGCCCAUGGGACUCUGUGCUCAGGGCCGUCUCAGCCCUGGUCACAUGGGGAUGCCAGAGAAGCUGUGGCAUGGCCCUGCCUACCUGUGGCAUUCCAGGACUUUCUGUGCUUUCUGCCAGUUGGGCAGCUCUGAAGGACCCCCCACCCCCAUCCUGGCCAGUCUAGAUUUCCCUCUUUUGGAAGGUCAGCAAACCAGCAAAAUGACAUCUUUAUUCCCUUCUUCCUCCUUGAGCCUCCUCUUUGUACCCUUGUGUUUGUCUUCCUGCCCCUCCUGGGGGCCCCUCCCCAGAGAUCCAGCUUCAUGGUCAACACAGGGCAGCGGUGGCUCAGGCAUGGCAGUUCUGAAGUCCUCCCAACUCUGCCCUCCUCCCUUUGCCCUCCACCCCCAAAAGCUUUUGAUGGGAGCAAAGCAGAAUUAAGCCUGGUCCCCAUCCAGGCCUCUGCGUGCCCUCCGGGGUUCUCCUCUUCUAACCCUGGAGACCCGAGCAGGCUUGGGCAUCUGUGCUCACAGGAGAGCCUCCCGGGUGGUAGCAGGUGGGUGCUGUGGGGCAUGGAGGAUCCUCUACUCCUUCCUCAGCUGGGUGCACAGAGAUGCUUCUCCAGGCCCCACUGGCCAGCCUUUGGGCUCCUCGCCCCUUCCUGCUGGCUCCACAGUCCAGCAGAGCCAAGGCCUGAGUCCUGUGCAGACCCGGUAUACCCCGGCUUCAGGGCUGCUUCUGCCUCUUGGUAGGCAGCAGAGUUGGUUGAGGAGAGGUCUCUGCCCAAAUAGGUGUCUCCAAAAGUGGCAGAAGGACCAAGGCCUUCCAGAGCCCACAAGCUGGUCCCUCAGACAGCAAGGAGGUUGGGCAAGGACAAAGGACACUUCGGGGGUGGUUACGGGGAGUCCAGCCUUGGGCUGGCUGAAGGCCAGGUGAGCAGACUUGGAGAGUAGCUCUGGACUGAGCAUCCUCUCCCUGGAGCAGAGAGGGAGCUGAGCCCAAGCUCCCCAAAGUAAGUUAACGGCAGGGAGCCCGAGAAAGCUGGGCCAGCAGGCUGAGGGCCAGCCAGGUCAGUCUCAUAGGGAUUCCUGGGCUUUGGGGAGUGGAGCAACAGGAUUAGCCUGGCUGCUUGGGGAGGGGAAGCACGGGGCGGAGAAACAGGGGAGCUGGGGGUGGGGGGGUGGGUGCUGGCCAGGGCAGGGCAGAGGCUGGAGGAAGCUGCAGAAAGGCCGAGGCCCAGAGACAGACAGGAGGAAUAAGUGGAAGUGACAGGGUCAGGCCAGACCUUUGUCCUGCAGCCUGAUUAGAGAGUCUGCCCUGGAUUUCUGAAACUUUGGGAUGUUGUCGGACAAACUGGAGCUUAAUUCUGUCAGAGCGCUGGGGAGAUUAGAAUUGACAUCCUGGGAGCACAUUCCUGGCUGGGCAGAAAUCCAGCCCCCGCUGGGAAAAACCUGUGAAAGCAUGGCUGGCCCGUGGUGGCGGCGGGGGUGCCCCUCAGCACCGGUGGCCACUGCGGCCUCGUGGGUUGGAGCCAGGAGCCUUUGGAAGCCUGGGCUGUGUCACUGGAAAUCACAGAGGCUGGGCACGGCCACUUCUGAAUCUAAUUCCUUUUCUGGGUCCUUUCCUAGCCGCCCUGCCUGGGGCAGAGAACUACAGUUGGUUGGACCUCCAUUUCCCCAUCUUUUAAAGGGGCAAGUUCUGCCUUCCAGACAGCUCACCUAACCCAGCCUUCCUUUCCUUUGAACUUGGAGGCCUAACUCUGGGCGGGUGAUGGGGACUCUUCCCCAUGCUCAGCUGUGGCAGAGCCAGAGCCUGCUGGGAGAAGUGAGCCUUCUCUUGCUCAUCUCCCUGGUGUGGGGUGGCAGGCAGUGCCCAUCAGCACCAUGUUCCAGCUGGUGCAGGUGGAAGGCCCCUGACAUUGAACACGGUGGGUCCUUUCCAUCGGCCUCUGGAAGCCCCUUGAGAUGGGCUUGUCCCUCUCUCAAGAACUCCAGGAAACCCCCACCCAGACUAAGCAAGCUGAGGCCAGCAACGCAGGCCACGCCGCAGGGGCCUCAGGCAGGAUGGCCACCCUCAGGACAAGAGAGGGGACUGGAGGACGGGAUUGCAGGCCAAGCACCGGAGCCCCAAACGGGGCUGUUUCCGGAAGAAUUGAGUACCCCUCCCCACUUCCCUCCUGAUUCUAAUGACUUUUAAAUAUUGGUAAAUAUUUUGGCUGGUGCAGGCUCUCGUGGCAGAGAGCUAAGCUAUCUACAGUUCAGGACCUACAAAUUAUUUAUUAAAGAUCUGAGAUGCGGCGCAAUUAUGUGGAAAGGGUCCAAAAAUUAAAUAAAUAAGUAACAAAAUAAAUAAAUAACAGCCCCACUGGCCUCUUGAAGGCUUGGGGAGCUGCACACAUGAUUGUCGGCUUGAUGAAAUCCCCCCGGAUGUAAUGAGCUGAUUUUCUGCUGUUAAUAUUGCAUCUGCUGAUGAAGGAUUCGUUAGGAUAAUGGAACGAAGCUAAAAUAUAAAUGACUCCCUGUCAAGAAGCAGCUUUUGUUUGUUGAUCUCCUGACAGUUCCCGGGCCAAGGCAGGGGUUUCUGUGUGCUCACGCAUUCGGGAGCAGGCAGGAGGGCGGGGUGAGGGCCUCCGGGACCCCUGAGCACCUGGCUCCCGGUUAUCCUGGGCUUUCCCUUUGAGGUGGGACUGCCCGACCUUUGGAAGCCCUGGAGCCCUGGGGGCGGGGAAGUCAUCCGUCAGACCCAUCGGGGCCUGUUGCACUAAGAUGCUGGGCGGCUGCACAAGUUGUCUGGGGAGCCAGGCAGAGGGAUGCACACACACACGAGAAGACACGUUGCCUGUGUGUUGCGGCACUUGAGACCUGCCGUCGCGGGUACCGGCCUGGGGCCAUCGGGAGACACCCAGCCUUUCCUGGUUUCUGUUCCUUCCACCAUCAAAGAGCACAUCUUGCCCAGGCCCAGGAACACCUGGGCAGUGGUUCAGUCAGUCAGUCAGUCAGGGCUGGUGGGAAAGGACCCAUUCAAAGUGAGGGUGUUCACCUUUGCGCCCUGCCUGUCUUAGCUCACCUUUCUGCUGAGCUGCCACAUGGGCCACCCACUGUCCUCUUCCUAACAGCAUUUGUUUUUUCCUUUUUAAAAAAAUUAUAUCAUUUUUUUGGACUGGGGACGUAGCUCAGCUGGAAGAGUGCUUGCUUCACCUUCACAAGGCCCUGGGUUCAAUCCCCAGCACCACAUACAUACAAACAAAAAAAGUGAUUUCUUUUUUAUUGUGAGAAAAUGCACAGGCCAUAACAUUUCCCUGUGUGACUAUUUUAAAGUAUACAAUUCAGUGUCAUUAAAUACAUUUCCUAGAGUUGCAUGUCACUGAUACCUAGUUCCAGAACUCUUUCAUCACCCCCAACAGAAAUGGCACCCAUCACACUCCACUCUCCCCUUGCCCCAGCCCCACAACCACUAACAUGCUCUCUGUCUCCAUGGAUUUUGUCUCUGUUAGGAUAUUUCAUAUGAAUGGAGUCAGUGUGUGGCCUUUCCUGUCGGAUCUUUCACUCAGCUUGUUUUCCAGGUGUGCCUAUGUUGUAGCAUGAGCCAGGACUCUGUUCCUUUUUAUGGCUGUGUGAUACUCCAUGGUGUGGAUAAACCACAUGUUGAUCCAUUUAUCAGUUCAUGGACACUUGGGUUGUAUCCACCUUUUGGCUAUUGCAAAUAGUGUUGCCAUGAAUAUUUGUGUCCGAGUUUUUUCUUGAGUCCCUGUUUUCCCUCCUUGGGGUCUAUAGCUAGGAGUGGAUGUGUUGGAUGUCUCCCAGCUUUUAAAGACAGGGACCCUGGCAGCUGAGAGCAGGUGCUUACCAUACCAGACAUUGUGCUGAGCACUUCUUCAGUGGGGUCCUCCCAGCAGCUGGCAGUAAGUUUCGAGGCAUUGUUCAGAUCAGCUGUCACCAGCUCUGUCUUGGAUCUCUCUUACUUUUUCUUCCCUGUGCCCAGCAUGGCGUGGUGCACACAAUAUGGGCUCAAUAAACACGUGAUGAUCUCACAGAACCCGGCUGGGGGAGAGCUGGGGUCAACUUGGGGAAGGGCUGGGAGCAGUUGCUGUCACUCUGGGCAUCUGUCUGGCCACUGUGCUUGCCGGUCCAGCAGAUAUUCAGCCCUGAGUGGGCUGAGACCGGCCAGAACGCUGCUGAGCCCCUCCCAGCAUAUGGGAAAAUCUUGCUGACUCCUUGGCCAGAACUGCUUCUCAUCUUGACCUUGAAGGCCCUUACAAAGGGAGCAUACCAGGCCACCAACUCAGACCCUUCUUCCUGGGAAGGAGACCAGUACUGUCCAGAGGCACCUCUGUUGAUCGAUAGGCCCCCUGGGGAAAUGGUGGCAGUAUUUUCUCCUCCAGAGGGGUCCCAGGAGGGGCCACUGGAGGGGCCAGAGGGCACCUCUUCUCCUAGAACCUUGAGCAUCUCCCAUCAGCCUCAGAGUCCCUGGCCAUGCAUGAGAAUCAUUUGAGACAGCGUCCAGUAGGACAUAUGAAGGCUUGAGUUGGGAAGGCCCAGGACAGACUGGGAGAGUGAGAGCGCCCAGGGCCAACCUGGCCAGCAAGGUUCCUAGCUGAAGGACAGAGGGGCCAAGCUGGGUGCCUCUCUGCUUUUUUAUUUUAUGACUAUUGUUAAAAAAAAAAAAAAAUUCUUGAAGGGCUAGGGAAGGGGCCCAGUGGUAGACUGGCGAGGUCCUGUGUGCAGUGGCCAAUACCACCAACAAACCUGGAGCCAGGGCUUAAAAGAACACGUUGGCAAACCCCUUUCCUGUUCCUGAAUCCCUAGGUCCUCCUUCUUGACCCUGUGCAGACUUUUCAGGGUUCUGGACAAAUGCCCGUCAAGACUGGGCUCUCUCCAGGUGCUGGACAGACACAGCCACCUGGGCCUCCCUGCCGGGAGGUCUUGGACACCCUGCCCUCUGCGGGGACGGGCAGCUCACUCUGACUGCCGUCCCAUCCAGACCCGGCACCUGCUGGACCACGCAGAGCCCGCGGCCCCUCAUUGUCCUGCUAACCACUGUGUAAAGGUUCUGGGCGUCCUGUGACCUCUCCGUCUUGCCUGGUCACGCUGUGGAUGGCCCACUGACACACAUCCCCGGGCGGGCGGGCACUGCGCGGGCUGGGGAGGGCCUGCCUGGCCCCUGCGUGGCCUUCUCUCCCCAGCCCUCCUCCCCUUCUCUCUUUCUAUCUUUCUUUCUUUCCCCCUCUAUUUCUGCCUCCCUCCCUCUCUUUCUCUCUCUCACUCUCUCUUUUUCCCCUCUUUUAACAUGGUUUUCCUAAAAAGUUUUUUAAUCAAUCAAAUUUGAGGCAGAAAAUAGGUUUUGUCACGCCUGGUCCCGGGAUAGUGUGACUCUCACCCAGACUCCUGACAGCUCCUCAAUGCAGGGAGGGGGCCAAACAGAAUAUUUCUCCGGGAAAGUGCCCGUUUCCAUGACGCUGCCCCUUGUUGUCUGUCUGCCCCCCUCCUCAAGCUGCCACUGACAUGGCCCCAGCCCCUGUGAAAGGGCCAGGCCUGGAGAGGGGGUGUGCGAGGACGGGAGGCCGAUGGGGGCAGGGGAAGGAGCCAGCACUGGGGGGAGCCGGGCAGCCCGACAGCUGUCCUGAGCCUCCAUGGCCCCAGAGGGUUGGGAGCAGGUAGGAGAAUGGGGACAGGGGCCUGGCCUGGGCUGCAUAAUCAGAGGAGCCUCAUACAUACGGAGCUGGGCAGCCGCGGGUGAGGCUCCGAGGCCGAGCCUGGCCAGGCAUUGGCUCCCGUUGACUGCGAGGGAUGAGCCUUCUCCAGGUCCUGGUACGCUGGCCCCUGCCCUGCCCCCCCUUCACUCUCCACCAUCCUUCCUGGACCCUGGACUCCAGCACCUCUGCCCCUCCUGGCCCGGCCCACCCGGGUGCCCCACCGAGCUCCCAGGCCCCUGCUCUUCCCUCUUCCUCCUCCCCAUCUCCGUCUUUCACCCUCUCCUCUCUACUCUUCUCACUCUCUUUUAUAAUUAAUGAUUAGUUUUAAUUGGUUUGCUUAGGCCGCCUGACAGCAAAUUAACAGAAGCCAGCCCAGGGCUGCCAGGCUCGGGUGGGAGACCACUGAGCUUCCGACCGGCCAGGGGAGGCAUGAGGCAGGCUGCCCCACGCUCUCCCCUCCUGGCCCGUGGGCUGGGCGAGCUCCGCAGAGGUCAGGCAGCAGCCAGCAAGAAGAAGGCAACAUACUUCGCGCGGGAGGGCUCUCUGGGCCACCGUCCCCGGCUUUGGUUUCUGUCCUCUUCACUGUCACACACUGGGGUCAGGCAGGAGGGGGGCAGGCUGCUGCCUCUGGUCUGGGGCAGGGUGCGCUUUUGAUUCCACCAUCCUCACCUGGACCAUGGGCCAAUAGGGCUGGUAGCUUGGCACCUCUGGAGCCAAGAUCUUUCCCAUGGACAGGAGGAAGGGGCCACAAGGUUGCUGUCACCAUGAGCUUUGUUAGCUGUCCUCAACCUUCUGGUCCUUGGUUGUCUGACUCGAGUAGUUAGGAUUAAACACUGGGUGGACAGACGGACAGGUGGAUGGAUGGAGGGGUGGGCCGCUGACAGUGUGGGUACGCUGGCAUUCCUUGGGCACUUUCUGCCAUGACCCUUGAGCACGUUCCUUCCCCUUUCUAGCCUAGAAGGGUCUUGCUUAUCCUGAGCCUCCCUGAGAGUAGGCUCCCCACUCUCUGGUUUUCCCAGCUGCUCUACCUCUUCCUGGGCCUGGCAGAAUCCCUCCUGACCACACCCACUUCCUGACUCUGCUAGUCCUUGGGUAUGCCACCUACUCAUAGGGGCCAGAACAGGCAUCAGGCACAGAGAAGGGCAGACAGGAGAAGAUACUUUGGCAAGGAGAGAGAAAUGGUGCUGGGAUGCAGCUCGUGGUAGAGCGCGUGCCUAGCAUGCUCAAGGCCCUGGGUUCCAUUCCAGGCCCUGCCAAAUAAAAGAAAAGAGAAUUGAACAUGUAGUACUGGGGACUCCUCACUGCCCCCUACCCCGCCCCCCGGGGACCUAGAAUCCACCAGUGUCCCAGAUCCACCCAGAGGCAGCCUCCCUGCUGUGAUCCACCAGGCCAACUGCUUGGGGCCAGUGCAUCCUGGUCCUGGAACGUGGCAUCUCUGCCCCUCCCCCCUUCCCCCAGCCCCAACCAACUCCUAGAAAGUUUCCUGCCGAUUGUUCUGUGCGAUCAGAUCUGCAAGUUGCUCUCUAAGCUUCUUGUCACAUUUUGACUUAAUGAAGUGCAACUGCUGAGGGAUUUGGGUUCAGCGCUCCGGUCUCCGCGCUCCCUUGUUGUCAGAAAACAGGGGUGGUUGGGGACGCCAACACAGCGCUGCAAGUCGUUAUCAUUCCGGUCAGUCUGUUUAACACAAAAUUAAACAAAGAACUAAUUAGUGCCUCAUGAAUUAAUAAAUGCACAGUUGCCGGGGAGGAUGGGAGGGGAGAAAAAGGUGGUAGAAGGGAGAUACUGGAGUUGUGGAGUUGGGGGGCUUUGGGGGUCCAAGGGAGGCUGGCCGGGACGCCUUGAGAGAGCACAGGCAGAAGAGCUUGGGAUGGACAGGACAGUGAUGACACCCCAGCCAGGGCCCAGACUGACUGGCCAGGACGUGAGCUCGGCCAGCAGAGCCCACCUGGUGCCUCCUGGUGGAGGCCUGAGGUCUCCGUGCCUGGUCCUGCGGCCUGCUGUGGGGUCCUUCCACUUGGCCCAGCUAGCCUCUCCUCUGUGACUCCUCCCUUUUCCUCGCUGGGCCUCUGCUGGCCUCCUCUGCUCCCCUUUUCUCUCUGCUGCCCCCUAUCUCAUUUGCCUGCCCAGCUCUCUGCAGACCCUCAGCUCUUACCAUCUGCAUCAGAUAGGUGGGUGUUAGAAGCCUGCAGGGCGGCCCUCCACAACCACUGCAUGCCCACCACACCCUUAGUCCUCCCAGAGGCUAUACUGGCAGGGUGGGUACCCCUCUGCCCCAGCCCAGCACAGGCAGCAAACACCAGCAGAGAGCCGAGCCCUCCUUAAGAGGGCAUGUCAGGUACAAUUAGCAUUAUCUGUCUAAAUAUGUCCUGGGAACGGGAGAACGGCUGGUGGGACUGGGUGGCAUUCCGGGAGCCCUGUGCAAGGUCACCUCAUCUCCCACAAUCCCCCCAAUCUGAUUUGGGGAUUACACGGCCUAAGGAAAUUGGUGUUAUUCCUCUUGCAUCAUUGAUAAGCCACAAAUGAGGGAGAGGAAAGAAAAAAUGUAGCUAAGAGCCCACUCUCCCGAGCGGGGUUGAUGCUGAGGCCAGAGCACAGGGCCGGCUCAGCAAGGGCAGGUGGGGCCAGGUGGGUGGGCAGAGGCCUCCUUGGGUUUUCCCUCCGUGCUGGGGGUCUCUCCUGAGUGAAGCUUCUCACACUCCUGCUGUUGGCUGGAGGGCCUGAGCCUGAAGGCCAAGCUGAGUCGUGUGUUGGUUAAAGACCCUCAACAUUGUUGGGCCAUUUCUCUCUCCUUACGUGGACGUAGUUGUGGGGACUUACUGGUGGACCCCAGGUUGGGAGGUGCUAUCCGCAGCCUGUUCCUGAGGAGUUGAGGCCUCUUGGUAUACCUGCCCUGGUCCACCCUUGCCCUUUGGACACCCACUUACUCUAGCAAAAGCUUGGCAUCUGUCACUUUUAUGUUCGGGGUGGGGGGGGCAGUGUAAAGGAGAAUGCUGUGUUCUGUCGUCUCCAGGCGUCCCUUCUCAGCCACUGCAGCUCCACAGGACUGGUAGUCCCCAUAACCGGAGCCCCCCAUAACCAGAGCCCCCCAUGCCUGAUUCCCAUCUCUGCCUCUGUGAACAAGAGUGGGAAUCAUGGUCUGACUUUCCUCCCCUUGGUUAGGGCUGUCCUGAGAUCUGUAUUUCCCUGGUGAUCGGCCCUGCUGUUUUCUGAAGUUUCAGACUUUGGUUGGUAUGUGCUUAAGUGGGUCAAAAUCAGAGUCUACUCAGCAUGUCUAAAUGGCUGACCCCUGCAGCUGGCCUCAGAGCAUCAGCCCCUCAACCCACAAAGUGGCAGGGAACCCUGGGGGUACACAGAGUCUUGGAGGGCCUGCCCUGGGGAGUUGUGGAGUUCCUGACUGAAAAGGCUAAGGGGAACAUGGCAUGGUGUGUAAUCCCAGAGUCUUGGGUAUCUGAGACAGGAGGAUUGCAAGUUCAAGACCAGCCUCAGCAGCUUUGAAAGGUCCUCAGCAACUUUGAGAGACCCUGUCUCCAGAUAGAAAAGGCAGGGGAGAGGGGGAUGGGAAUGUGGCUCAUUGUCAAAGUGCCCCUGGGUUCAGUCCCCAGAACCAAAAAAAAGAAAAAAAGACUAACAGGCUCCUCUCUCUUCCUCCCCAGGAUGAAGUGACACCCCAGCAGCAUCUGAGGCACCUCUAGGACCCAUUAGGAGGUAAGGCGUGCACCUUCUCCAUGAUCCUGUGUCUUCUCUCCUGCUGGUGACCACUCGCAUGCAUGACACAUGUGUCAUCCUGAGUACCCAGGAGAAGUGGGAAAGGUGGGGGGGACAGGAAAUGGGAGCCAUGCUGCCCAUUGGAGCCUGGCAAGAAAAGAUGAGCCCCAGCAGAGCUUCUCUGAUUGGCUCUUUGGCUGGAAAUGGGCGGGGGACUCAUGCAUUGCAGACAGGGGCAAGGACUGUGCUCCAGGCAGCAUGGGACAGUGGGACUCUGGGGCCCGGGCUUGGGCUGCCGGCGGUACGUACCGUGCACCGCUCUGGCCGCCACUGCUGGCUCUCCCUGGAAGCUCUGCUGUGGCCCUGCCAGACAACCCUGUGGGCUUGAAGCCCUGGAACUCCCCCUCUGCCUGUCCCCUCCAAGGCUGGCCACCCAAUUGGCCUCCUCCUUCCUCCCAGACCACAGCACCCUGCCUUUCCACAGCCGAGGACUCCCCCUGGGCUGGGCACCUGGGGCUGCCCUGGUCUACCCAACCUUCACAGGCUGUCACAGUCCCCCGGUGGCUCGAGGAACCACAGGGCCACCGGGCCUCGGGCCCCAGGCAGUGCCGUGUCAGAGGUGACCGGUGGAACGCCAGUGUUAUGUAAAUAGCGGGGCCUGCCUGGCGGGCGAGCUGGCUGGCUGCAGCCAUCCAUCAUCUCCUCUUGGCAGGGCGGGGGGACAGACACGGCACCGUGCGCUUGGCUCCAAACCUGUUUGUUUUCCCUUUGUCUCUUGCAUUUCGGGGGCCCGGCUGCGACCGGCUCCGGGUUUUGUCCUGCUGACCCCCUCCCCUCGGGAGGACGGGGGAGGGAGGAGAGUCCCCAGGCUCCCACUGCGGCAUCCCUUUCGUACUUCAAAGGCUACCCCAGCAUUGUCUGCGCCGGCGGGCAGUGGCCCUGAAAACGUGAUCAGAGGCGGCCCGGUGUAGGGCAGGCCCGGCCCGCGCCCUGCGCUCUCGCUGGGGCCUGUGGAUUCCUCCCUUUGCCGCCAGCACCACCCUGGUUACAGCCUGCUCCCGGGUCCUCUCUGGCCUUUCUCUCCCUGCACCCCUUCUCACCCCCUUCUGGCUGCUCCUUCCUGUUCUCUCAGCCUCAGCCUCCUCUCAGGCCUUUGAGAAUCUCCACCCCUUCCUAUCAUCCCUGAGAAUCUCUAGCACAGAGAAUCGCUUCCCAGGAUGCUGGGAGCUGGAAGUUGGCUUCCUGUGCUAGGACUUGUUCUUCCCCUUCUCCUCUCCACUUCUACUCCUUUGAAAGUCCAGGUUGAACUUUGGAGCAGGCAUGCAAGUCCUGAAAGUUGGUCCCAUGAGCCUCCAUUUUCUGAAGCAGGCCUGGGCUAACUCUGGCCCCUGAGCCACGUUUGGCCCACAGUCUGUUUUUAUAAAUAAAGUUUUAUUGGAAACAGCCAUGCCCAUUCAUUUGCAUACUGCCUAUGUCUACUUUCACUCUAGAGGGGCAGAGUUGAGUGGUUACAACAAACUGUUUGGCCUACAAAGCAUAAAAUAUUUCACAUCUAGCCCUUGACAGAAAAGAUUCUGGCCUCAGCCCUGGAGGUUCUGGCUGCCGCUCUCUGUCUCUCUGUGUGUGUCUCUCUCCCUGGUAAAAUAUAUGUAACGUGAAAUCUGCCGUCGUGACGAUGUUAAGUGUACCAUUUCCUGGCAGUACAUGCAUUCACAGUGCUGUGCGCCAUCAUCAUGAGCUCAGUGAGAUUGCUCUGAGGGGCGUGGGCGUUUGUCUGGGAGCCCUAUGCUGGGGGUUGCAAGCUGUUUGCUGUCCUGGUUUCUUGGGGAGCCCCCAUCUCUUCUCUCCUUAGGGCUUCACCCUCUGCUCAGUCUUCCUGCCUAUAAGUCCCAGCCCUUCUCUCCUCAUCUGAGUUCCCUCCCAGCUCCGACUUCCAGUACCCAAGUAGCCUUUAACCUCACACCCAGUUUCCUCUUCUGCAUGGUGAGAAGAGCAUCUACUUUGCAGGGUUGUUGGGACAAGUGAGUGAGUUAUGGCUAAAAGCGGCCAGCCCAGGACCCAAUAGGUAGCAGAAGUACAUGGUUCCUCCUCCCUCCCAGAGUCUGUGUCUCCACAGUGGGCCCACAGUGGGCUCCUUGGCCUGGGUCCUUGACAGGCCUCUGGGCAAGUUCCACGGAGCUGCCCCUGCUCUGGGCACCUCUGAGUUUGAUCCCUUGAGAAGGCAUGGCUUCUGAUUCCAAUGAACCUGUGGAAGAGGAACACCCCCUGGGCAGUGUACUGCAGAUGGCCUUGUAGAUGACCUCUCUGAGUGCCAGCAUCUCGGUCUGUAAAACAGAGUCCUGACCACCAUGCUCUGCUCUUCGGACUGUGGCUAAGAAGAACCGGGUGUUUGGGGACUAGCCCUGAAGGCUGUGGCAGGUAUUGCCAGCAGGGAAACAGGCCAAGAAAGAGUCUGGGUCUGAGCUUGGUCCCAUGGGGGUCAGGCCACUGUGCUAGCUGAGAAGUCCCUGGAACUUACUUGGUGGGCAGUUAGCUGUUCUGUCCAGGGUCAUGGCCAAGGCUGUCCUGGUCCAGCACCAUGACUGUGGGCUAACCUGGGGGCCAGGCUCCAAUCCCUAGAGGAAAGGCUGGCGGAACGGGGGAGAAUGAAGUUUUACAUGUCCAGCUCCUGGGGCUGGAGCUGAGGUGCUCACUGGCUACCCUCUCCUGCUGGUUCUCCGCAGCCUCUUUUCCUGGCCUCUGUGUGGGCGCCGGCUUGGGUGCCUCUCUCCUCUCCUCCAGUCCUUCUCUGUACCCCGGGAGUUGUUCUCCCUCCCUGCCUUGCCGCCACCCCCCGCGACUCCGGCUCCCUCUCCUCUCCUCUCCUCUCCGCUCUCUCCUUUUCAUCUACUCGGAAGGCUUUACUUUACUUCCUUGUCACCCUAAUUGAUUGCAUUAACCUUUCAGCGUAUUGGAUUUCCCCGGCAUCGUGCAGAGAAGCCCUGUGCAAUAUGCUUAUAAUCUGAGCCAUAAUGGACAGUUUGCAGUCAACAAGCCCCUUCUCCCAUCGGCCCCGUUGACAUCUCUCUUGCCCAGGCCACCCUGGCCACUUCCCUGGCUGGCAGGGGUGGGGCAGUGGAAUGGGGCCGGGAGGAAGUGAACACACCCUCGGGCCCACCAGUGCGUUUCCCUGCUUCUCUUUUUCCAAGCUCCUUGGCCUGGGUCCUUGACAGGCCUCUGGUCUUUAAGAGUCCCCUUGGCUUGGCUUUCUGCUCCUGGGACUCUCUGCCUGCUGAGUGGCUGGUGGGGCCAGCGUGGAGUUGGUGAAGGCGAGGGUCCCCUGUUCCCCAGAGCAAACUGUCCCUCUGUCACUUGCCUGGGAGGCUUUGGAGAAGAAUGAUGGGGAUGACUGCAGGAGGCAGGGGGUGGCUGAGAGAUGAGAUCUUUGGCCUUGACAGGACCCUGAGUCAAUGGCAGGCCUCUGUGGGCCUCUGGCAGCUGGACCACUGCUGCAAAGGGUGUGGGGGCACAGGGGAGACAGAAGAAGGGGAUCUGUCGGAGCCGAGGGAAGAGAGAGGACCACUGCCAGGGCUGGCCGCCCCUGAGCCAGGCGGCAGCAGCUUUUCCCAGCAGCGAGGACCUAACACGUGACGCCUCAGCAGCCCUGUCUCCAGCACCAAUGUCAUGCUGUGCGACUGGGUAGUCAGUGAGACAUCUCAGGGUCUCGAUGUCCCACCAGAUGUUUAGCAGUAGCUUUGAGCAGAUCCAUCUGCCUUCAUCAGAGGAAGAGGGAUGGCGCAGCAACAGGCAGUGCACCAGCAGAGCCCUGUGUGGAGCAGUCCCACCUGGCCUGACUUGGCUCCCUCAGCUGGGCUCCUGGAUGGUACCUGCUAGCCCAGCAGUAACAGAGCAGCCUGCCCCAUGCCCACUGCCUGUCCUGGAGCUCAGCCCCAGGCCUGAGUCCCAACCCCAUCCAUCCUGGUCAGACCCUCUGUCCAGCAGCCUGGUCAGCCGAGUCGUCACUCAGGACAGGAUGGGAUGUCAGGUUGAAUACAUUAGUGUCAGGCUGGAGGAGCAGGCGGAAGCUCCCAUUAGCCCUGGUGGUACUUCCUCUCUCCCACACUGUUCUCUCCCGGCCCUUUGCCCAUCAUCUUCUCCUUCCGACCAUCCCUGCCUCCUCCCAUCACUCCAUCACUCUGAAGGGCAAGCUUUGGCAAGAGAGAGCUGGACCUCGGUCCUUCCCAUCCUCUCCCAAGGAUUUCGGGGGUAGGCAGAGGGCACAGCAGGGAGAAGCCAGGCUGCGAAUUAAAGUUUGUGAUUGUCAGUGUCAGGAGAAGCUAAAUAACCCUGUAACUAGUAUGAAGGUGAAUUCACGGUCUGCUGCACAUGGAGAAUACGAGUGUCUGCCAGACGGGCGAGUGCGCAGCCCGGGAGUCCGCCUGCCUUGGUGGGUAGCCUCCUCUCCAGGGACCCAGCGAGAGGCAGGAGGAGAGCCAUGAACUCUCCCGCCCCUGCCAGGGAGCAGCUGCCGGGGAGCCCCCACCAGGCACCCGGGGGCAGCUCAGUGGCUUGACAGCCUGCAGGCCCUGGCAGCAGCGACCUAGGGGGACGUUUGUAAGCACCAGCAGUAUACAAUCACCAACACCAUCCUCUACUGGCAAUUGCUGUGUGCUGUGUGCCCACAACUCCCAAGCAGACAGUGCUGUUGUGACUCCUGCCUUUUCUCCCCACUUUUUUAUAAGUGCUUUAUUGAAAUAUAAUUCACAUACCAUAAAAUUCACCCUUUUAAAAUGUACAAUUCAGUGGUUUUUAGUAUAUUCAUGAGGUUGGGCAUCCAUCACCACUAUCUAAUUUUAGAACAUUUUCAUCCCCCUGAAAGAAACCCCAAACUCAUCAGCUGUCACUCUCCAUCCACCCCUCCCCACAGGCCCGGGGAACCACUAGUCAUUAUUCCCUUCAGAUGCUGAGGAAAUGAAGGCUCAGAGAAGGCCAGUGACUUAGUGAAGGUUGCACAGUCAGCAUAUGAUAGAGCUGGGAGACUCCAGAGCCAGUGCUCCAGGAGGGACCAUUCCACGUCCUGGCUACCCCCACCCACACACACACACAUACACACACAUGCCCUGCCACGUGUUUCUGACAGUUUGGACUCAAACAUGUACAUGCACCAUCCAAACAUGUAGGCCCAGACAGAGACACACAUCUCUCUUCUCCCCAGAUAACUUGCGACUCCAUGCAGAAGAGCUUCACACACGUCCCCGUAAGGACGGCUGUUGUCCCUCCCCUGGAUGCUCUCCAGCUGCCCUUGCCCAGCCACACUCCUGCAAGGGAGGCUGAGCACAGAGACCAGCAGCAAUCGAGGAGCUGAGUGGCCAGAAAGACCCAGGUGGUUUUGAAGUUUUAAAAUGAGAAAUCCCCAUGGAUAAUUGUAGCUGAAAUAAAAGUGACAAAGCAACCUUCCCAAACAGGUCCCUGCCUUGGCUCGUGCCAUCGGUGAUGCUGUGCCCAGGGGGCAACCCCAGCCCUCUUCCCUGCCUCCCACCCUCUGCUUCCCUGUCUCUCCCACUCGCCUCCCUUCUGUUCUGUGUGCCUUACGCGUUUCCUUCCUGCCUGCCUCUCUCUUCUCUCACCUCACUUUCCCACCCAAAACUAAAAAGACAAAACAACAACAACAAAAAACACAAAAUUUCUGUGGCCAGGCUCUUGCAUUUACAAAAUUUGGGAAUUAAUGUGAAACCCUCACGGUUUCAGAUAAGAGAUAAACAGGAGGCCCAGAGACAAAGGGAAAAGUAGGCACGAGAGAGAGUCUGUUGCAUUUGGUUUGGGGUGUUUUUUCCUCCUUCUUCUCUCUCCCUCCAAAGCGGAGGAUCCGGCCGGGCCAGUUUGGAUAUUUAUUAAGAAAAAGCCAAAGAUAAUUAACUUUUUUGUUUUUGUUUUGUUUGCGGUGCCUCCCCUGCUGGCACUGCUGACUGCCUGGCAAAUCAAGCCUGCUCCCUGCUCCUGGGUGCUGGGCUGCCGGCAGGUCUGCCACUGACUGCCCUGAGCCUGCUGGGGCCAUUGGCUGCCCACUCAGCCACCUACCUUGGGUUUUAGACCCCAGGUCCCUUUAUGCCACCACCGUUGCCACGCCCCCAGGCUCUCCUGACUAGAAGAGCACCCUUUAGAGGUGGGUAAGUGGUAUGUGGGGGAGGGGCUACUGCUUGGGGUUGUGUCCAGUACUUCCCUUAAAGGGGGGUGGUCAGACUGAGCCUGUCCCAUGGGGAAAGGGCAUGCCCUCUGGCCAGUUCAAGUCUACUGACUUCCCAGGAGAGGGUCAGGAGAAUAGAAUGAGUUAGAAGUGCAGGGAGUGGCCAGAUUUGGGCCAAGUUGAUCCCACCCUUGUACCAGGAGGCUGGUACUCUCCCAGGAUCAGUGGCCCCUCGGGAAUGCCCAGGAGAAGACUCUGGCCCACAGAAUCACCCUGUGGUGUCUGUCCUCCUUCAGAACCAGGCUUUGUCCUGUUUCCAUUUCCCACACGGCCUAGGCUGCCAGGGGGCAUGGCACAGUGGCCAGAGAGCAGGGGCUCGGGUGAGAAGCCAGCUGCCUCUGAUCAGCUGUCCUGGAACCACGUAGAUCCCUGGUGUCAAGCUGUGGCCUGAGCCCAAGCCCAGCUUCUGGCCAAAAAGAUGCCACUGAGAGUUAGAGACCUCUUGAAGGGGGACAGAGCUGAGAUCUCAGGAGCCAGAACAGCCAGAGUGAGGAAGGCCACCACCGUGUUGUGCUGAGCUGCCUGGGACUGGGGGUGUGAUUCGCCCCAGCAGGGCCCUCCCCAGCCAGGCAAAGGGCAGCCAUUGUGAGGUCCUCUAGGUGAGGAUACUGCUUUGGAGCUGGACACAGAGAGGAGGACAUUUUUCAAGGAUUUUUCUGGCCCCCUUUUUUUUUUCUCUGAAAUAUAAGGAUGUGCAAUUUUUUUGGUUUCAAUUUAGCAUUGGAGAAUUUUAUAAUUUAGUAAUUAAAAUCUCUGAUAGGCUUUAGAAAUUGCGGCUAAUUGAAUUUAAUGGGAAGAUGAUUUUCAAUUUUAUUUGAUUACCGGGACCCCUGGCAUCGGUAUUUAUGGGAAAAAAAUGGGAAAUGUGCUGUGUGGGCUAAGAUGGCAUAAUUGAAUUAGGGAUAAUCGGAUUUCUCCGUCAUGAAUUUCACUAUAAUUUUCCUAUAAUUUUCCAUUAGAUAUCUAGUUUACAAAUAUUCACAAAGAAAUGAAGCUCUUUCGGAAUGGAGAUUGCUGGCUAACAGGAUUACAGGGCCGAGCGUGCGGCUAUGCCAGCCCCUACCCUACCAUAAUGCGAUCCCUGUGUCUGCCUUACGCUUAGCGUGGCCUCGGCCCUUCGCUCUGCCACCCACUCUGUGGCUCUUUCCUCCCCUUUGUUUCCUUUUCAUCCACAUUUGCCCCCCCCCCGCCUGACACCCACCUGUCCGUGCCCAGGCAUGGGCUCUGCUGGCUGAUGAGCCCGGGCCGUGGCCCAAGCCGUGGCACCUCUGUCCCCCCAGCUCCCCACACUUCCCAUCCACAUUCUGCUGGCUCCCCACUCUCCCAACACCCUCCCUCUAUGAGCCUGGGGAGUGCGCUCACACGCAAACACACAGACUCCCUCGCAGGUGCGAACAUGCUGGUUCACAUGCACACGCGGUCCUUUGGCCGGGGCUUUUGUGCCCUGGCCCAGUCACCUCAGAGGGAACCAGUUUAUUGGGAUCCUAGGGUGGGGUGCAGGAACAAAAGGAGCUUUGUUCAAGUUUAUGUGAAAGUUACAAAUUCAAAAUGAGAGCAGAUAAAGCAUGAGAUACCUGGUGUGUAAACAGGUCGGUGAGUGAGAAGGCCCCAGGCUCGGGAGGGAGAGAACGAGUGGGCACACUGGGGGUGCGGGAGGACAGGAGCCAGCUGGGCAGCUUGUCUGGGGAGAGCAGGUGGCUUUCCUGGGUCCUGGCAGAGCCGCUGGGUGGGAGGACUGCUGUAAAGGUUUCCACUUCACUUUUUCUCUUAGGGUGGGGUAUCUGGAGGAAGAGCUGGAGGUUUGGGGCCCAGGUUCUGGGACCAGAAAGAACUGAGGCAUUAGGUGUUGACUCCAGGCAUGAAUGUCCUUACUGUGGCCUGGUCUCAGGGUCUCAGAGGUGUAACCAUGUCAGGGUCAUCAAGGCAGAAGCAGGCCAUAGUCUCAAGAGAUGCCUCUCCCCUUGCUUUGAGCACACACACCCAGAGACAGACAGAGGGAGAAAUCUGGGGACCUCUUCAUCACGGCCUCUGACCCGUGCACAGCCUCUGACCCGUGCAUGCAGUGCCCCCACUUCUUCUCCGACCUCAGAUGCUAAAACGCCAAGGUGGCCUCAGUUUCUUGCUUCUCUGAUCUGUUCUCUUCUACCAAAGGCCCUUGCUUUUGGGAAUGGCCCUCUCCGCCUGCGGUGACUGACUAGGGCCAUUGUCUCAGCAGAUCAGACGCUCUCCAGCGGCCCAGGUCUCCCCCCACCAUAGGCGGCACAUGGCAGCCCCUCUAUCUGGCCCUGCCUGCGCCACCUCCUCCCAGCCCUCGUAGUUUGCCCUAUGAGCCAUUCCCUGCCAGUCUUAGCCCACCAGAGGACACAAAGUUACGUGAUGGCCAACCCAGUAGGCACUGCCUUGGUAACUGGAAAGAGAGAUACUUUCCUAUCCACCCAGGCACUCCUCAGGGGUCACUCCUGACCAUCGGCCAAAGCCCAGAAGGACAUUCAAAGCCAGCCAAAGGCACACAGGUCCCCUAUGCAAGGAGCUCCUGGUCUGAGCAGACAUCUUCAAAUGACCUUCCACUGUCACCAGACUUUCCCUAUACUCAGUUGCCCACCCUAGGACUGGGAUCAAUGGCCUAUUGUUAUAAGCCAAACCUGCAAGAGGGCAGAAUCCUUGCUUUGGGGUGCCCUAGGUGGCAGCACCCAGAGGUAGGUGUGUGCCCCAGAGCAUUCCUGGACACAAGGAUGCCUUCUCUGAAACCCCCAUGGGGAGCAGAGCACGUGGUCCUCCCUCACUGGUUUCUCUGGGCCUCCAGUUGAUUCUCAGGCCUGGCUUUGCGUAGCACGGGGCUUGAUUGGGUUUAGGAGUUCUGUCCCCUACUCAGGGUUUUAGGUCCAGGGGACUCUCAGUAAAGACUUUGAGCCUCUCCAGAUACUAUCUGCAUAUAGUGUUGGGGAUAGGGGGAGGUUUGUGUGACAGCUAGAAAUGGGGUUUGCCAAAGAAGUCAUCAGAGAGGGCUGUGGAAUAAAUUCAAGAUGAUACACUCUUGUGAGGCCAUUUAGAACCAAAGAAUAAUUAGGAAAAAAGAAGAAAAAUAAGGGGAAAGUAGGAGAAAGAGUAGAUUGACAUCUUUGCCCCAAGGCCUCCUCUUUGCAAAAUAUAAAUAUUGCAGAAAUAUGCCAGCGCCAUUUUGCUGAAUGCCACCUGAGAUCAGAGAGAGAGAGAGAGUGAGAAGGGCCUGUUUCCCUCCCUUCACGGAAAGGGAGUGUGGCCCCUCUGGAAAAUAGGAAAGAAGGGAAGUAGGGAGAGAGAAGGCCUGGCUUGCAAGAGGCAGAGAGCUGCGGACAGUGGGAGCAGGUCCUGAAUUAACAAAAUUGCCCUCCUGGCCCCAUAGGUAACUUGGCUUAUUAACAUACAUGGCUGCAGCAGGGACCUGGGGAGGGGGAUGGGGGGGGUGCUGAGACACUCACCAAACUCUAUGGGAGAAAAAGGAGAGUAAGGAUAGAAGUUAGUGCCCAGUUCCGCCAGAAAUGAAGUCUGGAAUGAAGUCCAGUGUCAAAGUGGUCCUGACUCCCAGGGCACAGAGGAAACAGGUGGCAGGACCCUGGCACUUUGGUUGAGGGGUGCCUGUGCUCUGUCUGGGAAUGCAAGGGGGACGCGUUGGGGAACCAGCCCAAGUGAUGGCAGAUGAGUGGAGGCGCGACCCGAGAAAAGACUGCCCGAGGGCUGGCCCAGGGGAAGUCAGGGGGCACCAGACCCAUUCGCGUCGGGCCUUGGGGCUGUGGCCCAACUGGAGGUAGGAGGAAGAAAAAGAAAGGCCCGGAGACCAGGGACCUGCGUCGCAGGGAGGGCGCCGGGACCCAUUUCAAGGGCAAAAGCAAAGCGAAGCGGCGGAAACCCCAGUGUGUCCCGGGAGCGCGGGUGCGGGGGGCCCGCGAGGCCGACGCGCGAGUUUCCCGACACUCACAGCCCCACCGCCCGGGACUCCUUUUUCCCUCGAACUCAAAGAACCACAACAAAAUGAGGGAAUCGGGGUACCAAAUGUCUUUGAUACCUCAGAAGCCCGGGGCCACCGGGCAGCGCCAAGGGGAGCGCGAAAGCGCGCGUCCCGGCGGGCGCGGUCCCGCGGCGCCUCGCACCUGCGCCCGCCCGCGCGGAAAAGUUUGCGCGGUGGCGCGAGGGGCGGGCGCGCGCGCGGGCGCGGCGGCCGUCGGAUCGCGUUCGCGGGGCCGGAGCGGCGGAGGGGAGCGUUCGUGCGCGCGCGCCGUGCCAGCGCCUCGCUCCGGCCGCGCGACAGCCCCCCCCCAACACCUCCCCCGCCCGCGCUUCACCAAGCGCAGAGUCCCCGCCUCCCUCCUCCCGAAGUCAAAGGUUUGGGGAAUCACUGAGCCAGUAAGGCCGCCCGCCCGCCCGCCAGAGUCGGUGCGCGAGAGGCGCGCACGGGGGCGAGCGCGCGGCGCGGGCGAGCGCGAGCCCAUUCACUUCAGCACCUCCGCGAGGCGGGCGGGCGGGCGGAGCGCUGAUCUUUCACCUGCCGGAGCCGCGCGGGCCCGGCGAGGAGGCGGCGCCGCGGCCGCCCUGCCAAUCACCUCGGCGCCUGGCAGCGCCCGGCCGCUCCCGCCCGCGCGCUCCCUCCUGCCAAACUGUUACCCUGAGUGUUACCGUCAGGAGCAAUGACAUCAGGGUUUUAAAACAACUUGUUAUUCGGGGAGUAAUCAGUUGCAAUUAGGCAUUAAUUAAGUAUUAUGAAAGUUGAUUAUUUAAGUGAAUUCGGCUUUCGACUCUCCGACUAUGGUGAGUACCGGGAGCGGGCCGGGGGAGGGCCGGGCCGGGCGCUCGGCGGCGACCCCCGCGGGGCGGCGGGCCUGGUCGGGGCGCAGUGGGCGCCCCUGGGCCUCGCGGGCCUCCCCCGCCAGGCCGCGUCCGCCGGCGGCUCCGCUCGAGUUGGUGAACUCGGAGCUGCCGGGCGCGCGCGGCCGGAGCGUGAGAGCGAGCGGGACGGGCUCGGAGGAAAGUUUGGCCGCUCGGCCCGCGGGCCCGGCCCGCGCCCCCGGCCCGGGAUGCGCCGCGCCAGCCGGGAGGGAGCGCGGCGGGCGGGCGGGGGCCGCGCAGGCACUAACCGAGUCUUCUCUCUCCCCUCUGCUGCCCGCGACGUUCCUCGCAGAGUUUGGGACCAAGGAGCGGAGAAUGGAUCUUGGAACAGGUACCGGCCGGUGGGAGCCCACGGGAGGCUCUUUCGCUUUUCUUUCGGUUCUUUUACGGAAGUUAUUAUUUUUAGCCCAAUCAGCUAGCAGCUGGGCCCGGGUGCGGGCCGGCGCCGAGGGUCCGGGCCGCCGCCCCUGCGCCCUGCUUUCUGGAGGGCCAUAGUGUUGUCAUUAUUUGUUACUUGCCUAGUGACUGUGACUAAUUUGAUGCUUGUCAUUAUGAAAGAACCGAGAGGACGGGGAGCUGGGGGGCACCCAGAAAGAGGAUUUAGGGGUUUUUUGUGGGGGUUUUUGAUCUCCGUGUUUUUUUUUCCCCUUUCUUUUUGGUAUGCCUCCGUAUUUUUGUUUUGUUUUGUUUUGUUUUCCUGUGUGUGUUAAAAGUAGUUUACUCCCCUCCGCAAAGAUCUCUGUGUGUCUGGCAAUGGGGUGUGUGUUUUUAUUUUUUUAGUGGGGGGUGGUUGAGUUUUUGAAAGCAGCGUCCUGUUGGGAAAGGUGGUUAGUCUGGUUUCGGGGCGACUGUCUCAAGGUAAAGGAAUUUAAUUUAUUUGGGACAAGGCUGUGUCGGAUGAUCAAGCUGCUUAUUAUGGCUAAUGAGUGUUUUUCACCUGAGAAUCUGUGGGCUGAGGCGGCUGUUAUCAGUUCAAAGUGAGGGGCCCAGGACUCUCCCAGCCCCCUUUUAGCUGGCACCCUGAAGUGGGUGAUGACCAAGCACCAGACUUAGGCCCCUGGGUCUGGAACUUGGGUUUGGCUCCAGGUAGUGAACCACUGACCUAGGCAGAGUUUGUCUUGAGAAUUCAGUGUCUUAGUGGUUGUGAUCUAAUAGUUCUUGUCCCUUGUGGGAUUCCUACCUGAGUGGGUGAGGGCUGCCCUAAUCCCCUCAGGCUUCCUUCGGACCUUCACAUCCUAGGGGGUCAAAUGCAACUCUCUUCCUCCAAAGUGUCUUAAAAGAAACAAACAGGCUGAUAACCCACUGAGCCUUUCUGUUUCAUUUAUGGAAGGAAAGGUGGUAUCAGAGUUAGUGUCAGACUUUUUGUUUGUGAUAGGCCCAAGUCCAUGACAUGGUCACUUGGCACCCAAGAGCUGACAUUCAAACGAACUCUGAGGUCAACUGGAAUAGAUAGCACUGGUGGAAGGGAUCAGGGCAGGUGACAUGGUGGUGGGCUUUGGAGCUGUGUGAGGUGGGUGGAGGGCCCUUCACAGAAUAUCUAGACUGUGUCCCAACAGGUGUGAUCUUGGCUAAUGGGCUGUGGAGGUCCUCAGGACUUCUGUGCCCAGGAAGGGUGUGAUGCCCCCUGCUGGGAAAAAUUGUGAAGGUGUCUGAGGCCAGCUGCCACCCUGCCCCUCCCUGCCUUCCACGCCCACAGAGAACCUGCUCACUCCUACCUCUAAUCAGGUGUCUCAUCACCUCCCUCUCAGGCCCCACCCCCUUCUUCGCAAAUGGGACCCCCAGCCAUCCAAGCCAAAGGGGCAGACUUCAGAGUUGGGCCAGGUGUUUCUGCAGUGGCCCCUACCUGGCCCAGGUGAGCCUCUGCAGUGGGUGGGCAUUACUCAAUUGGGAGACAGGUUCUCCUGUCUUCCUCCUUCUAACUUGGGUGCCAAGUGGAGCUGGCGCUAGUCCUCCUACCAUGCCAGUCCCACCAAGGCUGCUGUGGGGGCACCACUCCACAGAACUUAUGUGGGUGUCCUGAUGGCCUGGCAGGAGACAAGUGACAGAGCCUCCUGGGGCACCUCCCAGAGCCCUGGGGAGACUUACUUCUCCCAGCAAUCCAGGGACAGGCUCUGGAAACUUUUCCUAGAAGCCAGAGUGCCCUGGAGGUCAGCUAGAGCAGGGCACUCCCAAUGGGACCCAGGCUGGACUCUGGCCAUGCAGAGUCCAGGGUGUCAAAGUUCUGGCUGUUUCCUGGAGGAGUCAUCUGACGAUAUCAUCUCAGCCUCUUCUCUGAACUUGGAAGUUUCACUUAAUCUCAGAACUUCAGAAGAAAAAUACUUUUUCCUCACUUCACAAAAAAAGGGGAAGCAGAUAAGGACUUUGAGGUCUGUCCCUUCUGAGUCUAUAUCUGGGCCAACUCCGUGCUUCCAGACCUGAGAGCAUCCCCCUUGACCUUUGACCUCUGGGACUCACAGGGGACACUGCCUCAUCUCUGGCCAAGGCUCAUUGCUGGUGCAGUGCAGGGCUCUCUUCCUCUGAGGGCAGCAUGGACAGCUUCAGCGGAGGGCCUCCUGGCACACACAGUACAAGGCUGGAGACACGGGCCCCAAGAGUUGCCAGCACAAGCAUUGGUUCAUGGGUUAACAUCCCCUGUGGCCCAGGACACAUCCAGCCUGAAGCACUCUGACCAUAAGUAAUUCAGUGACAGGAGAAUCCAGGCUUCUCAGGAAGGGACAGCAGGACCUCAAGACCUUCAGGGGCCAUGUGGACCCCGUUCCCCCCACCAUGGUUCAGCCAAGGGCUGGAUCAAUCUGGACGUCUUUAGCAAUAAAAAAUGCCGAUGUCGUCCUAAUUCACCAGGCCCCGAGAUGACAGCAAAUUUACAUUUUUUAAUUAAACUAGCAGCCAGUUUUUAUGAGAGGGGGUUGGGUUAUGCAAAUCAAAUGGUUGUGUACGGAAGAUUAGGAGAGUUUGGGAAUAAAUUCCACAAAUGCUAAUAAAAAAAAAAAGGAAAGAGAGGGAGGGGGAGGAGAGAGAGGAAGAGAGGAGGACAUAGUUCCAUUAGGCCCUUUUAGAGUGAUUUCCCAGGGGGAGGGAGCUGGGUGGGGGAGGGGCAAGGAGGAAGCUUUCAGAUACAGGUAAACCAUUCUGCUUGGGAAGCUCCCUGGGAUUGGGCCCCCACCAGGCUGAAUCCUGGGUCUGAACACAACUGGAAGCCAGGGUGAAAGCCGCUGUGAAAGAACCACUUUGAACUUGCCCUUGAUUAUCUGAGUUAUGAGUAUAACCCCUCUCUCUCCUGAAAGUAGCUGAGGAAGGAGAGGGGCUGUCCAGUAGAGAAUCCAGAGUUGACUCUGCUGGGUAAAGGGCCCAGUAGGCAAGAGGGCAAGUUCAAAGGUAUGGCCAUGGAGCACAGGGGGAGCUAGUGAGGGGUAGCACUACCCACAAGGGGACUGUGGCUAAAACCCUAUGUUGGAGGAAGUAGUGUCACUCUCUGAGGCAGGCCCAUUUCUCCGCUGCUAGGGCUCCAGGCUGGUACCCCUUUGCUGUAUAGACAGACCCUCCUGUUGCAUAUUUGCCCAGCCUUCCACUGUGGGGAGGCCAGGAAGGGUGGGGUCAAGAGAGCCCAGACAGGUGCCUUCGUUAGCCUGGUUCUUGAAGUGGAAUUUCCUAGUAGCUACAGGCUCUGAAGACACCCAGGCUGCAGGCAGGACAAGGAAGAUUGUAGACCACCCUCCCAUGUGGUAUCUGAACCCAGGGAGCAAGGAGCUUGGCUUUACCAGCUCAGCCCAGCUACUACUGUGCCAGCCCACCUCUUGAUUCACAGAACUUUUGGACCUCUCCAAGAGUGGAAGUUUCUAGGAACCUUGCUAGCUCUGGUUACACUCUCAACCCAGCACACACCAGGGAUUGGGAAGGGUCUUGUGCUCUUUCUGUAGGAGGGAUUUCAUGCUAGCUUUGCUAGGUAGGGCAGAUUGCUCUCCAUUUUCCUUCCUCCCAUCCAUACUUGUACUUGGCCAGAUAUACCCACUCAACCAGUCUAAGCUGGGGCCAGCCCCUGCAGUCAGGUUGGGCACCGGUUUUGCCAGUCUGCUGCAGGGGGUAGGAGCUCUGGUGCCAUCUUGGCAGGAAGGAGCAUCAGAGCCAAGGACAGAAUGGGCUGUCUUGGAGUAGUAAGUUUCCUGGUACCAUUCAGACAACCUGGCUUUGCACCAGGGAGUGACGCUGGGCCUGACUUGAGCAUCAGAUGACCUUUAAGGUCUUUGGCUCUCCAACUCCCAACUUGAUUUUGUUCAGUGGGGCAGACCUGGGGAAGAGUCAUACGGACAAGGUGAGAAGCCCGUCAUUUGGACCUUCUCUAUGGCAGAAAGCAUUUGAGACAUGCAGCUCUGGGAUAGAUGGCCUUGAGCCAACCUGGACACUAGUCAUAAGACAGCAGAAUUAAGGGUAACAGGCCCAGUAUAGCUAUUCUUCUCAGAAGGCAGAGAGGGCAGGUCUAGGAAGGUCCAUAGGGGGACCCCACCCCAGGCUUUUGCUCCCUGCUAGGGACAAGCCAGGGGAACCCAGUAACUCCUCUCUAAGAAAGGCAAGGGGCCAGCUUCAGACAGUCCUCCUGCCCUCCUUGCCUUCCUGGGCUCUGCCAUGUGCCCCACCCCCACAGCCAGAGAAUCUGGCUGAGUUGCAACUUGGGUUUUUAUGAUGGAAAAAUAAAAUAAACGAAGGCACCUUUGGAGGGCUGAGUCACAGCAGCAGCAUCUCCUCAUUAAAGCUGCUGCCGUGGCUCAAGUCCCUGCCCACUGCCCAGGGCAGGGGAUUGGGUGGAGUUCAGAAGGCUUCUGGACCCUACUGCUUUUCUUCCUGGAGCCUGCCAGGUUAGUAGUGUGUCCCCACUGCUCCAUGAGCCUUGUGGGGCCACCAGCCCCAGGGCCUAGGUUUGUCUAACUCUGCCCUCCCAAUGCUGGUUUUUACACCUUGACCACCUGGUAGCUGCCACACAGCUCUUCCUCCUCCUCCUCCUGGUUUGCACCUUCAGAGAGGGAAGAAAGUUGCUCUGAAGUAAUUCCUCUCUGUGGGUCCCCAAGGCCAGGAGCAAUGCUUCUUGGGUGGGGGGGGGGCCGGGCCAGGGUCAGCAGAGUAGGAAGGGGGUGGGGAGGAGGAAGGCUGGCAGACACAGCCCUGGCAUGCAGAAGAGAGUGUCCCUCCCUGGGAGGGGUUAGCAAAGGUGGCAACCUUGUGGUCCAGCACACACCCAUUUGGCUGCCUGAUCAUAGACGGGCACCUCACCCCUGGGGCUCCCAGGAUACAUGUUCUCCAUUGAGGACGAACCCCUAGGCAGGUGUGAGGCCACAACUGAGUAAGCUCUUGGGGGCAGUGUGGGCUGGCUGAAGAGAUUUGUGACCCUGUCACAGGAACCAGGGACCCAAGAGCUAUGUGAAGGAGUGGCCUUGUGGGCCUCUGCACUACCCACAUCUGGAUGUCUUCCCAGCCUUUUCUCUGCCUUGUCCUUACCCCUCUGUGAGCAGCCCCUGCUUCCCCAUUGUUCAGCCCAGGGUUUCUGCCUUCCAGUCAGCCCUUCCUCCUCACCUUUCCUGCCCAGUGCCUUGCUAGCCUCACACCCAGUUGAUCCUGGAAAGAGAUAAAAGGGGUCUGGGGGCUCUGAGGAUCUGGUUAUUGGUAUGCCAUUCAUGUGCUGUGGUUCCCGGGAAGUCAAAGCCAAGGACCUUGUUUUCUUUUGUGAUUGCUGCCCCUAAGAGUGACCAUUAGAUGUGACCAUUAGCCACUGUGUUGACAUCUCCUCCCAGUGCUUGGUACCAGGCUGGGUCUCAUGCCUUCCCGCUGUAAGUGCUAGUGCGAUUGAUUGAUGGAUGUGCCUCUUCCCUGAGUGCCUGCCCAGCUUCUGAGUGGGGGCAGAAGGAGGAAGGCAGGAAAUGUUGGCUGAUUCCCUUGGGAGCUGGGUUUUAGCUCCUCAAGAGCUUUCUAGAGCUUGGUUUACAGGAAGAAAUAGGGCUGGGAUCAAGGAUGAUGUGAAGGGCCAAGGGGGCCUAAGGGCAGAGACAGGAGUUGUAGGGUUGGAUGGGCGCCCACAGCCGCUCUUGGCCAGGACUGUGGUGUGCAGCAGGGAGGGCCUGGGGCAGGAGGUCAGACUGCCACGCCAGGGUAUAGGAGUCUAGUAGCCAGUGGCGUCUGCACUUCUCUACCUUCUCCCUGGCCCCAUCUCUACCUUCCCCACCAUGCAACCCUCACUGGAGCAUGUCUGUCUGUCCUCUCUAGGCCAGGACCUGCCCCGACCCAAGCUGACAGACCCAAUACAGGCAGUAAGGCCCAAAAGGGGGCCAUGGGCUUAUGCUUAGCCCAUACUGCCACACGUCCACCCCAUAGUCUCGGGUUUGGGUUGCUCCUGAGCUAAAUGUGGGAUCUGCUCUUAGAAUAUCCAACGGGCCUAUCCUUUAGGGUCUCUUCCUUAUCUUCAGGCCUCAUAGGCUUUACCAGUGCCAUAGGUGCUUGGCAACUGAAACUGCUUCCUACUCUUGUUGCCAAAGCCAGGGUUCUACAGAUUGGGCACAUUCAGAUACAUCCUGUGGCUCUAAAGUCCAGGGAUUCCCAGAGGGAACCUUCUCAAGGUGCACUUUUCUAUUAGGCUUUGUCCUUGAGUUAAGGGGGCCCCUGGGAGAGAAUAUGCUGCAUGAGAGCAGGAGACUGAAGGAACCAGGCAGAGCCCCAGGUGGGGAUCCCCAAUGCAGUGGGGAGGCAGGAGCAUCCCAGCCACAGCAGGGAGAGACUGCUGGAAGUUUGUGUUACAGGGAAGUAUGUCCUCUCUGUGACCUCCAUAUUCACCUCCCUUUGACCAGUGCCUCUCUCUGUGCUGCCCCUGCAGCCCCAGAGCGCAAGGCUACGGCAAGCCAGGGGGUCCUGGUCAGCCAAAGAGGACUAAGGAGGUGCUCCACUGCCCAGCAGGGGGCGCCCCCUGUAUCUGCCCCAGGCCCUGCAAGGACACACUGUGUGGUUCCACCUGGCCUGGGCCUUCUGGCCCUUGGUGGGGGCAGGGAAGCCUACCUUCCCUACCCCCAGAGGUUCCUUGGCUGAGUUUGUUUGGCCAGGGUGACCUGUUUAAUCAUCUCAUUUUCUGGUGGCCGUUUAUUCCUCGUUUCCACGGUUACGGCCCCAUUAAGGGGAGAAGCAAUAAGGCAGCGAGUCAAACAGGUAAUAAAAACAUUAAAGCCCAUGUGCACAGAGGGAGGAUGGGGCGGGGAAGGGGGCGCAGCGAGGUGAGACGGCCCAGGGCACCGCUGCUGAGGUGAGGCCCAGCCUGGUCCCCAAGGCUGUAGGAAGACUGCUCCCAAGUCCCAGUAUUCAGCUUAGAACGUCCCCAGCCCUUGUCCCCUGGGCAACAGGCUCUACUUGAAGGUGAAAUAGGAAAGAGCAAAGAGAGGGAGAGUGACAAAAUCUCCCUGAGGACUGUCCCCAGCUGGUUGUGUGACCUGUUUCCAGGCCCCACCUUACCCUCACUGGGUGGGGUUGGGGGUGAUUUCUGACAUUGUUUGGAGCUCUAGAAUUUUUUUUUCUGCCAACUUUAUCAGAAAGCAUAUUUGUGGUGAGUGCUGCUAACAGGGCCAGUCUGGUGAGUAAAUAUUCCUUGUGUGGACGGCCCAGUGACCUUGAGAGCUGACGAGCAUGGUAGCAGGGCCAAGGGCGUGCAGGGAAAGGAUGGCCAGGUGGGGUCUAUCCCAAACAUAAGUGACACACAAUGACUUGCCUGUUGCAGAUGGGCCAGGAGCCCUUGGUGGUGCCCACAAAGGAAUUGCUGGCCAGUGCUUCUAGGGAGUCCCUUCCUCUCGUUAGUGGAAGCCGGCAUGUUACAAUGGUCAGCCUCCUGGUCAGUCCCACUGGGCACAGGGCAUGUGCCUCCCCUUAGUAUCCCCUUCUUGUGCUUCCUGGGUGUCCCAGCCCUCUGCCCUUCCCUCAAGGCUGGCCAGUAAGCAGAGCCAGUGCUGACCGAGGGGGUGUGCCAGGAAGAGUGGGGUGGGUAGGAGUGGCAGUGCCUGUGAGUACUGCCCAGGAGCAGAGGAGCAUUGCUCAGAGAGUAGAGAGGAACAAGCCUAUACUCUUAGCACCUCUGGAGGCUGAGGUAGGAGGAUUGCAGGUUCAAUGCCAGCUUCAGCAACUUAUCAAGGCCCCAAGCAACUCAAUGAGACCCUUUCUCUAAAUAGAAAAUAAAAAUAAAAAUGGCUGGGGAGUAGAGCACCCUUGAGUUAAAUCCUCAGCAUCCCCCCAUACCAAAAAAAAAAAGAGAGAGCAUGGAGAGCUGAGACCAGCUCUGGGGCCUGAAAGUGGAGGAAGGAGCCUCCUUCCUUCCUUUCUUCCAUGCUGUGAUCCCUUGCAGAUGUACAGAGGCCUGUAUCUCCAUUUAUUAAUUUCAAAGUUGAUUCUGACUCAGGAGGAGAAAGAGAAGGUAUGGGAAAUGGGGAAACCCUUUGGCUGGGGACUGUGCCUUGGGAACAGGCCUAGAUGAGUUAAUAUUCUGAUCAAACAAUUAAAAAUAGAAAACGCUCCCGAGGCACCAGCUGCUGAGGCUCUCGGCAACUGUCACCAGCGGGUUCAGGGGCAGGUGGUGCUGGAAGGAGCUUCUCUCCACAAACAGCAAAUUUCAGAGGUCACUGAGUGCCCACUGCCCUCCCAGUACUAGGGAAGGGUCUGGGGCUCCCAGUCCUCCAUGGUUCCCUCAGGGGCCUCAGUGGGGCCUGUGCAGCUUCAGGGCCGCCCUUCUCCCCUGCAGGGCUGGCCACACGGUGAAGUCAUCGCCAGAUGCCUUGGUAAUUGCUUUAAGAGUCCAACUUAAAAUAAGAUGAAAACUUAUAUUCCUGGGUGAGGAGUAAUUUCCCAUCUAAUAGUAAAUUAAUGAAGGGAUUAUAGCAGGGGGCCUGGCUGGGAGGCCACGCUCAUCUGAUAAAUCCAGGGUCUCCAGGCCUACCGGCUUUGGAGCUUGAGACUCUCACCCCUAGACCUGGCCCUGCUCCUGGGUUCUUCUUGGGCUAAACCAUGGCCUGCUCAGGUGGGAGGACACAUUCCAUGUGUGCUCCUGGUCCCUCUUAAUGGGAACCAGCUUUUAAAAUCCCCAUGGUAACUGUGGGUGGUGGGGCACACCUGUAAUCCUAGCAACUCAGGAGGCUGAGACAGGAGGGAUCACAAGUCCAAGGCCAGCCUCAGUAAUUCAGUGAGACCCUGUUUCAAAAUUUAAAAAAGGACUGGGAACAUUGCUCAGUGGUAAAGUGCCCUUGGGUUCAAUUCCCAGUACAAAAUAAUAAUAAUAACAACAACAACAAUAAAAAACAAAACCUCCCAUGGGAGAGGCUCAGAUUGGACCCUCUGUGGACAUGGGAAUGUUCCCAUCAUCAGUUCCCCUGAGGAUGGACCUUAGAAACAGAUCCUACUCAGACUCUGGUGAGAGUCUCCACUUGUCAGAACUGUGUAGUGUCAGUGUGGUGACCAGUCAUACCAUUUUGCCCAGGAUUAGAAGGACCCACAUCCUGUUAAUCUCCUCUGUCCCAGGCAAGCUGGGAAGGUUGAUCAAUCUGGUUUGGAGGGUGGAAGGUGGGCUGCUUAACAUAGUCCCUCCCUCAGGGUCCUGGAGAGACCAGGGACCUCCAGAACUAAAUAUAUUCUGUCCAGGAAGGAUGAUUUACAGCUGGCUCCUGAGACCACCGUGCCCUAACCAGGGCUCACUCCCUCUACAGGUUGUUCACUAGGGGCUUGUGCCCUGUGUGAGCUUGUGCAUGCCUCCUGAAGACCAGUGGGCCUAGAGUAGGGCUUGCAGCUGUGGUCCUUCCAUGGAGCACAGUCAGAGCGGGGCUUCUGAAGAGGAGUGCACCCCACAGCCCUCCUGCCAGCCUCCCAGAACCUUUUUUUCUGGGAGAUUGAGCUUGUGCCACACCUAAUGCUCCACUUCUCCUCACUCUCAGAGAAAGACAGGAAUUGUCCUGUUCCCAACUGGGGAGGGCAAGGAUGGGAUUCAGUGGUAGAGCUCAUGACUGGCACCAGGAGGGAGAGAGGAUGGACAGAGGAAAGGAAGACACAGGUGAGAAGUGGGAAGCCUGGAGACUGCUGGAUUUGUUCCCAAAUGCCAGGAGAUAGGCACGGUGUAGGGCUUCCCUCCCUGGGGAAAGACGGGCUUCCGGGAGGACCACACCACAUAGCAUGUUGAGUGGGGACACAGGGCUUCCAACCCUGGAUAUUUACUGUGCCACCUGCCUACAUUCUGGAUGUCCCUGGGCUCCACCAUAGUCUACCUGCCAUCCAUGGACACCUCCCUGGCCUUCCCCACGAUGUGGUAGUUGAUGCAGGUAUGCCGGGAGCUUUCAGCAGCAGAGCUCACUUUCCUGAAUCCUCCAUCCUGCUCAUCUCCUUAAAAAGGGGUGUCCCUGUCUGUAGGGGGUGGGGGAGGACACAUGGACAGCUCUUGGCUGAGGUGGAAGUGAGCAGGCUAGAUACAGGGCUCUUCAGAAGCAGUCUAAACCCAUAGUGUCUUCAGAGAUGGUCCCUGAGUGCAUUUUGUGUGAUAUAUUUCUGUGAAAGUGGAGACUGUGCAGGGAAGGAAGGUGGGACACUUCCCCUGGUUCACUGGAAGACCACUAGAGCUCAGCUCAGGAGCACGGACCCCCACGGGCCUCCCCUGGCACCACUACAGGGCUACCUUGGAAGACUCCUAGGACAUCCUUUUUUUGCAGACAGUUGUCCCUCAGUGGGACCUUAGCCUGAGGGCUUUCCUGAGUUUCCCCUGGCCUCUGUUCGGGUGGAUCUCAGAGAGGAUCCAGCUUCCUCCCCAGAGUGGACCACGCUGAUCUCUGAGGUGGGGAGUAGCCCGUGCUCUUGUAGAGACAGGUGCUGCCUGAGUGGCCUGUCUCCCUCCACUCCACACCUAGAGGAAGGAGUUAUGGAGCAGUGGGGCUGAGAAUUCCUAGUCUAAACAACCCGGGGAAAUGUGCUCAGGGAGGGAGCCACGCCAGAGCCACAGAUGGCUUGAUCCGGAUGGAUCAUGGAUCGUAAGGGGGAGGGGGGUGGCUUUGAACAGUGGAUGUUGUGUGGCAGUUGCUGUUCAAGCAGACAGAUUGGUGAAUUCCAGGCUGCGGGGAUCUGAGCGGUCCCUUCUUUAUCUUCUCUUACCCUCAGGCUCAGGAAGUGGGUGCUAUGGGCAGGAGAUGGGCAGUGGCCUGGGGGCUCCCAGGCCAAGCACCCAUCGCAGGCCAGCCAAGUCACCAUCCACAAUACCAUGUGGGCCCCUCCUCGGCCUGCCUGAUAGGAAGGGUCGGUCCCUUUGGGGCUCCUCAGGAGACCUUGUGGAGCAGAGGCCGCUUCUCUCUCAGGAGCCCUAGCAGGUCCAAGAGCCCUGAGAAGGAACUAGGGAUGUUUUCUGUUUCCGGGUCCCUCAGGGGCCCAGGGGCAGAUUGAGACAGGCUCCUUGCAGGGAAGGUGUUAACAAACAGCAGGUGAUUAAACAUGACAAGCGGUGACAUUUCUGUUCAGGGUUCUCAGUCCCGGCAAAGCCAAGAAUGAAGCUAUAAACCCUGACAUUUUGUGUUAUGCACUGAGAGAUUUUUAAUAGACCUCGUUCCCUCUUCCCCAGUCAGCCUCUCCCUCCUUCAGCUCCUUCACUGUGCCCACUGCUCCAGUAGCACCCUGCCACCCUGUCCACCUGGCCUCCAGGGCCCUUUCUGCCUCCCCACCCCCCAUUUUCUUCCCUCAUCCUCAGACCCCUUUGCACCUGCAGGGCCUGGUGGACACUGCCCUCUGCCCCCUCCUUUUCUUCCAUCCGUCCUGUGGCCCCUUCUGUCUCCCCCUCGCCUCCCCUCCUCUCAUCCUUCAUUCUCUCACCUCCUUUUUUUGGGUCCUGAUCUCAGCCUCUCCCUUAGCUGCGGCUGUCCCAGUUGUCUGGGACAGCAGGUGGCUAUCCUUGUGCCCUCUUUGUGCUCAUAAGAUUUCCAGACAGACUUAAGAGCGGGUGUAGGGAGACUAUGGGGCUUGGUGUGGGAUUUUCCCCCAUCUUUUUUUCAAUCCCCUUUUCUCCUUUUUGGGACAAGGAAGGAGGUGGGGGGAAAGAAUUACACUUCAUAGCAAACAGUUGCUGGAUUUAUUCGGAAAGGGACUGGCAGCAACAGUUGUCCCUCUCACAGAGCAAUGUCAGAACAACUGGGGCCUCCUUUGUUUUCUGGGAAGAGCCCUGUGAAGGGCGUUUGGAGGUGAGCCUGGGGCUCAAGAGGGCAAGAAACCUAUGGGGGUGGUUUCAGCUCUGUUGCACCCAGGUGCCUCCAUCCUGGCAGAUAGAAAAGGAUCCUAGAGGUCUGAGGGUUUUGGUGAAGUCAGGCCACACCCUGGGUCUCCUCUCUGCCUAGUGAACUUGAGAAGCACUUAGUUUUCUGUAUUCAUUCAGUAAAUAUUUACUGGGCCAGACGCUGUGCUGAGCAGUGGUCCGCCCCACAGCUCCAGCAGCCAGCAGCGUAGCAAGGUAGAGGGGUGAUGAGGCGGGUCACCGCAGACCUACAGCAAGAAGACGGAGGGGUGAUCCAGAGGGCUUCUCAGUGGAAGUGACAUUACAGCUGGGACCCCUGAAGGAUGCAUGGUAGAUGGGUAGCCAGUCUGCCCAGAGCUGAGUGGCAGUGUGCUGAGGUCUGGGGGUUUCUGCUGCUCCUCAAGUGCCACCUGGCAUGGAGUCAGUCUGGGCUGUGCCACCCCACAGUGGGUGUGCCCUUUGAUCUCUGUAUAACUGACUCCGAAUUUGCUAUUCCAUCCACCUUCCACCAGACAUGUGGGUGGGUAAAAUGGGAAUGAGGCUCAGCCCUGCCUUCAUGGAAGGAAAGUACCCAUGACAGGGGCUGCCGCCUGUUGUACCUCCUAGUCCCCUUGCUGAUGACUCACAGGGUAUAGGCCUGUGUGGAGGGCAUGGGGGAGGAGCAGGAGCCAGGAGACCUGCCCUCCUCACCCCUCACUGAUGCCCUCACCUCACUUCCCUCUCUGCUCGCAGUGGUAUGUGAGACACUGCUGCUGAGUAUCGUUCUUUUUAGACUCUGGGCUCCUUGAGACACAGGGCCAGAGGAGGCAGUUCUACUAGGUACUCAGGAUGUAGUGGAGAACCUCCACCAAGCCAGGAGAAGGAUUGAGUUAACCUAUGAAAGCAGGACCAUGAGGACUGUGGGCCUGCAACCGACCCAUGGGCCUCUAGUGGCCAGGAAGAAAGGCCAGAGGCCCACAUUCAGUUCAUCAUCCAUUCUGAACUGGCCUCACACCCAGCACCAUUCAGCCACAGAGCAGCUGGAGGGGUCUCAAUGAGCCUUUAGAACCUCUCCCCCAUCUUGCUCAGCCUUUGCCCAGGGGUUCAGGCCCAGCAUACCCUACCUCCACACUGGCUCCCCGAGGAGGACCAGUUUGGCUGCUGGACCCAGGAGUAGCAUAAAGGGGCCAGCAUAGAUUUCAGCCAUGAUUCCUCCUCAUCCCAAUUCCAGCCCCUACCUUUCUACCCUUUUGGCCUGAGUUAAUGCCAAUGCCAUCCCUUGUCACCCACUUCCCAAAGACUAGCUGGACCUCCUGUAGGGCUGAGAGACUCAGCCUUCCUCCACUCACUUGGAAGCUGGGCUGGGGGUGGGUGUAAAGGGAGGAGAAGGGAGUCCCAGAGCCAGGACUUGGCCUGCUGCCCCUGUAGAUCCAGAGCCAGGUUUUACUGUAAUCCCUACAUCCUGUUGCAGAUCCUUAAUCAGCUGGAGCCCAGGUUGGGCUGGACCCUGUGGUGACACUCAGGGCUGUAGUGUGGAAAACCUGAAGUGGAGCUUCUAGAGUUGGGGUUGGCUGUGAGGUUGAGGCUGGUGGAGGGGAGCAGAAGGGAGCCAGUUCGGGCACAGGAUGUGGACAGAGCCCAGACCCACCACCUACCCAGCCUGGACUGGGUGGAGGAGCAGCUGUUACAGACUGGGAGCCAGGCUACAGUGGGGCAUGUGGGGCCCCCGAAAGGACACCAGAGUCUGUAGGGACUGCUGCACUGCUUCAUCACUCCAUCGAGACAGCUGACGUGAGAGUUGCUCAGACAGUGGCUCCAGCCAGAAACCUGGGUGACGGUGGUUCCAGGGUUUAUACCCACAGGUACUUCAAGUCCUCAUCAGGCUACAAGUACCUAUCCUGCUGGAGCCCUGCUUCCUGAGUAGGGGUGGGGAAGAGGGCCCAAGAGACCUAUCCUGGGUUUGGGCAGCCAGGGCUUGAGGCUCUCUCCAGGAGGCAGGGGUCCCUUAGCAGGGAAGGGAGACCCCAGGAUCACUCUUCCUUUUGCCACAAGCAACUGACCCCGGACAAGAGCUCCAUAUCCCAUCUGACCCCUUAGUUCAGCCCAACUCUGUAGUCCCUGCGUGAAUCUUAGGAAAGAGUUAGGGGACAGAGGGAGAAGACCCCACCUGGACCCCAACUCCUCUCAGCCCAAGAUGCAGUGGUGGAGGAGAAUGAGGGAGAAUGCAUAGUCCAGAGAGCCAGCACAGAAGCCAGGAGUGGGCUGGCUGGCAGCGGGUGGGCAGACGGGCGUCUGUCCUGCCAGGGGCCCAGGCUGGCUCUGCAGACAGCCUCUUUUCUAUAUGGAAAUGAAGAAUUUAGGCUAAUGGAGCUCAACCAUCUCUAAUUUUGCGAUGGCAGGAGGAUUUUGAUUGAAAGUAAUUAAGCAAGCUAGCUGUAAAAUUAAUUAAAGCAAAAGGGGGGGAUUUUUUAUUGGAUUGGAUAGCGAUAUAGCGUCUGUCAGGCGGGGGACGGAUGGGGGUGACCUGAAUCCUCUGCCCUCCCCCCUCCCACUCGGGACGUUUAUGUCACUUUAAUCUCCUUACAGCGGCUGCUGUGCAUUUGUUUGAAAUAAUCAAGGAAAUAUGGUCAGAAAUUGUCAGCUUUCAGAUCUAAUUUACCUGACGGCCCCUGCGCGAGCUGGCGCGGCCUGGGGAGUGAGCGUGCGUGAGCGGGUGGGGGAGCUGAGUGGGCUCUGAGCACGCUGGAGCCGCAGCCCAUGACCAGCCCGGGCUCCCUCCAAAGGGGCAGGAAGGUGCUGCCCAGCCUGUCGGCACCUCCCUGGGCUUUGCCCCUUUCUGGAACAGACUCCCACCCCCACCCACCUGCUGCCUCUUCCUCACACUGUAACCAGCUUUAGGGUUUAGGGAAUAUAGGAUUAGGGAGGUGAUUGUAAUUCCUUAUUCCAGAUGGCUGACAACUGCUAAACCCCUCCACCAGGGCCACAGUUUUAAAAAUACUCCUAAAUUAGUCCCCUCAUGUCCUCAUCAUUGGCCUCAGCAAGGGGAUUGAGGAGAUGGGCUGGAGGGAGGGCGGGGUGACCUGUCAUCCCCAGGUCCUCUGCCACAUGCUGCACCACCCCCCCACACCUGGGGCUGUGCUUACUGCCUGGGCCUCUCUGCCCCAGGUCCUUCCCCGACUUCUAGGGUAAUGCUUGCCCUGUUUCCUCUUUGUAGCACACUCAUGAAAUCUGGGGUCUCAGUUCCUGCAAGAAGAAGGCCACUUCCCAGUGCCACAAGGUCCUACCCAUUUCCAGUGGAUAAACCAGGCCACAGAGCCGCUUUCCUUGGGGUAUCUGACUUCCAGUCCCUGCACCCCAGAAGUUCUGGUUCAGAGCUCUUGGAGUCCCUGCCCAGGUGGGCCAGUAUGCAGCCCUCCCCAGCAGGGAACCCUUGAGAUGUCUGGGGUCCAAGGGCCCUGGAGCAGUCUCUGAGGCUAUGAAAAAUUCCGGCUUAAAUGGAAAUGUGUAGCAGUCUGAUCUGCUGGGCGUGAGAGGCCUCCCAGUGAGAAUUGGGUCCCUGAAUCUGUCUAAUGCUGACCAGUGAGUGACCCCAGCCUUCACCAGACCUGUCCAUCACCCUUCCAGUUCUGAAGUUCUGUAUAGGUCUAGGACAGCCUCUGCCCUGGUAGCUGUUCCCUUAUACAGUCAGUUCAUGGGACCUGAGGGCAGGCUGCCUUUGGGGCUUGCACACACCCCUGGGACAGGGGAGAAGGCUGGGGAUUGAUGAUGGUAAGCAGCCAGCUUCCCAUUUGCCCACUGGAGAGCAUACCCACUAGAGGCCUCCAUCCCCACCUGCCCUCCUCGGUACCACCCAAACACCCUCUGCCUUGUCCUCCACUUUUGCCCUUGAGGGAAUCCCCCCCCCCCGUCCCCAGCCCACUGUGGGACAGGGUGACUCAGGCUGCCUCCUCCGGCAGCAGUGAGGGAGUGUGAGCUCCUGUCUGUCCUUCCAGCCUCACCCUCAGCACAGCAGCUGGAGGCAGGGGAAGCAACACCUGCCUGCUCCUUGGGCUCUUUCAUCCGCAACCUCCUCUCUCCCUAACCAUGAGUCACUCACUGUUGGGGUUAGGGGAUGCAGCCCCAGAGAACUCUACCCAAAAAAGAGGGAGGAAAAGCUACCUCAGGGGAUAGUUGCAUGUACCCCAAGGCCAGGGGGCACUGAGGUCUGUGGGGCCCUGCUGUACUCCCCUGCUCCCUGUGCCCACAAGUGCCUAGGCCAUAGGCAGCAGCAUGAGGACCAUAGGGACUCAGCCAGAGACACUGCCUUUUGUUCCCAUUAACUACCCAGGACCCAGAUCCCAGGAGACAGGAGAUUAGAGGGAGUGGUUUCAGCUCAGCCUCUCACCUCCAUGUGUGGCUCACAGCUGCUUUACCUGUGCUGCUGGGACAUAGAGGGACCAGCUGGGGGCCUGCACCAGGGCAAGGAGCUUAUUUCUGGCUUGCUCUGGUAGGUGCUGAGGUAGAGGGAGACUCCUGCAGAAGGGACCCCAAAGCAGGCUUUGGCAUGGGGGAGAGGGGGAAGCCCAAGGGGAGAAGGGGCCUCCUCAUGUCCUCCUAGUGUCCCCAAGACCACCCUCUGCCCCAGAGAGAAGAGCAUGAGUUGGAAAUGCUCUACUGAAAUCCACUUCUUGGAAUCAGCCCCCAUGGUGAGGAGAGAAACUGAUUCUGCAGUGGCUCCUUGGAGAGGAGCAACAGGGAUGGCAGUGACAGACAGAACUGGCCACCGGCCCUCGGGUGUGAGUCAGAGGACAGCCCUGGGAGGGCACAUGGGAGCCUAGGAGGCUGGGAGAGGGGAGAAGUAAGAGGGUAACUUGGGGGCCUGGGGAUCAAAGGCUAGCUCAGCAGUGCCUUUCUGUCCUCUGGCUGGCAUGAGAUGGUUCCUACCCCUGAGAUAACAUGUGGUGGCCUCCCUGUUGUCCCUUGUUCCUUAGCUCCUAAGCCUUUGAGGAAAAAACAUACUGGCCUCCCUUUCCCAGGACCUGUCCCUGGCCGACAUGUCUCUGCCUUCCCCCAGAGCCAGGGUUCUGGGCCUCUGGAGCGGAACGUGGGGGGAGAAAAGGCAAGGCCAAGGACAACCUGCCUGGCCCUGCCAACCCCCAGGCCCUGCCAACCCCCAGGCCCAGCUCCCUGAAAAGCUUGAGGACUGGGGACUUCCCCUGGCGGAGGGGGCGGGGGGCAGUCCAUCUGGCCUGGCUAGGGGUUCUUUCUCCCUUUAGGUGGGCCUGAGGGUUGGCUGGUCUCCCUCUCUCAGGUCAGGGGAAGGCAGGCCUUCCUGAGUCCUCAUUCAUACUUAACGAGGACCAGUGGCUUCAGGAGAGUUCUCAGUGUGCCCUGGCCACAGGGGCUAGGGGUAGGGGAGGCACCUGCCCCACUGGAGGAGGAACCCAGAGUAGCAGGUGUCCAGCCUCAAGAGUCAACUGCAGGGUCUUCUAAUGACAGUGUGAACAGAGAGAACAUCUGAUAUAGCUGGGGACCUGACUCCUCCUUCAGCCAGGUCCGUGCCCAGAGUUGGCAUGAUGUGACUGAGGCCCUGGGCUCCCGGAAGUGCCUGUGACCAGGCCGGGCUUGGCAGUCACUCUUCAGUCUCGUGAAGCCUCCCCACCAAGUCUGGUGGAUUCCCUGCUCUGUAGACUUCUCCCCUGCCCACACUGGGCCCACCUGCCACCCCAGACCCCUCAUCGCUUCCUUCCAGUCUGGCCUCUGUUUCUCGCCUUUUGGGUCUCAAGUCUCACUGCCCCAACCAUGGCCCGUCCUCCGUCCCCCCUGGCUUCACAGUCACAUUUUGCUGCCAGCGCAGGGCACUGAAAAACUGCUGGCACUGCCAAAAACCCUGUGUGCGCUAUGACUCCCCAAACAUCCCUUUAUUUUUAUUGUUCUGUUAAUUACUGUUUAAACUUUAAUAAGUCACUUCGUCAGGAGGGGGGACCUGCCGUGAGCUUUUCUGUGCAAACACGGGCCGGGAGUGACUCGGGUGUAAUAUAACCCUUUAUGCGAUGUGGGAAUGUUUAGAUUGUAACAGAAACUUGUUAUUUUAAUGACAGUUGGGGGGAUCUGAGCGUGGUAAGGGAGGAGGGGUGGCGUUCCCUGUCAACCCCUCGGAGGGCUUGGGGUGGCCUGGCCCUGCCAGGGUUGCCCUCUGCCACGGCAGAGGGCCCAGCUAGCUGUGCACCCUCCUGGGCUGCCCACUCAGCCCCCUGGGCAGACUUGUGUAGAGCGGUGCCUUCCGAGGGAGGCCCAGGGCCUGGGGCAGGAGAGCCUGGGCUGGGCAGCUUGGGUGGGUGAGGGCCUGAGGAGAAAGUUGGGCUUUCAGGGAUGAGGAAGCAGGAGGCCCCGGGCAGUUCUCUAGUCCCUGGGCAGAAGCAGGCAGGGUUGCGAGAGGCUGGACUCCACACCUAGCCAUUCCUGACUCUGCCCAAGAGUCAGUGGAAGGUGCCCUGUGCUCUGCAGCUCUGUGCCAGACCUGUCACUCACAGCAUCCCUUUGACAUACUGUUGCAGAUGGGACACUGAGGUCCAGUGCAGAGAAACUUGGUUAAAGUGGCAAGCUUUAAGAGGAUGGCAAAUCUCAGGUAUUGAUUUGUUUUAUUUGGAAGCCACCAAAGCCCAGGUGCCCCAGUGUGGUCUCGGGCUGGACACUAUCCCACAGUGGAAGGGCAUGGAGGGGCACAAGUCCUUGUCAGCCAUGGAGGGGCUUGGGCAAGGCUCACCCUCCAUUCUCCCCUCACUCCCACCAGGAGGAGGAACUGGAAGAUGAGGUGGGGUGCCCUGGUCACCAUCUGCACUCUUUCCCUCUCCCAGGAAGCAGGAGCUCGGCCCAGGGCAGGGCAAUGGCAGCAGAUACCCUGAUUCUCCUCCCAGCAGUCCAGACCUGCUUCCAGCAGACACCUGGAAGGGACCCCUUGCCCCCAGUGUUCGUGAGGCUUCUACCAGGACCUCAGGUCACCUCAGGGUCUGUUUUCCUGCUUUGUCUUCAUUUGGUCUGUCUGUCCUGUGUAGCCAAGCCUCUGCUGUAUUCCAGACACUGGAGUGAUAUAAAAGAAGGAGCCCUGUGCUCACCCUGAGGGCCUGUGACCUGCUGCUGUUAAUAAAGAGAUUUCAGGGGUCUUGGGGAAGGGCAAAAUCGAGGGGCCCCGCCUCUGUCCAAGGCCUGCCCCGUCCAGUCUAGCCAUAGAGAAAGACCCUUGCACUCUGGGCUCUCCUGCACCUUUCUACUGCCUCCCACUGAGGGCACCACAUGGAAGCUGGCCCUGCCCUGUCCCCCACCUCCUGCUGGGCGGGGCCAGAGGUUCAGGGCCUUGUGCCCUGGGUCUGGAGGGGAGCCCCCAGAUGGUGGUGGCAGCUCGGGCCACGAAUCGCUGAGGUUUUCCUUUUCUGAGCAGUGCGUUUCCCUAAAUUGUCUUUGACUGCGUGCAUGGGUAAUGAAAGUUUAUGCCCUUGUUAGAAGGACAGGCGGCCAGUUCCAGUUAGAACUGGGGCUGUCUCCCUGCCAGGCCGGCAGCCCCCUCCCCAGCAGGAAAGAGCAGGAGGGCAGGGUGUAUGUGUGUGUGUGCGCGCGCACGCACACACACACACAGACACACGCACGCGCGCUUGCGCUCGCACACACUUGCAUACCCCUCCCCAGUGAAUAAGAAGCCUGUUAAGGGAAGGGAAGGGAGAGAGGACGGAAAAAAAGAAAAAAAUUUCCAUAUUUGUGUAAGUUGCUUUAAAAGCAUUUUAUCAUGUCAUAAAAAAGGGAAAGUACUCUCAGAAAUUGAUCCUCUCCGCCAGCCCAUUGGACAGAAGGACGUUGGGAUGUUAAUGGCCAUCCUGCUCCAGGGUGGCUUAUUAAAAAAUUUAUACAUAAAUGCUUAAAAUUGCAUAAAUUAUUUAAAAAAAACCAACAAAGUAAGCAAUUUGAAUUCCCUCUUUUCCUCCCCUUCACUCCGUCCCCCCUUUUCCAGCCUCUCCUCAGGGCUCUCCUGGUCCCCGGGCUCUGGUCCCCUCCUUGGGGCAGUCCCCCUCUUUUCUCCACUUCCUGCUGCGCCCCUGACGCCCGCCGUCUGCCCUGCCCUCCUCCGGGGUUUCCCUGCCUCACCCACAAAUUAAUGAAACAGCCAGCCCACCACCAAACGCUCACACGCACACGCGCUAAUAAAAACACCACUAAUAAUGCCCCAAAUCGCAAAAUUAAAUAUUAAGGCCAAAGGAGGCGGACGUGGAGCGGAGCUGCCGCCACCGUUGCCGAAGUUGGAGCUGAUGAGUGUGUCUCUCGCAGGCGUGGAAUGUCACCCACACAUCCUGGAGACUGGAGUGGGGAGUUUUAUGAUGGUUUUUCAUUGAUUUGUUUCCCCAGCGCAGCUGCCGACCUCUAUUGAGGGACAAACAUAAUCAGCACUGACGCAAAUUAGAUGGUUAUUCGUUUUGAAAAUUGACAGAAAAACAAUAAAAAAGAUGAAAUGCUCCCAAAUCAAUAGAUAUAAUGAAAUUCAAAUAAUCCGAGAGAUGAGGUCUCCAUGGCAACUGAUAAUGUGGAAAAGAAAACAAUUUAAUAAAGGACAGACACACUUUGAAAACAGAUUGGGCCCGGGGAGGGGGGCGGGCUGGCGGGCGGAGGGCUGGAGCGCGGGCUGGCGAGUGAAGGAUCACUGUCCGUCCCAAGGACACCCGCCAUAAUUAAGCGAGGCUUUCGGCCCCAGAAAGUGCAGAUUCAGGUUUUAAUACACAAAAUUAUUUCAGGAGCAGUGAAUCGGAAAGUCGUUUGUAAUGACCUUCCUGAGAGGCCCGGGCGCGGGGCAUGUUGGAGGCUGGGCGGCCCGGCCGGCUGAGUUAUGGCAUAUUUGUGUUUUUAUAGUGCGGAGGGGAGGGGGUGGUGGGGGGAGGGGGGGAGAAGGUUAAACAGUAUUUACAGCUCAGUUGUUUUCAGAGAGGAAAGAGAAAUAGAGUUCAUGGGGAGAUGCAGUGGGCAGGCAGGGGGGUGAGCCAGGGAGGCCUCUGGGCAGCAGGGAGGGGAGGUAGACCUGAGCAGGUCUCCCACCUCAGGCUGCCUCACCUACGUCCGCCUCAGGUCCAGAGGAGAUGCCAGGUCCGCUUCCCCUGCUCCAGUGCCUGGUGAGGCUCAGGCAGUGCGGUCUUCUAGGUCUGGGGCCUCUCUGACGGGGUGGGAGCCGAAGUCCAAGCCGUGUGGACACCCAGCUGCACCUAUCAGUAAAAAGGUGGGGCAUUUCCACAGCUGCCACGAAAAGUGGCUCUGCCCUUCAUCCUCGCCCGCACCCUCCAUUUCUCUAUGUGGCAGUCGGUCAUCCAUCCAGAUGGUGCUGCCCUUCAGGGUGCAAUAGUUGAGGGCCGGACGAGCAUGUAAGGACGGCAUGCCCCACUGCAGUGGCCUGCAGCUCCCUGCCUUCUCUUCUUUGGUUCCCCCUUCAUGCCAAGUGCCCACCUUGGACAUGCAGAAGUGGGGUUCCGUGGGGCAGGUGGAGGCAGAGGCCACAGAGGGGGCAGGGGAUCAAGCAUCCCUGCCCCAGCCCUGCAGAGCCCCUAGCCUGCAGCAGGCAGCUCAGGCACUGGUGGCCAGGCCAUGGGAGCCUUGAGACUCCCCCUCAGGCUCCGUGUCCCCUCCAACCCCUGCUGUGGGAGUGCAAUUGUGUUUCAACACUGUGACCACACAGAGACUUUCUAGUUUGUGGGCUGCUGUAGAUGGGCACGUGUGAACACGAUUGUACAGAGAUCCCUGAGUGUGUGUGCACACAGGCAUACACACCGUCUGUGUGCUUUUGCUCGGUGUGUGUAUGUUUUAAAUCUCCCCUGGGUGGUAACUCUCUUUUUUCUCCUCUUCCUGUUUGGCUGUGACCUGGGGGAGAUUGAUAGCCAGCCUGUGUGGUGGAUGCUAACAGUUCCCCUGAUUUAUAGAGUUACUUACGCUAAGUGAGGCCACUUAGACGCGUCUGGAUAGUAAACCUUUUAACUGGACUAAAAAAUCAUAAUAAAUAAAUAAACAAAGGGGGGUAAGCUAGGGCCCAGUGGCCAAGCCCUGCCCACUCCCCAGCUUAGAGCCCUUGAGGACCAGGGACCUGCCUGAGAACCCCAGGGGAGCAGUGGCCAUUCCUCCCUUCAGAAAAAACUCAGAGGCCCUUCUGUUCUGAGCUGGAGAUGGGAUCAGGAAGGACCCCCUCUCCCAGGGGGCCUCUCAGGGACAGGUCUUGGUAGGAAAUGAGGGAAGGGAACUGCUCAGCUGGAGAUGGGCUCUGAGGGAGAAAGCAUGGGCCUAGCAACCUUCCCUUCUGCUCUUGUGGCACCAGUGCUCCAUGUCAGGGAGAUGGUCUGGUAGUGACUUUUGAAUAUUGUUGCCUUGUCUGAACUGCAUAGUCCCUGAUGUAGGAACCAGGGUGACGUAGGACCCAGGACUGCCUGUCUUGCUCACAUCGUAGCCUCAGAAUUCAGCCCGAGCCUGGAUGGAAGUAGGUGCCCCAUGCGUGCCACUGAAUGGGGGCUUGUGGUCUGUGAGGUUCCAAUCCUCAAGUGCAGCAGGAUGGGAGCUCCCCUAGGCACCCUGAGACUCCAGGAUGGCCACUUGGAAGACCUGGAAGGCACCUUGGAAAUCUGAACUUGGUGGGAGCUGGCUCCAGCACUGACGGGACAGUUGCCAACCUCAUUACCUCUGCUGCCUCACCUGGAAAUGGGGACAGGACAACUGGCCUGCAGGGAUGCUGGGGGAUCACCAAGGUGACUAAGUGCCCAGCAUACUUUCUGGCACAGACAAGGUGCUCAGGAGGCACCAGGUGCCAUGUGCCUGUAGAUGCCAUGGGCUAGCUCAGCCACCGGUGUCCGGACAGUGUCUGUGGCCCCCAGAGCUGCCUGGCAGUAGGCAGGCAGAGCCAGGUGCACCCCCACCCCAGGGGACUGGCUCCUGGCCUCUGCCUCCCUUCCUCCUGAUAUACAGCGGGCAUUAGGCCGCCCAAAGGGGAUCCUGCAUCCUUAGGAAGAAAUAUGUCCUCAUUUUUCUUAAACACCGUUUCCACUGAGUGAAAUGUUUAGAAGGGACGCGCAGGGAGAACUUUAUUUCCUACCAGGGAGUUCAGAGCCACCAAGCAGAGCCCAUAAAGCACCCGGAGCCUGGUAGCUGACAGGCAGCCCAGCCCUGAAAUACAUUACUCACGGUGGGGAGGGGCUGCCAGGCCUGCCCAGACCCCUGGGACUGCCCCUGCCCUGGCAAGACAAGCAACUUCAAGACCCAGGGCCAUGGGCAGUGGGCACCAUGCCUCUUCUUCCCUUGAGCCCAGAUUGCCUGCAGGAGAGGGCCUGGCCUGACCAGGUGCCGAAGGAGUAGUUCUUCCAGCUUCCCACAGGCCUUUACCUCCCAGGUCAGGAAGACGUGGGGACAAGGGGCCCAGGUGCAGCUACAGGCACCCCCCUUUCUCACCCAGAACUGGCAGGAGCCCUGGCCUUCCCUAGCCUGUGCAGGGAGUGAUGAGAUUCAUGCCAUAACGGGUCCCUUCUCCCAAGGCCCUCCCUUCAUUCGAUUUCUGAAGCUGGCUGAUUUGAAUAUUUAUAAAUAUCAGUAAAUUAUUUAUUGUAGCAAUCUGCUGCACCAUUUUACCCAUCGCAGUUAACACUUUAGGGGGCUCUGUGUUAUGGGAACAGGAAGUGGGGGUGUGGAGGAGAUGGGGCAAGGGAGGGAAGGAGCCCCUGCAGGGAGGCUUGGGACUUCCCAGAGCUUGCCUCGGAGCCUUCAUGGGGAUGAGGCUGAGCCUCAGCUCCAGGUAUCUACAGCCAGGAUUAGCUUCCUCCUCUGUCAAAUGGGUUGGCACAGGGCUCAACUGGAUCAUUUUUGAAGCUUUGGUGAGAUUGUGAUGGACAGUCAGUUUUUGCUUCUCUCUCCUGCACCUUAGUUGGGUCUGCUCAGCUCAGAGACUGAUGGGUAGUGCUUGUUGAGUUUGGAGGCCUGUAGGAAAGCCGAGGGGGCCAUUUGCUGGCGCAAGGGAGAGGGCUGCAAGGAUGGCCCCAGGCCUCCUGCCUCUCCUUUCCCUCUUCCCUCUUCUGGGCCAGGUGAGAAUUCCUUGUCUUGGAAUCUUGGGCCAGACAUGGCACCACAUCUGCCUGUCAUUCUCCUCCUGGGCUCAGCUGUCUUUUCCCAGGUCCUUCCUUGCCAGGCCCUGUGCUUGGCCCAAGGAGGCGCCUUCUCACCUUGUAGCCCGGCAGCCCUUCUGUGAGAGAGAGCUUGCCAGGGCCGGUAGCUCCCAGGGGUAGAGCCAGGCUAUAUGCUCCUGACUCUGACCCAGGGGCCAGACUGUAACCUGCUGUGCCUUCUGGGGUUCAGAGCCACUGGGGCCAGGAGCAGAGUUGGUGCUUUGCUGGGCCCACCUCAGCUGCCCCUCCUGCCUGCCCCCCAGUCUGCUGGUCCCUGGGGGAGCAGAACAGGAGUCCUCUUGCCUUCCCACCCUCCUGCCCAAGCCUGCCUCCUGGGCAGUAUUGUUCCCAGAGGAAGUGUCCAGUGUAAAUAGAGCAGCGGGCAGGCUGGUGGCGGGAAGGAGAUGAAAGGGGCAGUGACAGGGCCGGGGACUGAUGGCUUCCUUCCAUUGAGGCCUGGCCACGCCGUUUAUAUUUUAGGGAAGAAAGUCAGGGGAAUGUUUACAUGGACAGGAGUCUGGGGUCAGACCAUGGGGGUGGGUAGUCUGGAGGUCCCAGGGCCUUUGAUGGAGGGGCCAGCAGCAAGGCCCCACGGGGUGGGCCGGAAGGCACAGUUCAUACAUGCCCUCCUCCUGCCAUCCCGGCCUUGCACACAUUGGCACUGACAACCAUCAGCCCUGCCUCUGCCUCUUGCCCGUGUCCCGGGCCCAGGUGCCGUCUCCACCUCCACCCUUGGGACCAAAGUAGAGUCAGAGGGAGGGCAACAUCUGGAAUGCAGGUGGGCUGGGUCAGAACAGCAGCUGGAGGGCAGGUGUAGAGGGAGUCAGCAGGAGCAAAGGGGCCUGGGGGCUGGAGGUGGGCCCGGUGCACAGCUGCAUCACAGCUGGUGGGGGCCCAGGCUGGGACUGAAGGGGCACAUGGCUGAGAUCGGGAGAAGGUGGGCUGGGUUGGGUGAGCCGAAGUUCAGGGAGGCUCCAGGAUGGGUGGGAGCCCUGGGAGGGGGUGUCACUAGCAGCAAGUGCAGCCUUGGGAGCUUCUGCUUCCCUCUUCCUUGGGAUAAAUAUUUAUAGAUUCAUUUGCCGUCUGCCAUACACACUUGGCUGCUUACCUCUUGGUAAAAAUAGAGCAGGCUCCUCACUCCCGCUCUUUUCUUCCCCGUCCAGGGCAAGGGACAAGGAGGACCAGGUGAGGCUGCUCCCCCUGAGGCUGUUGGAGGAAAUGUGGUGUCACAGACCCUGCUGGCCUGCCGAGCAGUUGAACUGGGUGGGGUUGUGAUUAGGGGCCCUGAAGCUGAACUUUGAGAGGAACCUCAUGUGCAUACAUAGGGAUUUGGGUGCAAGCGGCACAGACUUGGAGCUGUGGACAAACAUGAGUUUGUGGGCAUCUGGCUUGGCCAGGGUCCAAGACCCUGGAGCCAGAGCCACAGGACUGGGAACUGGCUGAGCAGACCUUUCUCUGACAGUCCCCAAGCAAGGCCACACAUUCAGCAGCUGGUGAUAAGGCAGGAUCUGCAGCCACAGGGCAUGUAUAUAUCAAGGGACUAUUAUUUGUGCAUAAAAAUCAGGUCGACCUGUGGGAUGAGGCCCUUGGGCAGACACAGGUGUGGCUUCUUUGUGGGCUCUCCAGGAUGUGGAUUUCAUGGUGGGCUUUUGUUUUGUUUUGGUACCAGGGAUUAAACCCAGGAGCACUUAACCACUGAGCCACAUCCCUAGCUCCUUUUUAUAUUUUAUUUAGAGAUAGGGUCUCACUGAGUUGCUUGGGACCUUGCUAAAGUUGCUGGUUUUGAACUUGCAAUCCUCUUGCCUCAGCCUCCCAAGCUGCCGGGAUUUCAGGCACGCACCACCACUCCUGGCUCAUGGUGUUUGAUCCAUGGAGCUAAGGCACAAAGCCCUCCUGCCCCCCAGCCUUCAGACCUAUAUGAGACAUGCCCAUUUCCCUGGCUAAGGCCUGGGGAAGCACUCUUUGACAGGGACCUCCCUAUGCACAAAUUGAGUAUGAACUGAGACGGUCACAUGGCCACUCCCCUGAUCCACCAUGGGGUGUGGCACACGGCAGUACACUAGAUGGAUGGAUGGCUAGACAGAUGUGUGGCAUCAUUCGUGCAUAUAUCCAGCCUUGUAGGCCUUCCUGGCCACCUGCCCUCAGGACCCUCUGUCCCCUGACAAGGUUUGGUUUCUAGCUGCCUAUGUGCUGUGACGUCGGGAAUCAGAAAUUAAGCCCUUUAGCUGCAGUUUCUGGGCUUUCCAUGAGGGACCUAAGCAAUCCAAGCCUGUCCCAGCUGGGGCUCCUAGGCUAGGAAGUGCACUUCUCAGCUCCGGCCAGACCUUCCCAGGAUGUAGGAGUGGGCCACAGGAAUUGGAGGAGGAGGAGUGUGGUGCUGGGAUGGAGACGUAGGAGGGGCUGCGAGGAUCUCUGUGGAACAGCAAUAGGAAAUGGCCAGAGGCCCAGUGAGGCUGGAAAGAAGGGCCAGGAAGACCCUCACAGGGCAGGUGACUGAGGAAAAACAGAGGCUUUUUUUGGGGGGGGGUCAGGGUGGAGGUGGGGGGGCGGUGGUCCUGAGUAGCUGGGAGCCAAGGAGAAGAGCUCCGCUGUCCUGAGAGCAGACGCUGGAGUUGGUGAGGCCUAAGGACUGGGCCUGGCAGAGGUGCUGCCAGGGGAUAAGAUGCUCCGGUGGGGACAGUGCCAGCCAGGGUAAAAGGUUGACACAGGCUAGAAGCUGGUUGUCAGCUGACUCCUCCCCAGGGACCUGUGGUGAGGUAGAGCCAGGCCACCAGCAGCACAGUGCUUCCCUUGCCACCUUCCCUCACCACCAGCCCCUCAUCUGCCUGUGCUUGGGGUUCUGCAUGACACAAGUCAUACCACCUCUCAGGAGCUAUUUAGGGCCAAACAAGCCUAGAAAAUGCUUCCAGGAACCAGGUGCUAGGAAGAAGACUUGUAUUUGAAGAGCCUUUCUUUCAUCCACUUUGAACCACCUACUCCGUGCCAGGCACUGUGCAGGCUCUGGGGAUGGAGCGACUGGCUAGCCCAGCCCCCGAGCUCCCAGUCCAGAGGGGAGAUGAGCAGUGCUAGGCCACCUCAGGACAGCAUGAUGGAUCUGUGAUCACCUGGGGAGACUGACUUGGGGGUGCAGGGUCGUUCAGGGGUAGCUGUGCUUGGCAUGUGGCCCCUCAUCUCUGUGUCCCUCCAUCCCUACAGCUGAAGGCACCCGGUGCACUGACCCACCUGCAGGCAAACCGGCCAUGGCGGCCAAGCGCAAAGGCGGCCUCAAGCUCAAUGCCAUCUGUGCCAAGCUGAGUCGCCAGGUGGUGGUGGAGAAGGGAGCAGAGGCUGGCUCCCAGGCGGAGGACAGCCCGCUGAGGCCCCGGGACAAAGAGCGCAGUGGCCCUGAGUCUGGGGUGGCUCGGGCCCCACGCAGCGAAGAAGACAAGAGGCGGGCGGUGAUUGAGAAGUGGGUCAACGGGGAGUACAGUGAGGAACCGGCACCUGCACCCAUGCUGGGGCGGAUCACCCGCGAGGGCCUGGAGCUGCCUCCCGAGGGUGUCUACAUGGUCCAGCCCCAGGGCUGCAGCGAUGAGGAAGACCAUGCUGAAGAGCCCUCCAAGGAUGGCAGUGUCCCAGAGAAGGACUCAGAUGGGGCAGCCUCAAAGGACAACAGUAGCCCCGGCAUCAAGCAGGCUUCAGGUGGGUGUCUGGCCUUUAAGAGGCAGGUGGAGGCUGGGAAAGGGUGCUACACUGUGGGGUGACCCAGGAAGGAAGGUCCACGUGUCCAGGUGCCCACCUGCCUCCUCUUCAUUCCUGCCCCAAGCACCAGCAUCAUGUCCAGUGAGAACUCUGGGGGUGGGGGCAGAGUAAAGGGACAGAGAAGGCAGCUUUCCAGGAGUGUGAGGGGGCAGGGGGGAUUGCCCAGCAUACAGUGGGUCCUUAAAAAACAACCGGUGGAGGGACAGAUGGACGGAUGGCCAGACACACAGAGGAAUGGACAGAUGGUGGGUGGGUGGGAAUCAAUAGGAAUGAGCCUUCUGGGGGACCAAGGUCCCUGGCCACCAGUGUGGGGAGCAGUGGUUGUGGUGGGGCAGCAACAUGAACCCCAUGAGCUGCCAGCUGCAAGCACUCUCACUCCGAGAGACUUCUCUGAGGAUCCUAGAAAAGGCUUGGUCCCCUGCCUGUGCCCCAGCAUUCUCCUUCCCUACGUCACUGCCCCUGGCCCUCCUAGGUGGGAACUCAGGCCCAUGAGGCUGGCCAGGCCCAGCCAGAAGAUCCCCUUACACCCAGCCACCCCGACAUGGUCCUCUCGCUGACCUCUUCCCAUGAGAUGGCCAAGGCCUGGCUUCUCUAGUGCCUACGUGUCCUUGGGACUUAGAGCAGUCUCCAGCUCUUUCUGCUCAGGAGAGGACCAGCCUGGGGUUUAUGGCAGGAGAGGGGCCCCCGCUAGAACUAGGUCUGGCCUUUACUCUCGCCCCAGCCUCCUCCCAGGUUGGUGCCUGGAGCUGCACGCCUCCCCUGCCUCUCCCCUGUCCCUGUCCCCCCUGCGGCGAGGGGCGCAUCUCCUCCCUGUGCGGGGAGCCCUGCACAGCCACAUAAUUAUGCAUAUAAGAUAUAAACAGAGCUGUUUAAUUAUCCUUCGCCACAUCAGUGACAGAGUAAUUAACAAACAUUGCAAGAUCAAUGAGGAAGAGUGUGACCUUCAGUUUCCUCUGAUAGGAAAAGCCCUUGCCGUUGCCAGACACAAGGUGAUUGUGCUAGGCCUGAGGAGAGGGAAGGGACAGCAGCCCUUGCUGCUGUCCCUCUGACGCUGUCUACGCUCAGCUCUGCCCACAGUGGAGGGGCUAGAGGAGGCCUCACCUCCUGAAUCCUCCCUUCCUGGAGAGAGGAGCUGGAAAGGCAGGAGGCAGGGAUCGAACUGCCCUGCGCCUCGUGGCCUGAGCUCUCCUUCCCUCAGCCCCAGGUGGCUAGGGAGCCAGUGGAGCCCCAGCUACCUUCCAUGGCCUUGGCUCCCCAGGCCAAGAAGACUUCUCUGGGCCUGGGGGUCAGGAAUGCAGGGCUCUGGAACUGCCUCUAGGACCCUGCCUGGCCCCCUCCCUGCUCCAAGUUGCCUGCCCUUCAGAGCCUUCGGUUUCCCUGCCAUAUAUAGUGAGGGUUCAGCUGCCUCCAGCUAUUUUUAGCCCCUUUCCCUGGUCCCUGAGCCACUGUAUCCAGCAGCCAGAGCCCACUCCUCCCAGGCCAGGCCCCCAACCUCUGUGGCUGGUGUUCCAGACUGUGGCUGACCCACCUGCCCUGCCAGGGGAACAGCUGUCUGAGGGUUCCUUGAGUCACUCUGCCCAGCCUGGGUGCCAGGGAGCUGCCUGUGACCCUCCCCUCCUUAGCUAGUGGGCUCCCAGUCCUCCCCAGAAGCUGAGAACCCCUCCUUCCUCAUUCUGCUGGGUUUUCUCUCCUGCCAGGCCCUGCCCGCUCUGCUCCUUUGGCCUCCCUCUGCCCCUUCCACUUGUGCUCAGAGCACCUCAGGCCUAGCAGGUUUGGGUGGGGUUGGGCGGAAUCCCCGCUGGCAUGCCUUCCUUAAGCUGUACUGUCAGGACCCACAGUCUGGGUCCUGCUACUCUGAGUGUGCCCAGGUGGGCAGGCUCAAGCUGAGUAGAGAACACUGUGUCCCCUGGACUGUGUGUCUCACUUGUCAGUAUGUGCCCAACCCUGAUGGAGGGCGCAACCUGCCGUAAGUGGAAGAAUGAGCACCCUCUCACACAUUGGAGACCACCUGUCUGCCAGGCCGAAAGGCUGUGUGUAGAAGGCACAUUAGAAGGGGCCAUGUUGGCCUAAGACUUGUCCCGGGGAGCUGGCUGUAUCUGCAGAGUUAGGAAAAGCAGCUACGAACGUGAGCUUGUGAGUCCAUGUGUGUGAGCACAUGUGUGAGUGUGGUGUGUGCAUGUGUGUGAACAUGAGCCUGCAUGUGGUGUGAACAUGGGGGAGGGAGAGUGUACGUGUCACUGUGGGGAGGUCCCUCCAGGGUUCAGUGUGCCCUAGGUGCAGACAGUGGGGAGGAUGGAUGUGCCCAGCCCAGGCCUGCUGCCCUGGGCCUACAGUGCUGGCUGCUCCCACCUGCCCUGGUCCUUGCUCUCCCAGGUGACCCACCUUGGUGUGCUCCAUGUGGUAAAUCUUGGCUGGAGGAAGGGCCCUACAUGAGUCUGUGUGGGCACGUUGGCACAGUCCCUGCCCUGCUCAGUUCUGUGGUUGGGGGGAGGCUGAGAAGCCAGGUCAUGAGGCAUCAUGGGGCAAGGCCCUCAUCAGCCAACGAGAUCCAUUUAUGGGGCUCAGGGCAGUUCACCAUGCCAGGUUCACCCCAACCCCACCCAGAGCAUCUCUCUCAGCUCCUGGGAUCUCUCCUGACUGUCCAGUCACCACCCACAUCCCUACCUGUCCCUGUGCCUGUAACUACUGCCCCCACCUCAGGAGGCAGGUUGGGAUUUGGCCUUCCAGUAAGAUGACUUCUCUUUCAUAUUAGGCCAAGGCGAGAGAGCGGAGACAUUUAUGAAACUUUGUUUAAUGUACUGAAAAGCCAUCGGCCAGAACAUUUAGGAAAUUGAUUUUCCUGGCAUUGAUGAACUCGUUUUAUUUUACCCCAGUAUUAAUUACUUUUUUUUAAAACAAAUUAAUUUAAGAGUCGUAAAACCUAACAAGUGGGCCGAAUGUCCAUAGAUCAUGUCCUGCUCUGCCCCUCCCCACACAGGCCCCUCUCUGUGGUGGGGGCUCGCAGUGGGGGGCCUCUUGGCCCUUCCUCCCCUGAUUCCUCCCAGAGGUGACCACCCCCUCCUCCUUGUAGGAGAGGCCUCCUCGCUAAGGGACUAUGCGGCCUCCACCAUGACCGAGUUCCUGGGCAUGUUUGGCUAUGAUGACCAGAACACGAGGGAUGAACUGGCCAGGAAGAUUAGCUUCGAGAAGCUGCAUGCGGGCUCCCCCCCUGAGGCGACCCCCUCUUCCAUGUUACCCACCUCUGAGGAAAGCCUCAGCAAGCGGGCACGCUUCUCCAAGUAUGAGGAGUACAUCCGCAAGCUCAAGGCCGGCGAGCAGCUCUCUUGGCCAGCCCAUGGCACCAAGGCUGAGGAGCGGGCAGGCAAGGAGAUGGUGGGCCCUCUGCCUGGCCUGCGGCUGCCCAGCAACACCACCCACCUGGAGACCAAGGCCACCAUCUUGCCCCUGCCAUCACACAGCAGUGUCCAAAUGCAGAACCUGGUGGCCCGGGCCUCCAAGUAUGAUUUUUUCAUUCAAAAACUGAAGACCAGUGAGAACCUGCGCCCUCAGAAUGGGAGUGCCUACAAGAAGCCGUCCAAGUAUGACCUGGAGAACGUCAAGUACCUGCACCUCUUCAAACCCGGGGAGGGCAGCCCCGACAUGGGCGGGGCCAUUGCCUUCAAGACAGGCAAGGUGGGGCGCCCCUCCAAGUAUGACGUCCGGGGCAUCCAGAAGCCAGGCCCCGCCAAGGUUCCGCCCACCCCCAGCCUGGCUCCUGCACCCCUCGCCAGUGUGCCCACUGCUCCCAGUGCCCCCGGGCCGGGGCCCGAGCCACCUGCCUCCCUGUCCUUCAAUACUCCCGAGUACCUGAAGUCUACCUUCUCCAAAACAGACUCCAUCACCACGGGGACCGUCUCCACUGUCAAGUAAGGCACUCCCCAUCCCACUGUACCCCAAGCCCUGAGGCAGGACACCCACUCGUACGCCCAGACCUGGGCUCAGUCGACUGUCAUGCUCAUGCUCACACACGCAGCGUGCUCACUCACUGCGUGCUCACUCCGGGGGGCCCUUCCAGCUCGUGCACGGUUCAUGGCCCUGCACCUUCACCCCUUGCUGCAGAGCCUCACAUGCUCACACAGCAGGCGCUGGUGUGCUGGUGUGCACUGCGUACCUGCUGACGUGAGUGCCAGCGAGUGCCAUAACCCCUGGUUGCCACCACUGGCUUCCUUUGCCUGCUGCCAUCAGAGCUGUGGUCGGCUGAGAAAGCCCCAUCUGGGGGUGAGGCUGCUGGGGUUUCUGCAGUGGCCCUGGUGCCUGGGUUCAGAGCCUCCUUGGAGGAGGCAGAAAGAAGAAGGCCUUUUCAGCCUUAAUUCAGGGACAGGGCACUGGCCCUGCCAGUAAUAUGGUGGGUGCCUGAGGCUGAACAAGACCCAUCCCAAAGCCCUUAUCUGCACUCCACCCUGGUAGCUGUGAACCCAGGCAGAUGCAGGCAGUGCCCCCUGACUUGAGGCUAUGUGCUGCCCUUCCUUCCCCUUUUCCUCCCUGGGAUGCCUGAUGCUUCUCAGCCCUCACCUUUUGAUUCUCCCUCUGUGCCGGGGGGGUCAGGCCCUGGCUCCAGGGACCUUCCACCCAGACAGACUCUAGGCCCUGCCUGCCUGGGGUGGCCCAGCCCUCCUUAGCUGGGCUAAUUGAACCUCUGCCAGGCUUCUGCCAAGGGACUAUCUUAGUCCUACCCGUGUGCCUCGGAACUCUCAGCCAAGGCAAGAAAGGCGAGAGCCAGGGCAGGGAGCUCCCCACCAGCUCUUGGGCCUGCGGCUGAUCGGCUGUGUCCCGUGUGUCUCACCAGGAACGGAUUGCCCACAGAUAAACCAGCUGUCACCGAAGAUGUAAACAUUUACCAGAAAUAUAUUGCCAGGUAGGCCCCUGGGGAGGAGACUAUGUGGAGAGAAGGUGGGGGGCCAGGAAUGCCCAGGGACUGUGGGACCAUCCCUGCACUCUCUUACCACUAGGGCCAAGACUGUCUCCUCCCAACCUCCACCUGCUUCUUUCCCUAAACUCCCCAUGGAAGCUGUCCCAUGAGCCCAGCUCAGACCUGCCUCUUUGCUGUGGUCCAGGCCACAUGAUCCUUAAGCAGCUUCUACCUCCAGGGCCAGGGUGUGAGAAGGAGCCCACAGCAAGGCUCGGCCAUAGAUGAGUUCAGGGUCCCCCUCCACAGCUGGCCUCCGUCGGGCCUUCACUGUGGACCCCAGGUGGAAUGCAGACCACCAUAAUUGUCAGUUUCGGGCAGGGGUGUGGCUCCCUGGGCUGCCCAGGUAAGGCCUCACACCACCUGACUCCAGAUCCAUCCCCUCCAUCCCAAAGGCAGCGGGAUUGGCAGCAAAUUCCCCUCCAUCAGGCCCUCACAGCUGCUGCCUGAUGAGGCGGCACAUGGUGGGGGCUGUGCCCUGGCGGCAUAGUUCUGGGCUCUUCCAGGUCCCUCCCAUCCUCUCUGCCUCUCCUGUCCCAGUGUCUUUCCCCCUUUGCUCUCUUUGGUCUUCUCUUUAUUACUGUUGCUAUCAUUAUUAUUAGUGCCUCAGCAGAUGGCCCUGUUGGCAACUUCAGCUUAAAUAUUUAUUUGCAAGUGGUCCCCCCAUACAUGGCAUGGGUUUCUCUCCACUCCUGCAAUCACGUCAUCCACAGAGGGGCACAGGCAGGCCGAGGAAACAUCUUCCCUGCCACUGUCACGGUUUGCUCUCCCAGGGCUGGCCCUCACCAAGACUGUAAGAGCCACACCCGGCAGUGUCAGGUCUGGAGAGCGACUGGGGUUUCCUGGAGGCAGGCAGCAUGCAGGCAGCACGGGGCUCCUAGCUGUGCACUUGGCUGGAGAGCGAGCUCCCUGCCACAGGAAGCCAAACAGAUGCUGUGCUUUAAAAAUUCAUAACUCUGGACUAUUUCAAGUGUCAGGAAAAGCCCAGAACAGAGAGAGCCCUUUAACACCUCACAGCAACAGAGCCCCAGUUCACCAGCCAGGGCCUCCUCCCUGGACAGAGCUGGGCAUAGUGUUGGUCAGGCAGCUAACUGUAGGAAAGGCAGUUGUGGGGACUUCAGGUCUCCUCCUCACCUCCCUGGUCUGUGUCUACUCUGGCUGUGGCUUGUGGCCUGCCCUAGCUUCUUCCUCCCCACCUGGGUGCCAGGCUUCUACUUCACCUGGCACUCACUACCUGGAAGAUGCUGGCAAGCAUGCAGCUUGAGGAAUCUGGGAUUCCUGACAGGCCUAGCCACUGGCCCUGGCAUUCCCAAACCUCUUCCACUUCACCACUGUCCCCCCAUAUCCCCAGCCAGGCCCACAGAAACCCAGUAGCACAUCUCUAGAACCUGGGCAGAGAUGGCUUUAGGCCCUGGAAGAGUCCUCAUGGGGCCUGGCACCCAGAAAGGGGCCUGACCCGACCCCUCUUCUCUUCAGGUUUUCAGGCAGUCAGCACUGUGGCCACAUCCACUGUGCCUACCAGUACCGAGAGCACUACCACUGCCUGGACCCUGAGUGCAACUACCAGGUACGAGAUGCACCACUGCACAGCACAGCGGCUCUGGCUAGAAGUGAGGCACCAGGUGCUUAGUACUCCAUGGGUCACCUGAACUUAACUUGGUGGGCAGAGAGUACGGACCCACUGCCAGCCUGUGCCACUAGUAGGUUCUGCAGCCAUUGGCAUCCUGGUGGUGAUGAUGCCCAUGCAGCUUCGCUGGGAAUCCAGUGUGGACCAAGGCCCAUUCCAGAUGGCCUGUGUACCGCAGCUAGCUAACUCUUCAAGGGGCCUUCUAAGGUCGGCAUCACUGCCCCACUUCAAAACGGAAAUUGAGGUUCAGAUAGAAUGCCAUUAUGUAAAGACCACGACUUGCAAAUGCAGAACUAUCAAAGAGGUGGCAUUGACAGUGUGCAUAGGCUGCUCCUUCGGUCUCACCGGGUGUCUCACCUGGCUUUGCUCACAGGUGCAUUGGGCAGAAUGUACUGUCACCUGUCAGAGCCCUUGCCCUGAGGGAGCACCCUGUUCAUCCUCUGCUUGGGCUGUGGCUGUUGGGAGGCUGGGGAGAGGCCAGGGGAGGGUCUAUGGUUUCUGGAUUGUUGGAAUCCCUGCUGCUGAGGGAAUUGGCUGGGCAGUCUGUGCUGUCCUGACCACAAGUGGGGUUAGGUUUAUGAGGUGACCUGAGGGCCCUGAGGCCGGCCCCUGGCCCAGGCUGUCUUGGCAUACGGGUGGGGAUGAGGGCUCCUGCCAGCUUGGUACUCUUCCUGGCAGAGGUUCACGAGUAAGCAGGACGUGAUCCGGCACUACAACAUGCACAAGAAGCGGGACAACUCCCUGCAGCACGGCUUCAUGCGCUUCAGCCCCCUGGACGACUGCAGCGUCUACUACCACGGCUGCCACCUCAACGGGAAGAGCACCCACUACCACUGCAUGCAGGUGCCCGCCUCCCCGUCCUCGCCCUGAAGCCCCCCAGCUCAGGCCUUCCUCUAACCCCGACCACAGCAGCCAUGGGCAGGGUCUCUGGGUGCAGGGUGGAGGUAGCUGGUGAGCCAAGAGUCACUGGGCAUGCUGAGGGAGGCUCUGGGGGAGUGGGGAGCAGAAUCUGGUGGCCGAGGCGGGGCCAUCCCCGUGGCCAUACUUGGUGUGGGGGAAAUUCAGUGAGCUGUUUAUACAGACCGACAUUUUUCAGGCUUUAACACCAAGAGCGGCAUUGCAAAUGAUUCCUGAGGAGGUUUUUGUUUAAUUCUUUGUUUUAAUGCCACACUGAGUCUGGGCUUUUUCAAGGUGUCAGGCCCAGGAGGAGCGACUUUGGGUUGCAAAUAGCAGCCUCCUUGCCUCCCCCAUAUUUGUCGAGGGUUGUUAUGGCCUCUGGGGAACAACCUGGGUGUGAGGAGGGGGGCCACCCUGGGCCUGAGACGGUGCAGGCACUGGCACAGCCCAGCCUUUGAGGGUGCUCAGAGGCCACUGGUUUUUACUCAAUAUGGCAACAUUGUCUGCCUGGCCCAGUGCGGGGGGAGGGGCCAUGCCCAGAAAUCAUCCACUAAGCAAGUCCCUGAGCUAAGGUGACCUCCAGGACACAGCCCCUGUCAACUCUGGGGACUGUAGAGGUAGGGCCACAGAUGGGGAUAUAAAACCCAGCAUCUGAAGAGCAUGGCUCCCUCGCCUGGGCCCGAAGCCGCGUGGUCUGAAGACAGCCUGGCCCUCAGGCAGGUUCCGGUUGCUCCCUGGGCGGGGUGGGGGGGUGGUGGUUGGAGGCUUUAUGCCUCGGCCCAGGCACACCUGGGGAGUUUGAGGAUAGAGGUGUCAGCUGUCCCGAGAGGAGACCUGUGCCCAGCCGCCCUCUGACCUUGGCCCAGCUGUGCCAGGACUCAGAUGGCUGCCCGCCAUCCUGGCUGCAGGUGGGCUGCAACAAGGUGUACACGAGCACGUCCGACGUGAUGACCCAUGAGAACUUCCACAAGAAGAACACCCAGCUCAUCAACGAUGGCUUCCAGCGCUUCCGAGCCACCGAGGACUGCGGCACGGCGGACUGCCAGUUCUACGGACAGAAGACCACGCACUUCCACUGCAGGUGAGCCAGCUGUCCACCGGCACCCCAGGCUGGAGGAGGGGCAGGGGAUAGCUUGCUUAAGGCCCUGGUUUGGUGUCCAGCCUGGGUUUUCUGUCACGGGGACUGCCCCCUGUGUGCCCCAUGACAGACCCCCAAUGUCCCAUCCAGGCGUCCUGGCUGCACGUUCACCUUCAAGAACAAGUGUGACAUCGAGAAGCACAAGAGCUACCACAUCAAGGACGACGCCUACGCCAAGGACGGGUUCAAGAAGUUCUACAAGUACGAGGAGUGCAGGUACGAGGGCUGCGUGUACAGCAAGGCCACCAACCACUUCCACUGCAUCCGCGCCGGCUGCGGCUUCACCUUCACCUCCACCAGCCAGAUGACCUCGCACAAGCGCAAGCACGAGCGCCGGCAUGUCCGCUCCUCGGGCGUGCUGGGGCUGCCACCCUCGCUGCUGGGCGCCAAGGACACGGAGCCCGAGGAGUCUAGCAACGACGACCUGGUGGACUUCUCUGCCCUGAGCAGCAAGAACUCCAGCCUGAGCGCCUCCCCCACCAGCCAACAGUCCUCUGCGUCCCUGGCCACUGCCGCUGCCACCACCGAGGGCACGCCCAGUGCCACCAAGCCUCCUAGCAGCAAGAUCCAGGGGCUGAUGCCCCAGGGCCUGCCAGGCUCCAUCCCCCUGGCACUGGCCCUCUCCAACUCGGGCCUGCCCACCACCGCACCGUACUUCCCCCUUCUUCCUGGCCGUGGGAGCACCUCCCUGCCUGUGGGUGCCCCUGGCCUCCUGGGUGCCAUGUCAUCUGGGGCAGGUGCCUCAGCAACCCCCGACACACCUACCUUGGUGGCUUCGGGAGCUGGAGAUUCGGCCCUGGCGACUGCCACCUCUGUCCCGGUGCCCCCUGCCUCCAUCAUGGAGAGAAUCUCUGCGAGCAAGGGCCUCAUCUCACCCAUGAUGGCCAGAUUGGCCGCAGCUGCCCUCAAGCCCUCUGCCACCUUUGACCCAGGUGAGCAGGCCAGGCCCUGCCCAGGAAGCAAGCACCUUCUGGGUCCCAGAGGCUCCAUCCCUGCACUCCUGUUGCAGAGCAGAGUAGGGUGGUGUGGGGGAGCCGUCUGUCUGAUCUCCACCCUCCAGUCUUGCACCAAGCAGUGGCCCCUCUCUGCCUGGUCUCUGCCUCCCUCCUGUGUAUUUCCUCCUCAGAGCCCCACCUGGGCCCCUGCCCAGGGAGUUCUCGCCUGUUUCUCCUGAGGCGGGAACAGUAGGCCCUCCCUCCUGGGAUCCCCUGCAUUCUGUUGGCUCGCUGUGUUCUCACCUCCCACAUCACAGAUGAGUCCCUGAGGAGAGCUGUCCCAGGCCCCCUUCUCCUCUUGAGUCUCCUCCAGAUGACCUGGAGGGGGACAGGUCCAACACAGUGGCAGGGUGACUGCACCUCAUACCUGGACAGCCCUCCAGGCCGAGGGACACCUCUGCAGCUUUCCCCCAGCAGAACUUACACCCCACGCUCUUCAGCAUGGCAGCCACUAGCCAGGUGGCUGUGGAGUGCCCAGCUGGUCAGAGUGAAGAGGCACUGGGUUGCAGUGUGACUCAUUUAAGCAGGCGCACUGGCCAGUGCUCCCUGAUGGACAGUGUGGCCUGCAGCCAAGAGUGGCUUCUUCUGGUCUGGCACUGGCUUGCUACAGGGUGGCCCCCUCCUUCCUCCUUUUUCCUUGCUUCCUUCUUUCUCCUGGUUUCCCUGGCUCCUCUCCCUUUGCUUCCCCAUCUGGGAAUUUGUCUUAGUUGAGCCCUUGAGAAGUGUUCAGCUCCGUCCAGGAGGUGGCUCAUUCAUUCACUCAACAACCCUUGGUGCUUGCUGGGUGCCUGCCGAGGGCUACCACUGAGUGGGUGCUGGGGACACACAGGCAGGAGGAAGUGGAAGCCAGCCCCGUCCUGUGGUGCUGAUGGAGCAGUGGGGUGGCCCGUCCCCAUACACAGCUGAAAGUGACAAAGUUGAGACGGUCCUCAGCACCUUGGCUGCCAGGUCCGGAUACUCUGCUCCCAUUUGAGACCAUCUUGGAACCGGCCAGGACAGACAGAGGGUCCCUUCGUCCCAGCUUGGGGCUCUGCCCACACCUCCUUGAGAGUUCUAGCCCUGGAGGAUAGGGAGCCGGGCCCGUUUUCCUGUGACUGGGGGUAAAUGACUUCAGGAGCUGCUGGGGUGUGGGCUUAUGAAGGCUGAGAACCCUUUCAGGUCCCUGGUGGGGCACUCAGAUCCCAGGGGGCAGUUUAGAGGCCCCACCUUCCACUCCCUGGCCACAACCCCAACCAAGAACUGAGCCCUCCAAGGCCACCCUGGGCUCAGUGGCCAAGCUGUCAAGGACUUUCUUUUUCCUACAAAAGUCUCCUUCCCCUCCCCCGCAAAAGAAAGGUCAGGCGCAGGGGAGGGAGCCAUUUUCCUGUAUUUUUAAUAAAAUGCCACUUGCAGUCUGAAGCAGUCCUGUCAGCUGUAGCGCCUUGGGGCAGAUUAAUAUUUCAGUCACUUGGGGAUUGUGGAGCUGGGCCCAGUGGACACCUUCCUGUCAGCUUCUUUUGCCCCUGAUCUGCUCGGCUUCCUACAGCGUCUUCCCACCCAGCUUCCCCUCAGACCCAUCCUGGCCAGGCCUUGAGCCCCUGCCCUGGACAGCUUGACGGGCGAGGUCACACAGCUCGCUGAUUGGCCGUCAGCUCGGUAGCCCUGACACAGCAGAUGCCCUCUCUGGGCAUGCUCAGUGCAGGCAGGCUGUCUCCCCGGCAACAGCAGGCCAGGGACCAAGGAGGGGCCGCUCUGUCCAGAUCUGCCACUUUCCCUCAGCAUUAACAGAGUCUUUAAUAAAAGCUUAAACGGCAGCCCCAGAAAUCGACUGUGACAGUUGGUGAGGAAAACGAAGGGCCCCUGCACCCGCCCCAGCCCCCUCCUCAGCCUCCCGCCCUUCUCCAGGAGGCCCUGAGCCAGGCCAACUUUGACAUAAUUUUGCAGUAAUUAUCACUUGAAGAAUUGCCACACAGGGGUAAGCGUCUCAAGCGAUCACGUCAGCAGGGAGAAUCGCUGACCACAGUGAGGCCUCCCCAGACCCCUGGCCUACCAGGCUACUGCCCUCCUUUUGUGGGGAAUAGGGUUUGUGCCCAUGUGAAUCCUGGGCCCCUCUGACCCCAUCUUCCCUCCCCUCUCCUGCAGGAAGCGGGCAGCAGGCCACCCCUGCCAGGUUCCCUCCAGCCCAGGUAAAGCUGGAGCCGGGUGAGAGCGCUGGCACCCCAGGCCCCCUUGAGGCCUCCCAGGACCGCAGUCUAGACCUGACUGUAAAGGAAUCCAGGUGAGGUGCUGCUGGAGAGAGAAGCCCUUGACAAGCACCCUGGGCUGGACCCUGGGGUUCAGCUCGCCCUCCUGUCCAGAGCUCACCUCCUGCCAGGCAGCUGCAGCAGGCAGGGCUGGGGGCGGGUAGGCCUCUGGGUUGGUCCCACGGACGUCGGAGCUGAAAGCCCCUUGGUUUGUGUGUUCUAGUAAUGAAUCAAAUGGCCACGCAGCCCCGGCAAAUUCAUCUCUUUUAUCCUCGCUUAUGAAUAAGGUAAGAACCAUCCAUCACACGCCUCCUGCUCCCCCACCCCAAGAAAUUAAAGCUGUGCUGGGGGGUGGGGGGGAUGUGUUUGUUUUUUAAUGUUUUCCCUCUAAUAAGAUGAGUUUGUACCAUUUAAAUUUUGAGGCCAUUUUUCAUCGACUAUAAUUUCAGAGCCACUGCUUACAAAUUAAUUUAAUGAACUGGCUGAAGAAAUAUAUGCCAGCCUCUGACACCUUUUUUUCCCUUCAGAUGGAGGGCUCCAAAAGCUUUUCCGGAGCCCUCUAACUUCUCUCACCCUUAGUUAUUAAUGUUAUUUAUUUAUUUUAUAUAUUUUUUGUUUGUUUAAAAAGGGGUCAGGGAGGGGGGACUAAAGUGGGAGCACAGCAUCAAUUUCCACUUUUCGGGUUGAGUAAUGGUCUCGGACGCCUUCCGGAGAGGUCGCUCUGGAAUAUUUAUUUUAAAUAAUGCAGGGUCUUUGUAAAUUAUACAUCAUCUCAAAUAUAUUUUUCCCCUUCACAUGAUAAACUUGACUGCAGCAAGAUUAAUUUGGUUACUGUACACAGUGAUGGGGCUGAAGAGGGAGCUGGCCCAGGCUGGACCUCGUGGGGUGGGUCCCAGCUGGGCACUUGGCAGGCAGGAGCCUGCUACCUCCUCUCCUCUCCUGCUUGCUCUCUUGCUCUCGUCACUCCUCUGGCCACUGCCCACUGCACGCCUUCUUCCUUCCUGGGGAGCCUGUGGGCUGACCCCCCUCCCCAGCAGCGAGCCUGUCUGCUCUCACCCCAUGAGUGUCCCUCCCUCCCCACACCUCCUUUGUGCACCUUCUCUUGUUCUCAAAGAAUUCAUAGGGGUUCCCCCCAUCCCUCCUCCUCCUGCACUUCCUUUGAAAAACCUUCUGGCAGGAAAAUAACCAGGGAGCCACGAAGUCUGGGGAAGAUGGGCCACAGUGCGCACCCUGAGUGGCGGCCUCAGCGAGAGCAGCGGCUCCAGCAGCACGGGAUUGCUUGGAGAGGCCCUGCGCCUUCAGGCCAGGCCCCCAGCUGUCCAGGCAGGGCCCUUCUCUAGCUGGAGCCCAGGGGGGGCCACAGAUUCCCUCCUCCCUGCCCGGAGUGCUCUGGUGGUCACAGAGCAGCAUGUCUGUCCUGAGGCUCCCAGAGCCGAGCUUGGCCACUGUCUUCACAGAUGUCUCAGGGCAACCCCAGCCUCGGCAGCCUGCUAAGCAUCAAGACAGAAGCAGAGGGGAGCCCUGCUGCAGAGUCCUCACCCUUCCUGGGCAAGGCUGCAAAGGCUGUGGUUCAGGAGAAGCUCUCAGAGCCCUGGAGAGUGUACCUACGCAGGUGAGGAGCUGCCUGAGGGCAGGGAGGGAGGGAGGGCUGGCAGUGGCCCCAGCAGCCUGCCUAGUGGCCAGCAGCAGCCCACCUCUAACUGGAGCCUCCUCCCUGCUGGCUCAUUUGGCUAGGUUUGGUACCAAGGACUUCUGCGACGCCCAGUGUGACUUCCUCCACAAGGCACACUUCCAUUGCGUGGUGGAGGAGUGUGGUGCACUCUUCAGCACCCUGGACGGGGCCAUCAAGCAUGCAAAGUGAGUGGGGCCCUGGGGGCCCUGUCAUCUCUCGCUCAGGGCUCUGCGGGGCUGGAUACCACACAGCCUGUUGCAAUUCCCACCAGACCACAGAGCGGCUGGCUCCUCAGGAGGGAAGUGCCCAAAGGAGGAUGGGCUUCCCGUCUUCCUUCCACACACUCAGCCCCCAGCCAGCUGUGUCCAGAGAGCCCUGCCUGGGCCCCACUCAAUACCCUAGCGCCAGCUGCUCCCAAGCCAGGACCUGUGGGGCUGGCAGCAUGCCCUAGGUGCCCCUGCAGAGUGGCCAGAGACUCAGUGUGGACCCAGGGGUAGAGACCCAGGGCAAAGGCCUUUCCCAUUCCACUGUGACAUCUUGAGUCCCUUUGACCCAGAACAGCAAAAUGAAUCUGUGAAUGCCAUGGAGUUUAAAAGCAGCGAGCCCGGCCACUACUUGUAACUGACUCAAAACCUGUAAGCCUUCAAGACAGAUCUCUGUGCCCUGAGCCCCACACCAGGCCUUUCUCACCACGUGGGCAUCUUGUCCCAGCCGCUGGCCUGCACAGGAGCCUACUGAAUAGUCAGAGCAAGUUUCGUGAGGCAGGGCCUACUCUCACACAUAUACCCAGGGAGGGGACCGCCUGGGCAGAGGCAGGGCACAGGUAGGAAGACAGAGUUAGGGCCAAGCCCAGAGCUAGGGCGCAGCAGUUGUCCUGAGGCUUCCUGUCUUGGUGGGAUCACGGAGAGCUUGCUGAGCAUGAGGUCCCUGUGCUGGGCCCUGGUCUUGUGAUGGGGUCACACCACACCUGCAGCUCCUGUGCACAGGCAGCCAGGGAGGGGCUGGGCUGCAGCGGCCUCUUAGCUCCUCACCUGAUGUGACCUCUCCUGCCCCUUCCAGCUUCCACUUCCGGACGGAGGGCGGAACAGUGAAAGGAAGCUCAGAGGCUUCCUUCCCGGCCUCUGUUGCUGAGACCAAACCUUCCUUGGCACCCUCACCCCCUCCGGCACCUCCUGGCACCACAGUCCCGGGGACCUGUCUGGAAGGACCUGCUCCCAGCCCGGCCUCGGUGCCCUCCACCCCCACCCUGCUCGCCUGGAAGCAGCUGGCUUCCACCAUACCCCAGAUGCCUCAGAUUCCCGCAUCAGUGCCUCACCUGCCCGCCUCACCCUUGGCGACGACUUCUCUAGAGAAUGCCAAGCCCCAGGUCAAACCCGGAUUCCUCCAGUUCCAGGAGAAGUGAGUCCCUCGAUGAGCCGGGCGCCCCGUCCCCAAGCGUCUUGGGAGUGGGUGUGGCAAGGGCAGGAGGAGGCCCUGUUCCUCACCGUGCAGAGUUAACACUGGAUGUCCCCACCCUCUGGGAAACGGCCUCUGGGCCACAUCCUUCUAGCCAAAGAUGCUGUGCUUGCGCCGCCACUCUGCCCAUCCCAAGCAGCCAGUGGGUGGUGGGUAGCAGCAGUAGUCCCCAGGACCAGUUGGGAUGGGCUGAGAGUGGAUUCUCAGGUCUCCUGGCCCAACAGGGAGGGUCUCCCUUGCUGGCCUCUUCAGUGGCUCGAACCUGCUGAGAUUGCAGGGCCAGGGAAGUCACAGGUGGGUGUGAUGGGCUAGGCCCCUCCCAGGCCUGCACUCCCUGCAUAGUGGCCUGAGUCUCGGGUGGAAGGGACCUUUCUCACUGAAUGGUGGUGGCUCCUUGCGGCGAGAACGGUGACUUUGUAUCGUAAUGUGUGCGGCUUCCUGUUCUCAAUAAAAGUAAUAAAUUGGAUUAUUUAUACCGCCUGAGUGGCAACUGUCCUCCCUCUCUGAGCACCUGGGGCUGGGCCCGUGAUUUGGAAGGGGACAGACUCCUCUCCGUCCCUCCCCCUCGCCCCCCCAGAAGUGGUGCCCUCCUAGUUUCCUGGUUGCUGUCAGAGCCCCCACCAGGGCUGCGCUCCUUGGCCAGUGCAGUGUUGCCUGCCAGUCAAAAGCUAGAGCCCCUCGUCCUCCCAUAGAUAGCCCCCUGCAGCAUGGGAAGCAGGGCUCCCAGGUAGGGGCCUGCUCCACUCCUCUGCUCUCCCAAGCAGGCCAACCAUAGGGGAUGGCCCAGUACUCCCCGCCCAUGCCCACCCAUCAUCCCUUACCACUCCCCUGGCUCCUAGGUCUCUGAGCAGGUGGGUAUCAUAGGCCUCAGAUGACCCUAGGGAGUGCCAUCAGCUGUGAGCCUCAGCAGGCCCUGACACACGUUCCCACUUACUGAGGUCCUUGGUAGCAGCACUCCUGGUAGGGCCACCCACCCAUCUGCAGCCUGUCAGUCAACCACAUCCAAAUCAGUGCCAUGCCAUGCCAGCCAGGCCCUUGAUGGCAUCCUGCCAGGGCUGGCAGCACCAUCCCUUAUUUUCAUUUCCAAGAAGUUAUUGCAGCCAUCCUUAUCUAUAAUCCCGAGGUGUGGCCGUGGAAACUACGUGUCCCAGCAUGCAACGCUCUGGGCACCCUGCAUAUUGCAAUCCCUGUGCACCAGGCAGAACUCCUAAAAGGAGGCAGGGAUGCAUGCUGGGAUCUGUAGUCUCUGGUUGAAUCGUCCUGCUAAGCAGGAGGGCAAUCUGGGGACAUUUCUCUUGAUUGUACCACUGGUGACAGAGGAGUGAACCCCAACACAGCACAGUCAGGACACCAGCAGGGAGGGCUUGGGAACACCAAUGACCUUCUGGGCUGUGGUUUCCUUGCAGCGACCCUUGCCUCGCGACAGACUGCAAGUACGCCAACAAGUUCCACUUCCACUGCCUCUUUGGGAACUGCAAGUAUGUCUGCAAGACCUCCGGCAAGGCUGAGUCUCACUGCCUGGACCACAUCAACCCCAACAAUAGCCUGGUGAACGUGCGAGACCAGUUUGCUUACUACUCCCUGCAGUGUCUCUGUCCCAACCAGGUCAGCGCAGCGGGCGGCCCAGCUGUGGGGGCAGGGGAGCCACAGGGCCUGGGACCAGCUCCUCCUGGCAGAGACUCUGCUUUUUGCACCCUUUUUAAGUUGGCUUCCACCAGACCCUGGAAAGGACACUGUCUGCCCCUAGGCCCCUGGAGGCCCCUGGGCUGGGGUCCAGAUUGGUACUAAGUUGGUAAGGUCUAUCAUUUUAGUCCUAACCCCCAGUGGCAACUAAACACUAUGCUGCUGCUGUGUACUUAAGAUCAUUCUUACCCAUCUUGAAAUUGGCUAUUUCCCUUUUCUCCAGAUGCAUAAAAUUUCUAAAUGGGCCCAUUGGAUAGAUAAAGAGAACUGUCCAUGCCCAGACAGGAAGAGCAGAUAAAAUUCACUUUAAAGGCCUAUCCCCAAGAUAGGGGCUACCUGAGGACUCAGAGCAGAGGUCUGGGUGUGUAGAAAAGACUGGCUGGAUAGAUUAGUGGUGCCUACCUAGGUAGGUCCAGCUAUGAAGGGAAGAUAACUGGGAUAGAUUAGUGAUGUCUGCUCUGGGUGGCAUUGAAGGAUGGCAAAAUAACUAAAUAGGAUGUUUAGUGAAAUGACAGAGGGACAUGUUGCUUUUUGACAUGUGAAAGUUCUUUACAAGAUUGCAUUUUCUGAUUCUGGGUGUGGAAGAACACAUGUGCCAAGGGCCUGCCACAGCCCAGAGUCCCAGUUCAGGCAGCAGCCCACACAAGUCCCCACCUGUCCUGAUCUUCCUGUGCUUCCCUGCAGCACUGUGAGUUCCGGAUGCGUGGACACUACCACUGCCUCCGGACUGGCUGCUACUUCGUCACCAACAUCACCACCAAGCUGCCCUGGCACAUAAAGAAGCAUGAGAAAGCUGAGCGGCGGGCAGCCAACGGAUUCAAAUACUUCACCAAGCGCGAGGAGUGCGGCAGGCUAGGUACUAAGCCAGGGUGGGUAGGGACUUCUAGCAGGUACAGGCCAGUUGUCAAAUUCACAAGGUGUCAAACCUGAAACAUCCCAGGGAAGAGGACGAGAGUCACUCUGGCCUCCUCCAUGCAAGCAGGAUGCCCUGGAGCCUCACUGCCGGCAGUCAUGGCUUAGCUUGAUUCUUUUCCCCUUUCCAGAGGGCAGGCAGGUGAGCUUCUCAGGGGUUUGGAAAUCACUCGCCCUGGGUUGCUUUCCAUAGCUUCAACUGUAGGGUUUUGUUUAAAAUGUGCCAUGGUGUGUUCGUUCAUUCAGCAGUAAUUUACUGAAAAACAACUGUGUGCCAGUGCUAUUGCAGGGACACGGGAGUGGUGACAGUGGCAGCAGCUAAGAGUUUUUGAGUGUCCGGUAUGUGCUGGCAUUGGACUUGGUGCUGGAAACCUGGCGAAGAUGUGUGGGCUCAGCUGGAGAAUCUGAUUGGCAGGAUACUCAGGAAGGAAGUAGCCAUGGGUCUGAGAAGAAGAGGUCACCCGCAGCCCUGAGCUUGGUGAUAGAUGCUGAGAUCUGAGCCCCACAGGGAACAGGGCCUCCUUCCGGGGAUGCCCAAUGGGAUUGGGGCUCUAGGGUCAGCAGGCAGAGAGGAAAGCCCACCCUCCUGCCUCAGGAUGGAGCCCCGUGUUCAUAAGCCUGUUGAUGAUGGGAAUCAUCGGGAAUAGACUGGGAUGGGAAUCUCCCUGGGAAUAGACUGGAAGCUGAAGGAAAGGCAGGAGAAGGUGUCAGCAUGGACACCUGGGCUGCGGGCUACAGGCCAGGCCGGCUGUGGCCUGUGGUCAUGGUUUCAGGGGCUGGUGGCAGAGGGAGGCUGCAGGCAGGCCCUUCCACAGAGGAAGGGAAAGAUACUCAUCAACUGCCAGAAAAGAAAGGAAACAAAUCUUUCCUUCAAGUAUUAAUUCAAAAAGGAUUCAUGGCCAGGAGAGGGCUGGUAACCAUGGUGACAGGUGUCAACACUCAGAAGUCCAUGUUGUCGCGGGGCUCAGUUUACAGAUGUCAGGGUAUUCUGAAGUUGCCGUUAUUUACUCAACUUUUGGUGUUUUUGGUGGUAGCUGGGGCCAAACAAAGCCGGGGGAUGAUAUAAGACACCUGGCCAGCUCGGUGCCAUGGUGACGGGCAGGCCUUCACCUGCCCUCAGCUGAUGCUGUUUUGGCCCCACCUGUUCUGUUUGUUCUCAGCCUGGAGCAAAGGAGAGACAUGGGGGCAGGGUGGAGGCUGGCUGCCACACCCACCAGCCCAGGUCCCCAGAGAAGGUGUUGGGGACAGGUGGCAUGCUGUGGACAGGGCCCACUAGGUUUCCUUCCCACAGUAUGUGGGCAGGGAGUGGGUUUGGACAGCCUUCGUAGCCUUGGACUUCCUGCAGGUGGCUGAUCGUAAGCUUUCCUUGGAGAAAUGCAGUUCAGGGUGCACAUGCCACUGGCCUUGUCGAUCACUCCCUGUGCCCAGAACAGUGUGCUCAACACACACUGGCUGUGAGCACUGGCUGGCUGGGGAGGCUUAUGCAGGUGGGGGCCGUGUCCACAGGCUGCAAGUACAACCAGGUGAACAGCCACUUCCACUGCAUCCGGGAGGGCUGCCAGUUCUCCUUCCUCCUGAAGCACCAGAUGACCUCCCACGCCCGGAAGCACAUGCGCAGGAUGCUCGGGAAGAACUUUGAUCGCGUGCCCCCCUCCCAGGUGAGUGCCUCAAGCAGGCCUGUGGGUGGCUCCACCAACCCCCCGGGAGGCUCUGCUGCCCCUAGCGAAGGCAGCAGGCAGCUCCUCAGGCACCCUGCUUCCUCCCAGGGCCCCCCAAGCCUGAUGGAUGCUGAGACAGAUGAGGGCAUGGACUACACCGGCUGCAGCCCGGGUGCCGCCUCCUCCGAGUCCUCUACCAUGGAUCGCAGCUGCUCCAGCACCCCCGUGGGCAACGAGAGCACAGCGGCAGGUGAGCGCAGGACCCCUGCCUCCAGCCCCGCUUUGCCGCGUCCAUCCUGGACACAAGGUUCACAGUGAGGUGGCCCUGAGGAGGACAGGCUGGUGUGCAGUGGACCAGCUGGUGUGUGGGAUGUGGGACACUGAGGCCACCUCCUACCAUCCUGCCACCUCCCCAGCACUCUGCCUUGUGCUUCAGUUUCCAGGAGAGGAGCCUGGGCCUGUCCUCCAGAGUUCCAGGAAGGCAGUACAGCCCAGCCCUCCGGCCUGCCCUGGCCCCCCUCAGGCCCUGGCCCCGCUCAGGCCCUGGCCCACUGCAGCCUGGGCCUGGGGUCCAAGAGAGGCGCCCGCCUGCCAGGCCCGCCCUGACCGCUCACAGCCGCCCUGCGGCCUCCCUCCUCUCGCUCCUCUGUCUGCUCCUCUGUCCAGUGUCUCCCACCUGCUCCACCAUUGGUUUCUCAUUUUGGUUCUUUUUGUUUGUUUGUUCUUUGUUUUGGUUCUUUUUUUUUUUUUUCUCUGCUUUUCUCCACCUUCUCCAGGCGGCCCGGCUCCUCCUCCUCCUCCUCUUCCUCCUCCUGCUGCCACUGGUGACGAGGCCACCCGUGGGGCCCCAUGGCCCCCCCUGACUCCACCCUUCCCGCCGGCUGCGCUCCGGCCGCCCCUCCCCCCCCUCCCAUGCCUCUUCUCUCCGUCCUGUCUCUCAUACUCUCUGCUCAGUGCCACUCUGGGAGCCAGUCGCGGCCUGGCCCACCCCAUCAGCAGCCCGCCCAGCUUCCCGCCUGUCACUGCCACUCCAACUCCAGUAAAAAGUGACGUCCCCCUAGUUCAGGACGCCGCAGGUAACUCGCACACACAUUCUCAGCAGUAUCUGUCACCCCACCCGAUCCUUGAGACUGUGGUCCAGGACCUGACCCUUUUCUGUGGCCAGCUCAGUCAAGGACAGGUGUUUUUGGUGGUAGCUGGGGCCAAACAAAGCUGCAUCCUGAUGGCCAAGCACUCCUGAGACCAGAAAGCCUGGCUCCUAUCCCAAAGACAGCUCCUUGUGACUCCUGCUCAGACCAGAGCAUUGCUGCCAGCCAUUUGCCCCUGCUCAGCAACUGGUCAGCCCAGAGUAGGCAUGCCAGAUUCCAGCUGGCUGCUCAGGGUGGCCUCACCUUGGGCCUGGGCAGAACAGAGCCUGUCCCUGUGGCUCUCAGGUGUUCAGCUUCCCACCCAGAUUCGAGGGUCUUGAUCUGGCCCCACCCCUCCCUUAAAGCUGAGCCAGGGGAAGAAACCUCUGGAGCCUCAGGCCUCGGGCUGUGCUCUGUGAUAGAAGCUCUUCCUGCCCCAACUCCAUAUCUGGAGUCCCACGGGGAGGGUCUGCUGGCCCCUCACCUUGCAGACGGCAUACCACCUUCCAUGCAUUGUCACCUCACAUUGUGCCUGAGCAUGGCUUUGUGCCAGGCCCCGGUGGCUGUGGCAGUAAGUACAUGGGUUCUGCCCAUUGAGAGCUGUCACCCUGUGACUUCAGACCCAAGAACACAUCAUCCCUGGUGGAUUUCCAGGCCUGAGGCUCUCCCAUGGCCCCUGCCUAGUGCCCCCACCCCAUUCCAGCCCUCAGUUUCUCUUCAUCUGCCAAGGGUGGGUGACUGGGCCUGUUCUCCAAAUCCGCAAGGCAGUAAUUUGGUGCACAGAGCGGUGGCCAGGCAUUCUGGCAGACUCAGAAGGGCCAUGGCCCUCGGCCAGCACAGGGAGCAGCCUGGAGGAUGUCCCCCUCUGGUGGGUCUGGGCCUUGGGUCCCUUAUUUCUGGGGAGUGCUGCCUCCCCCCUGUGUAGCCAGUGGGUGCCUUCUGAAAAGGGUGAGGAAGCAAGCCCUUGGCAGUGGGCUCCUAAGUCCUGGGAAGCAUUCUGGGCCAGCCUGGGCACUGAUUGGGUGCCUGUCCUGUAGCUAAGCCCUUGUCUAGAUCUGGCCCAGCGAGGAGACUCUGAGCAGGGGGUUGGUAUCUUUUUGGUAUUUAGUUCCUGAGGCCUGGCCUAGGAGGCCCACUAGGGGCAGAAACCUUAAGACCUUAAAGAGCCUUCUGGAACCAAGGAGAAGGUGCUCCUCAGGGCAGUUACAGCCCCAGAUGGCCUAGGGCACUUGGCAUCCCGGCUGUGGUAGGCAGGUCCCCGUGCAGACAGGCAGGCAGCCCGGGGAACUGGUUUGCCCGCGGCGGGAAAGGAGCCGGCCUGUCCCUCAUUAGAGGCAGGCGUGUGAUGGGCCCUGGCCCCCCUCCAACUUGGGUAAUUACACUCUGCGACCUAGAUUCUCCCUUCAGCUUCAAUUAGCACCAGGACAGGUCCUCACUUCCUACCCAAACUGGUCAGGAAGCAGCCACCACAUCCCGGCAGAGCUGCUUGGUCUGCCACCCAGGGAGGGAUGCACGUGUGGUCGUCUGCAGGUCUGGAUGACAAGGGAAACCUGGGACUCCUUUGCUGUUCUGGGGGUGGGGAGAGGCGCCCUGGCCACCAGACCAGGGUCAGGGCCCUGUGUGAGUGUGACCCUGGCAAAAGAGGCAGCCUUCUGCACUGACUGCCCUGUGCCCCUUCCCCAGGGAAUACCAUCUCCAUGCCCACAGCCUCCGGUGCCAAAAAGCGCUUCUGGAUCAUCGAGGACAUGUCGCCCUUCGGCAAGCGGCGGAAGACGGCCUCCUCGCGCAAGAUGCUGGACGAGGGCAUGAUGCUGGAGGGCUUCCGGCGCUUCGACCUCUAUGAGGACUGCAAGGACACGGCCUGCCAGUUCUCGCUCAAGGUCACCCACUACCACUGCACGCGUGAGAACUGCGGCUACAAGUUCUGCGGGCGCACGCACAUGUACAAGCACGCGCAGCACCACGACCGCGUGGACAACCUGGUGCUGGACGACUUCAAGCGCUUCAAGGCCUCGCUCAGCUGCCACUUCGCCGACUGCCCCUUCUCGGGCACCAGCACGCACUUCCACUGCCUGCGCUGCCGCUUCCGCUGCACCGACAGCACCAAGGUCACGGCGCACCGCAAGCACCACGGCAAGCAGGACGUGAUCAGCGCGGCGGGCUUCUGCCAGUUCAGCUCGAGCGCCGACUGCGCGGUGCCGGACUGCAAGUACAAGCUCAAGUGCUCGCACUUCCACUGCACCUACCCGGGCUGCCGCCACACGGUCGUGGGCAUGUCGCAGAUGGACUCGCACAAGCGCAAGCACGAGAAGCAGGAGCGCGGCGAGCCGCCCGCCGCCUCGCCCGGCGCGCCCGUCAGCCUGGACGGCUCGCUCACGCUGGCCGCCGAGCCCGGGGGCUCGCUGCUCUUCCUGCAG